UGUAGAGUCCUAGUGUCGAUUUUUCGAGUGUUUACCAAUGUUAUCCUACUCCUUAUUGGUUUGAACAAUACCUGAAUUUAUUGUUGCUUCUGAGAAACUUUUAGAGUCCUUUCAAAGGGAUUUUCGACACCAUGUUGCCACGAUCUUAGUAGCACCCUAGGAGUCUCCCAAGUUUCUUCCUGUUUGGAGCUUAGGAGAAGUUUUGAUUUAGGCAAGGAUCGACUAUCGAUUGAUUUAGGCAAUUGAUUCAUUUGUUUCAAUCAGUCGACCAUUUUUUCAACUAGCCAAAACUAUUGUGUAAGCCAUGAGAAGCUAUAUUUUGGUCUUCAAGCUUGAAAACUCAUUAGGCUUAGAAAGUUCCUCAUGGGACUCUAGGUAGUCCCCUUGCUAUACCACCCAUGAUCCUAUAUGUGAUAAUAGUGAGGUGAUGACACAAUUUGAGGAACCAAGAAACUAUAAAAAAAAGGUAAACACAUAAAGAAGAAGUACCACCUUAUUUUUUAGGUAGUAUAGAAAAGUGAUGUUACCAUGGAGAAGGUACUUUCUAUGGAAAACAUGAAAAAUUCCUUCACCAAGACUUUGUUGAGGAAGUAUUUGAAGGUCAUAAGGAUAAAAUAGGUGUUAGAUGUAUAUCCAACAUACUUUGAGGGCUAGUAAGAGAUUGUUAGGAUAAAAACCCUUAAAAAAAUAGGACAUGAUAUAAUAAGAUAUAAUUCCAUUAAUGUGUAUAUUAUGAUUUCAAUUUCACUUUAUUAUCUUAUUUAUUUGAGCAUUUAGACCUACAUAUGAAGCGCAUCUCAAUAAAGUGUCCUCCCUCAUCCACCUAUGAAGUGCACCUUACAAAGCCCACAUCUCAAAGCACUACCUUGAUUGCUCCACAUUAUAGUCGAGUCAUAUCUUCCUACCAUUGUGUUGAUCAAGGUAGUGCAACGCCCUUGAAUAUUUGAUCAAUCUAUCUAUACUCCCAUGCCAUUGUACUAAAAAUAAUAAUAAUAAAAAGCCAUAGUCCUAUACUUCAUGCAGACAUUUUAUAGAGAUACAAAAUUAAUUGUUUAUGGAGAUAAUUUUAAUUAUUGCUUAAUCAUUGUCAAUUUCUUAUCUUGUUAAAGAUGAGAGACAUAGUAAUUCCACAUAUAAAAUAGUACAAUCAGUAUUUUUGUCAAGGUACAUAUGAAAAUGUCUAUAAGCUUAGAAUUUGAGUCAAGAUUAUUAAUUAACACAUAAAAGUGAGUGUUAAGACAAUAAGUAGUGUCUAUAUGUUGGCAAUUUUGUUCCUUAUAAUGUAUGGUCAUAGAAGUCUCUUUAGAUAGUGACUUUCUUCCCAUUGAAGAUUAAGUGUUAUUGUUCGUCAAAUCAGAAAGUCACUGGUACAUCUAAAAAGGUUUGACUUGUGGCAAAUCAAGUUUUGUUGAGGUACUAAAAGGAUCGAUUUUGUUUUAAACUUAAAAUGAUUUAAAAUUGAUUUUUAAAUAGAGUAGGACCAUUCAAGCAACUUGGAAUGCUCAAGUGCUCAGGACCACUUAAGCAAACCAUACAACUUAAGCGCCCAAGGCGCUCAAGCAAUGAGUAAGUUAGCAUAAACAGUCAUGUAGAUUUUGCCGAGAUUUUUUCAUGCAAAUAUGAUUUAGAACUCUUUCAAAAUUGAAACUUUUCGGGUUUUUGCCUAUAAAUACCCGCCUAUUAACCUCUUAAGGGUUAAAGACCAAAGAGACCACAUUGAGAUCAUUUAGAGAACUUUCAUUCUUUAGAGAGGGUCUCCGAGAGAGAAAAAUUCAAGUGUCACACCAUUCUUGAUCUCUCAUUCAAGGAUUGAUUAUUUGAAUAUUGGUUUGAAGACCUUCAUCCAUUUGACGAGGCUAAAGUGAUCCACUAGAGCAAUCGAGGGUUGUUGUGUCACGGACAUGAAUCAAGUCGUAAGUACUAGAGAGUAAGUCUUUAGGGUAAAGCGACCAUGUUAAUCUAUGUAACUUGAUUUCGUAUAGUGGAUUUAAAUUAGUAGGUCUUAGUCUUUGUGAUUUUUUAUCUCCAUAGUUAGUGUGAGAGUUUUCCAUAUAAAAAUCUUAUGUUUCAUUGUCUCUAUAUUUUAUAUUUGAUAUUCUAUUUAAAUUGUCCAUAAAGAAUAGAAAAGAUUAUUCAUAACAUCUCGCAGGUUAAAAGAAUUGGGUAUGACAUAUAAAUUUUUAUUGAAAAAUUUUAAAUCACUCAUUCACCCCCUUUCUAGAUCCCUAUUGGAUUUUUUAUUUUUCAGUGAGGUUUUCUUAUAAUUAAAAUAAGGAUUGUAUAAUGCAUUUUGAGUGUUAAUUGGUUCUCCUAACUCAAAUAUGAGUCUUGUUUGAGGACUAAUAUGUGAAACUAGUGAAGAAUGCAACAAAAAUAAAAUAAAAACCAUGAUUUAAAUGACUUCCAAGGAAACAAGGAUUUCACAAUGUUGAUGGGUGUAAGGAAUGAACAAAAGAAACUCAAAUUGAUAAGCAAAAGUCAAACCAAUUUAAAAGAAGCUAAAGCUGAAAAUCAAUGCAUGAAUUCGAAAUUCGAAAUUCAAAAUCAUCAAAACCGAAUGAGUAACUCAUUUCAAAAAUCAGAAGAACUCAUCCCAAAAUCAAGAACCUCAUUUCAAAAUAAGGAAGCUCAAUUUCAAAUUAACAUUGUCCAUUUCUAAGUGAGCAACCUCAUUUUGGAAUUGUCAUUUUGUUAUUUUAAAGUUGUCAUUUUAUUACUUUGAAAUCAAUUCUAAAAUUAUGACAUUAGAUUUUUCGUAUGUCUUUUCAAGAUUCUCAUUGUUAUUUCAUAGCAAGUGGCCGAUAAGAUAGUGUUGCAUGUCCUUUUAGGGUUAAAUAGUAUACAAACUCUCAUUGUUAGGGUUUGAGAGAGGAUUUACAUCCAUCCAAGUAUGUACUUUGUUUUGGUUUUCUUUAGUUUAAUAGAAAUUUAGUUUUCCUUUGUAUUUUCUUUUCUAUUUUCUUAGCAACCAAACAUGAGUUCUUUAAGAGAGAUCUUUCCACUAUGUUUGGUUGAUUGUAUGUGACUUGGAGAAAGGAAUUAUGAGAAGGAGAAUUCAUAUGAGGAAUCAUGGAAGGUGGCUUCCUUCCUAAAGUCAUUAAUUUUACGUUUCAAGUGUGAUGGAAUACAUUCUCUAAGUAGUUCCUCUCAAUCAAGGGAUGGUUAAGUCUAAACUUGAUUCUAGUGAUAUUUGAUUACAUCUUGAUCAUUAGAUAACUUAUUUUGAUUGAUUGUAGAUAAGAUUGAGAAGAAUUUUGCGGAUGAAUAUAAGGUUUGAUUAUUAAAAUAAUAAACAAAGGUUAAGGUUCAUUUUAAUUAGUUUUUAGAUCUAAAGUAAACUGUCAAAUCAGAUUUCCAAAUUUAAACCAAUUUUAAGAUAUGGUUUAGUCUUGGAUUGAUUGUCAAAGUGAGAAAAAUUCCACUUUCUUUCAUGACAUCGAACUUGUGAUGUUCUCUAAACAUUUUCUUUAAUUUUGUUUUGUUUUUAUUUGAUGUUUUAAACUUAAAUAACAAAACACAUUAGUGAUAAUCUCAGAGAAUAAAAACUUAGAUACUACAAGUAGUAGUGAUUCUUUAUCUAGUUUUCCUUAACUAGAAUCAUUACGUAUUUUAAGCUUUAGUAUUAUUAUGUGACUAGAAUUCACCUGUCUUUCUACAUUUUAAUGGUUGUUGUAGAAGUAAUUUUUCAUCUCAAGAUUCAUCUAAAAAGAGGCUAGAACAAGUGCAGAAUAGAGGACCAAUUAGGGACAUUUAAGAUGACUAGUUGUGUGGCAUGGUAGCAGCUUAAAAGUGAGUUAACUUCUAUAAGCUUGAAAUUAUACUUAUGUAUUAAAAAAGAAAUAUUAAAUGUUGAAAGGAAAAAAACUUAAAGCAUAAGAAGCAACUUAGAAAUUCUCUUUUUCUUUUAGAAACUUAGAAUUGAAAGUGGAAGAAAAAUGAACUUACAUAAUAAAUAGAGAAGUUGCUAUUCUAAAACUCUAUUUUGUUUUUUCUUAUGGUUCUUUGAACUGAAAGUACUAGUUAUCUAAAUAAUAAUUUUAGGUUAUGUAUGAGUUAUAAAAAUGGUUAACAUGCUAAAUAUUUAUUGUUGAGAAAAUAUUGAUCAUAUGUGAUGAUGAAAUUACAAAUAUGAUAUUGAUUGAAAUGCUAAAAUUUAUUGUUUAUGGUUGAGAUAUACUCUCUCUCUCUCUCUCUAUAUAUAUAUAUAUAUAUAUGUAUGUAUGCAUGCAUAUACAUAUGUAUGUAUGUAUGUAUGUAUUGUUAUGUUUGGAAACUAACUUUGAUUUGUGGCAUAAGCAACAUGGAGAAGUGCUUAAGGCUUUGUAAAUUCAAAUUAAGGCAUCAUGUUGGGUUGUCUUAUAAAAAAUAAUAAGGGGGAUCCUUAGGUGAGGGCUGUAGGGACCCCUCUCCUUGGGAAACACGUGGCACGCAGCUCAUAGUGACGCGUGGCACGUGUUAUCAGCCGGACCUUCAUCAUCCGGAUUCCCCUGAGGAUAUGCAUGGUGCAGUUAUCCUAUCCGGACCGCCUCAAGGAAAGGCAAACGACGUUUCAGCUUCUCCUAUCCAAGGAAGAGCAAACGACGCUGGCAGAGCGUAGACAUCCGGAUAAUCUCCACAACACAUCCGGAUAAUCAGCAUGAGCCAUCCGGAUAUAAAUCGUCUGGAUGGUCAAUUAAAGUAAAGCGAGUCUUACACGCAAUCACAACAAGCAGCCAUGGCCCACACCUUGUCACCUGCAGAGUGAGAAGACAAGAGGAAGUGACAGCAAGUCACUUCCCACGAUCAUUCUACAUAAUCACUUCCCACGAUCUCUGACAGCCGCAUCACCUACCAUGGUCUCUGACAGCCAUUCGUAGGGUGAUAAUGCUCCUACUGACACCUAUUAUCAUCAUUACAACAUAAAAUAUCUCCUCACCAUUAAUGAAAGGAGUAGUACCCCUGAAGCUGUAUAUAUAUGCCUUCACACGCAGAAGAAGGGGAUCCCCUGGUAACCUUUUGAUACCUAGUAAAAGGCCAACUGAUUUAUAUCUCUCUCUCUUACCAUGGCUAACAAAACCAUCGGAGGGUGUGUCCGAACACCCUGUCCGGAUGCCUUUUGCAGGUACAAACCGCUGAAUCAAGAACCCUUUGUGUGUUGAGAAUCGCGUGUCCAUCCAUCUAGCAGCAACGUGGACCACCGGAUACGCGAGGCGACAACAAGGGCCCUUAAAGGAAGAAAGGUAUAAUAUACCUUAGGAUGAAAGAUCCAAAAUAAUUUUUUGGAAGAUCCAUGUGUAAAUAUAAUAAGGGGGCAUAAAAGUAUGUCCCUGGGUGAGAAUUCCUAAAAUACAGAUUUUCAUAGUUACAAAUAACUAAUGAAUCCAAGAAAGGUAUUUAAAAGUCUCAUGAAAGGUAUAUAUGGUAAGCUUAAAAUUGUAGAUGGUGAAAAUAUUUACAUACCUUGGUGAUGUUAUAUACUAUUGAAUGAACUUCUACUUGAUGGAGAAGAGUUGUGGCUCAUUUUUUUCAAAAAUAAUUUUUUUCUUACAAAGGUCAAGGUGUAUAAGAGAGGAGACGUACUUGAACCAUGAUGUGAAGCCUAAGAAGAUUUUGUUAGCUAUAUUACAUAUGGAAUUUUUGUGUAUUUUGAGUGUUUUUCGUUACAUGGUGUUGUAUGUUGAAAUAAGACAAGGGUUGUAAUAUUAGGUUAUGUAUAUUAGAAUAUGUGGUGAAGGUUCUUGUCUUUUAAGCACAUAUUUGAUUUUGAUAGUAUAAAUUUAAGCUUCUUUUUUGGUUGUAAGAGAGUUUUUAAGGUUUCAUAUUCUUUAAUGAAGUUUAAGGAUGUUUUUAAGGAGUUUCAGAUGUGAAAAAAUGGAGAGAGUAUGAAAAAUAAGCAAAUUUCAUAUCGGAGUGGUUAGCUUAGGUUUUAGGUGGGUCAAUCUUCUAUACACACAUUUUAGAAGUGCACCAGGCUUGGGUGCACAUUUCCAAGUGUGCUUGAGGUGCACUAAACUUUAGCAUACAUAUUUUCAUCAAGAUUGGGUACACAUCCCUUACGGGGUUGGAAGUGCAUCAUAUUUCUUCAUGAAAGAUACACCACUUAAUUUAUUCCAAAGAUGAGUUUACUUCCUUGAACUUAAGUGCAUCAAGUCUCUUUAAGUAGGCCAAUUUUAAAAAUAAAUAUCAGUAUUUAUUAUUUUGUCAUUUAUUUUUCUACUAUUUUAAGUUUAUAAUGUAAAUACAUAAACACCCUAGUUCAAAUUUAAUAAAAAUACUUUUAGAAGCAAGCUCCAUGUAAACCCAAAGUAUGAUUUUUCAGUUUUAAUUAUAAAGCGAUAGCUUUUACUAAAAAUUUUAUAAAAAAAGUUUGUUAAAGUAAAAUUAUUAAAAAUAAAAAUUUCAAAUAUAUCUAUAUAUAUAUAUAUAUAUUUAGUAUUAUCAACAUGGAAAAAACAAAAUCCGACUCUUUUGAUCUCAAACCAAGAAAAUUUUAAAAUUGUCACAACUAGAUCAAUACACAAGAUAAGCUUGAAGUUUUUCAACUCAAAGAACUUUAUUUCAUAAGUAUAUCAAUGAAAGAAAUUUAACCACAAAUACUAUAAUUUCUUUUUAAUUCACACUUCGAGUUUUAAAUUUUUUUUACGAAAAAAAUAUAACAAGAGUUUUUUUAUAGCAAGAGAAUUCUUUUGGGUGUAAUUAGGUUUUUAAGUUUUGAAAGUUUAGAAUUCUAGUGUCAAUUUGGUAAUUGUUUUUAAAAAUAGUUUUCUAUUCUUUAUGACCAAAAGUAGGAAAAUACAUAUGGUAACUAGAAUAAUGUGUUGUUCUUAAAAAUAGAAAAUAUGAUAUUUUCAUAUAACAACUUUUAGUUGUUUUCAAUUAUUUUUCUCAAAGUUGUUUUAAAAAAUAAUGAUAUAAAUAUGAAAAAUAAUUAAAAAUAAAGCAUUACAUGUAAAAGUCAUUUUCAAAAUAUAUUUAAAAACAUAGAAAAUAGAUUAAAAAUAUUUCAGUUCCCGACAUACAUUUGUUUUACAAAAUAUUAGAUAACAAUUUUUAAAAAACAGUUACUAAAAACUGUUUUUCAAAACUAUUUUUGAAAAUAAUUAUCAAACAUGCCCUAAACACACCUUGGAAUAUACUAAAUUGAUAUCCAUCUUAUCAUGGAAGUAGAGGCAUGUGCCACUCCAUCUUAUUAUGGAAUAAGGCAUGUGUGGCACAUUACUAAAACACAUUAAUCAAAUGCAUUUUUCUUGUGUUUGUCUAUGUUUUAUCAUUAGUGAUGUCACAUAAUACUAGGUUACAACAUUUGAAUAAUAUUGUCUUGUAAUUUGUAUACAUAAAAACAUUAUGUUAAAUUAAUUGAGAAUUUAAAUUCCUAUAUUAAUAAUAUUAUUUUACUCAAUUCAAGAAACUUGAUUCAACACCAUGAAAGGUGAUCCUAGACUGAAAGACUUGACCAAAAAGUUAAGUUAGGGCAGAUGUGACUUAGAUUUCUAACUUACCUAAGUUGUGAUUUUUUGACUUUUCAUUUGAAAUUAAGCUAUUUUCAACUUUGAAUUUCACUUAAUUAUUCUUUCUAAAUUGAAACGUGUAAGAUAUUAUAAUUAAGUCACUCUUAUUACUUAAAACAUAUUCAAAUUUUAAACUUAUGUUGAGAUUAAGGUGAUUAAGACAUUUUUGAUAAUUGAACAAAAUAAAAUCAUUAUCGUUUGAUAUAUUUUUUUAAAGUAGAUUAAAAAAAAACUAUUUUGUUAAUCGAAUGUACUACAUGGAUGUCCUUUUCAAUCCAAUUGAAAUGUAUUUAAUUCGUUAUUGUUAAUUUAUCGUGAAAUUCGAUUGAUAUGAUCAGGAUUAAAAAUGUUUUAGUACUUGACGAAAAAAAUUUAAAUUUUUCUUUAUUAUCCUUAAAUAAAAACAAAAGAAAAAAAAAUCAUUCGAUGUAUUGAGAAUGUAAAAUUUGGUGGAAUGAAAAUCUUAAAACCAUUUCCAUCCCAAUGGAAAUGCUUCUAGUUCACUAUUAGUGAAAUUUAUGAUAUUUUGGAUAAAAUGGUAGAAAGAGUAGGAGGGAUGGAUGAGCAGCACCGCCAAAGAGCGAAAGAGCGUAAAAGAAGGGAAAAUCUUCUCUGGGAGAAUCUUAGAAGAAAUCAUGCGUGGACGGCUGAGAUUAAAAGGAGGAAGCCUUUUUUGCCAAAUAUGGGCCAUGCAGAGCCGCGCCAUGGUGUGCAGUGUGCUUGGCUAACCCUCGUGUCUCUUCCAAAAAAAUUUAAUAUAAUAAAACCAAUGUAUUUGAGGCGAAAGAAACGGGUUGGGAACGCAGGCGGAGGGGAAGAAAAAAACUUAUAAUAAUAAACAAAAAAGAAAAAGAAAAAGAAAAGAAAAAACCCAAGCAGCUGCGCUCUUCUCUUUUCCCUCUUCUCGUCUCAACACUCUCUCUAGACUUGGCUCCUCUUUCUCUCCGGGCUUGCCCCAAUUCGGGUGAUUGGAUCUGUCAUUUCUGUAAUUUUCUCAUCUGGAUCUCUCUAAUUCAGCUGUGAAUCGAGCAAUUUUGGUUAUUGACUUUAAUUUUCUGGAGAAAAUUAGGGCGAGAAAGUGAGGGGAAAUGAAGAUUCCCUGCUGUUUGGUGUGCCAGACUCGGUACAACGAGGAGGAGAGGGUUCCGUUGCUGCUUCAAUGCGGUCAUGGCUUCUGCAAGGAGUGUCUCUCUCGAUUGUUCUCUGCAUCUCCCGAUACCAACCUCUCUUGCCCCCGCUGCCGCCACGUGUCGUCCGUGGGGAACUCCGUUCAGGCGCUGAGGAAGAACUACGGCGUCCUCGCGCUAAUCCAGUCAUCCUCCGCGCCGUCCUCGGCGUUCGACUGCGAUUUUACAGAUGAAGACGAGGAUAACGAGGACGAGCUACUUAACGAAGAGGAGGAGGACGAUGAGUCACACCGGCGCCGCCGAUGCAGCCGCGGCUCGUACACGUCGAGCUCCAGCUGUGGACCGGUGAUCGAGCUGGCGUCGCACCAGGACUUGAGGCUGGUGAAGCGGAUUGGGGAAGGGAGGCGCGCCGGAGUGGAAAUGUGGGCGGCUGUGCUCUCCGGCGGGUCAGGGCGGUGCCGCCACGGUGUGGCGGCUAAGAAGGUGGUGGUCGGGGAGGACACUGAUUUGGGUUGGGUGCAGAACCGACUCGAUAAUUUGAGGCGUGCAUCAAUGUGGUGUAGAAAUGUGUGCACUUUCCAUGGAGCUACGAAAAUGGAGGGUUCUCUUUGUCUGAUAAUGGAUAGAUGUAAUGGUUCCGUUCAGUCCGAAAUGCAGCGCAAUGAAGGGCGGCUUACUUUGGAGCAAAUCCUGAGGUUUUGUUCUCUUGCUUGCUUGUUUAUUGGAUGAAUUAUUUGAAUUUUAUGAUUUUCAUUUGUGUGUGAACUUCAUGUACUGGAACAUAAAUCUUUACUUGAUGCAUGCAAGGGAUUGUUUGGAAAACAUAACUGACUCUGGUUUUAGAUGUUACAAAGAAAUUGGAUCUAGGGUUUGAGAUAGUGACUUCCGAUAGUGAAUCUGUGUUUUGUUUGAGGGUUUCAAUGUUAACAUUAUUGAACAUUUACAUGCAUGCUAAAUUAUUAUAAAUUGAAUAACUUUUCACUUUGCUUUCACCAGAGGGCCAGCAGCAAAAUGGGGAAGUGUUACAUUUGUUUGCCUUAUACUUGUUAUUUUGAGUCUAUUGAUGACAACUGCAAAUUUUGGAUGUCUGUUUGCCUUGUUAAUUUGUGUCUAUACGACAGUGGUAAAUGGGAAAAGUGCUACACUUAUUUUCCGUGUACUUGUUAUUUAGUGUGUAUAAACGACAGCGAUGAACUGGGAAGUUUAAGAUUUGUUUGCCUACCUUUUACUUGUUUUUUGGUGUGUAUAAACGACAGCGAUGACCUGGGAAGUGUUAGAUUUGUUUGCCUACCUUUUACUUGUUCUUUUGUGUGCAUUAACGACAGCGAUGAACUGGGAAGUGUUAGAUUUGUUGCCUACCUUUUACUUGUUAUUUUGUGCCGAUUAACGGCAGCAGCGAAGCAAACUAAAAAGUGAUACAUUUUCUUGGCUUUUAAUCAUUAUUCUGUGUUUAUAAACAACUAUGAUGAAUGGGGAAUAUGUUACAUUUAUUUGCCUUGUUCGUUUGUGUCUAUAAACGACAGUGUCAUAUGGGGAAAGUGUUACAUUUUAUUUGCCUGUUACAUUUUUUUUUUCUGUAAAUGACAUUGCUGAAUGAGUAAAUUGUUAAUCUUGCUUGGUGCAGUGACAGGAAGCUCUGCAUGCAUUGGAGCUUAGGUGAAAUUGGCUGUCAUUUGGUGCCAUGACAGCUAUACCAAUGCAUGCGGAGAUGAGGUGAAGAGCGUUUUGCUAUUUGAGCAACUGCUGUACAAUGUGGCACAGAUGUGAAAUGGAUUGUACAUUUGGUGUCAUAGCUAAAAUAUAUAGUGUGGCCAGGCAUGAAGGGCUCUACAUCUUAUUUGAGAUGUUUCAUUAUGUAGUUUCUCUCCUCAUGCACUUGUUCGUGCAUGUUGAAUGCAUUUUCUUAUGUGUAUCACAUGAGUAACAGAUUACUUCAUUGGUGUCAUUUGCAUAGCAACAUUCAGAGUUAGUUUGGACUAGUUUUAAUUUUCUCACCCUACUAGGAUCACUCAAUUAUGAGGCUCAAUUGGUGUACAAUGCAAACCUGUGAGAUUUUAAGAAAGUGGAUCCAGUCAAUGCACCAACUAUCCAUAUUAAUAUUUUAAAUAUAGAAAAAGUCAUUUAUAGUAGGUCUUAGUUUGGAGAUCAAGCUCAUUAAAUGUUUCAGAAUAGGCUAAUCUGGACUUCCACAUAGAAAUUCAUAGAAGCUAAGAACAUAUCUUGAUGGAGGUGAGAUGCUUAUACGUUUUGGAAUUGAUAACAGCAAACUGUGCACAUGGUGAGAAUUCUCAUCUCAGAUUUUAGAGGGUGGAGAGAGAAUGUUCUCUUAGAGUCUUUUAUGGGAGAAUGCAAGCAAUGAGGGGUGAAGAUCCAAUGAGAUGAUUAAUAUCUUGACUUUUGACAUUUGCUCUACAAACCAAACCUUAUUGAUUGAAUUAUAGGUUGAGAAGAUUAGAGAAAAGUAGUGUUUUUGUUUGUAUCAGAAAAUGCAAAUAUUUAUUCCGUAAUAUUGGGUGCCCAAAUUAACUUCACAUUUGAGGACUUUUGGGUUGCCAAGCAAUUGCUUUAAUUUCAAGAUGAAUAUCUAUAAUGGUUGGAGCUUUCAACAGACUGUACUCCUUUCUUAUUAGGCAUAUAAAAUUUAUUUAAGAGGCACACAUUUGGACCAUUAAACUCAAGCUAUUUUGCCCAAAAUUAUAACCAAUUUCGAGUUUAUAAUAAGCUGAAAUGGUUAUGAUGUUGGGGAUAACUCUUCCCAUGUUCACAUUCUGAGUGCUUUUUGAUCGCAGGUACGGGGCAGACAUUGCACGAGGGGUGGCUGAGCUUCAUGCAGCAGGUGUUGUUUGUAUGAAUCUGAAACCAUCCAAUCUUCUUUUGGAUGCCAAUGGUCAUGCAGUGGUUUCUGAUUAUGGACUUCCAGCAAUUUUGAAGAAACCUGCCUGCAGGAAAGCUCAAUCAGAGUGUGAUUCCUCUGGAAUCCAUUCAUGUAUGGAUUGUACAAUGCUCAGUCCACACUACACAGCCCCAGAGGCAUGGGAACCACCAGUAAAGAAGCCGUUAAAUAUAUUCUGGGAUGAUGCAAUUGGUAUAUCUCCUGAGUCUGAUGCCUGGAGCUUUGGCUGUACAUUGGUGGAAAUGUGCACUGGUUCCAUCCCGUAUGUAACACUUCAUUUACUCUCUCCUCCUCCCUCCCUUCUAAUGGUAGAGUUGCUUAACAACAAAAUUAUAUUCUUUGUGCAGGUGGGCUGGUUUAAGUGCAGAGGAAAUCUAUCGAGCUGUUGUCAAGUCUCGCAGACAACCUCCUCAAUAUGCAGGUGUAGUUGGUGUUGGAAUACCUAGGGAAUUGUGGAAGAUGAUUGGUGAAUGUCUACAAUUCAAGGCAUCCAAAAGACCAACUUUUAAUGCAAUGUUAGCAACAUUUCUCCGUCACUUGCAAGAGAUACCUCGCAGCCCUCCUGCGAGCCCUGAGAAGUAAGAAUUCUAAUUUCUAAUCAUGCCAUAUUUUAGUUUUUUAUUAAGACGCUUUUAUACUAGUUGAAAGUAAUGUUUUAAAAGGCAAAAGUCAAUCCUUAGUCAUUUUGCUGAAAUGAGGUAAGGUGUUAGCCAACAAAAUGAGGUGAGGUGUAAGCCUCCAGACAGAAACUUAAACACAAAAGGAAAAAAUAAUAAAUAAUAACAAAUAAAAGUAAAGAAAAAAACUCAAAAAAUUAGAAAAAUGCUAGUAAAUCACUAAAGACAUAAUGACAAGAAAACCAUAAUAUAUACUAAGAAAAUUGAUUGUUUGUCAUUUUUAAUAGUCUCUAAUUAGUUUCUCUUUUUGUAAAAUUCAACUCUCUUGUGGCCCUAUCAAAUAGUCUUCACUCUUCAGCACUACCUUCAAUACCACUAUUGGAUCCUCCAUGGAAUUGUCCUUAUAUCUAAUUUCUUUUCUCCUUCAGUGUAUUGUCUAUCCAUUCCUCUUCAUCAUCCAUCAAUUGCAUUGGAUCUUUCAAUAAUAAGAUAAUGAUUAUGUAUUAGUCCAACCACAACCACACCUAAAAGCUUGUAUAUUCCUUCCUGCUUUCCAUAUGGUCCAACUUGUAUAUUUCUUCUUCUCAAUCUUUCUUUCUUUUUGUCAUAUUUUUUUUUUUCAAAAGCUAAAUGAAAGGCAACUAACUUUAAUUUUGUAAAAAGUUCAAUGCAAGCCUUCAAGCCAAAGCAAUCCCAACAGCCCACAAAAGCAUAAAACCCAUUGAAUAUUAGGUCUUAAGGCACUUAUUAAAUAUAUAUCAGAGACACUAAAGCCCCAAACUCAUUAAAAUCUAUUUAAUUUUUUUUUUUCAUAGGUAAAAAAAAAUUUGAGGCUAUUUAAUAUUUGAUGCCAAAGACACUAAAGCCCCAAACUCAUUAAAAUCUAUUUAAUAUUUGAGGCUCAAACCUCAAUAUUCUCGAGGGCUAAUCCAUUGCAUGUUGCCUUGAGGCAAGCUUCUAGGUGUUAGGUCUCAAUAGCCUUUCAAGACAUUGGUCGAGAUAUCUUUAUUUUAUUGGAAGUGACAUCUCUGGAACUCUAGGUGAGACUGUUGGAGCAAGAAGCAACUUAGCAGCUGCUUCUGCUUUGAUUGGUCUUCAAAAGCAGAUAUUUAGAUGUGUGCAUGUGCAAGUGCUAAUAUGUCAGCUAUUUAACCUGACCUAUAUAUUUUACUUGGUUUGCUUAUCAUUAUGUUUUUUGUGGAAAUACAGUGAAUUUCCCAGACCUCCUGGAACAAAUGUGUCAGAACCAGCGCCUGCACCUUUGGAGGUUUUCCAGGAUAAUCCCAACCAUCUACAUCAACUUGUAUCUGAAGGGGAUUUGAAUGGUGUAAGGUUAGUAAAUUUUGGUACCUACUUGUGCUAGAUCUGUAUUUGGAGUAUCUUUGGUUCUGUUUCUGAUGUUCUCCUCCCUUUCUUUGUUUGUACAGAGAUUUGCUUGCAAAGGCUGCAUCAGGAGGCAGUAGCAUUUCAAUUUAUUCUCUAUUUGAAGCACAAAAUUCUGAUGGCCAAACUGCUCUCCACUUGGCUUGUAGACGUGGAAGUGCAGAACUUGUUGAGGCAAUUUUGGAGUACAGAGAGGCAAAUGUGGAUGUCCUGGACAGAGAUGGGGAUCCUCCCCUAGUUUUUGCUUUAGCAGCUGGAUCGCCAGAAUGCGUUCAGGCUCUCAUCAGAAGAGGUGCAAAUGUCAGAUCUAGGUUGAGGGAAGGCUUUGGUCCAUCAGUUGCUCAUGUCUGUGCCUUCCAUGGCCAACCUGAUUGCAUGCGUGUAGGUUUUUCCUCAAUUACUGGUAUUCAUGAUUCUUCUUCUCAGUUAUUCCUCUUCAAAUUUUUGUUUUGAUAUGUGCGUAUAUUUUCUUCUUUUUUUAAUGACAACAGGAGCUACUGUUGGCUGGAGCUGAUCCAAAUGCAGUGGAUGAUGAAGGUGAAUCUGUGCUGCACAGGGCAAUCGCCAAGAAAUAUACAGAUUGUGCCCUUGUCCUUUUGGAAAAUGGGGGCUGUGAGUCUAUGGCUGUUCUGAAUUCCAAAACUCUGACGUGAGUAUAGUACUGCCAUCCCUUUCCUAAAUCUCUCUCUCUCUCUCUACCACUUCACCAAUUAGUGGCUUUAUUAUUUUUUUGUCAUGUUUUUUUUUUAUCUUUUUUUUUUUUUGAUAAGUAAACAAGAUAUGCAUUAGAAAGGCUAAACGCCACAAAGCAUACAGGGAGUAUACAAGACGGCUACAGCCUCAAAAAGAGAGAGGACCAAAAAGAACUACCUCCCCUUAAGUGGAAGCUAUCCACUCCAAAAAUCCUAUAAGGGAGAAAGACUCCUCACCUAAAUACACUUUGGCCCAAUUCCACAAGUUACAGACAAAAGAAUUCUUUAAUUUCUGAAUAUUCAACGCACCCCCCCUAAAGGCUAACCUAUUCCUCUCCUUCCAAACCGUCCAAAAAAUAUAUAACGGAAUGGAUUUCCAAAUCUUUUUCCUUUUCUUCCCUACAAAUGAACCCCUCCAGGAGAUUAAAGUCUCCUUUACAGUUUCUGGGAGGACCCACUUAACAUCUAUCAACCCAAAAAUAAUAUCCCAUAGGGCUCUAGUCACUAUACAGUGUAGAAGAAUAUGAUUUACAUUCUCUUCUUCACAACCACACAAAAAGCAACAGUUUGGGAGUUGCACCCCUCUUAUCUGGAGUCUGUCCAGAGUGAGCACCUUCCCCCACGUAGCCUCCCAAGCAAAAAAAUAGACUUUAGUUGGCACCCUAUCCACCCAUAUUCUCCUUACGGGAAAUACUGUGGCAUUAGGCUUGUCUAGCAGCCUGUAAGCUUCUUUUACCCUGAAAAGACCAUUUCUUCCCUGCCUCCACAUAACUGAAUCAUCCUCCAGGGAAGGCCUAUGAACCCUCAAAGUAUGAAGCAACUCCCCAACCAUAUCCAACUCCCAAUCAUGGAAGUCCCUCACAAAAACAAGAUUCCAAUCUCCUUGGCCCGAAUCUUGAUCCCACAUCUCCUCAAUCGUAGCAUCCCUAUGCGCGGCAAGGACAAAAAGAUGAUUGAAGCAUUGGGACAACGGAGUGUCAGUGCACCAACUAUCUUUCCAAAAUUUGAUUUUGGAACCCUUCCCAACUAGAAAAGCCAAAUUUUCCCAGCACCAUUCAAAUUCUUUCAUAAUCUCCUUCCAGAUCCUUACUCCAGCCGCCCCACUAGCCUUCUUUGACCUCCAACCAUAAUCCUCUUACCCAUAUUUCGUAGUGAUCACUUGUUUCCAAAGGUUAUCCUUUUCACAAGCAAACCUCCAAAUCCACUUGCCCAGCAAGGCUCUAUUCAGAGUGGCUAUUCUCCUUAAUCCUAGCCCUCCCUUGUGUUUUUCUAUACAGACCGCAUCCCAUUUAACUAAGUGAACUUUUCCCUCCAAGUUUCUUCCCCCCCAUAGGAAAUCUCUUUGGGUUUUCUCCACUCUUUUAGCAACAGACUUGGGCAUUCGGAAAAUAGACAUUUGGUAAAUUGGCAUGCUAGCCAAGGUGCUUUUUAUGAGAGUGAUCCUCCCCCCUUUGGAGAUGUACUGUCUUUUCCAAAGCGCAAGUCUCCUCCUGACCCUCUCUUCCACUCCAUCCCACAUAGAAGUAGCCCUACUGGGGACCCCUAAGGGGAGACCCAAAUAGUGAGAGGGCAGAGACCCCACCCUGCACCCUAACUCAGCUACCAUCUCAAGAAUCUCCUCCACUUCUCCAACUGGAAUGAUUUCGCUUUUGGCUAGAUUAAUUCGAAGACCCGAAGCCGCUUCAAACCAAAAGAGAAUCCAGCUUAGGUGAGAAACUUGCUCUUUGCUCGCCUCACAAAACACAAUUGUGUCAUCAGCAAAAAAUAGGUGGGAGAUAUUCAAGGAAGUUCUACUACCACCCCGAAUGUUGCAUCCCGAAAGAUAUCCCCCCUCCACCGCUCUCCUUAUAAGGACGUCCAGAACCUCCAUUCCCAUAACAAAGAGGUAAGGGGAUAGGGGAUCCCCUUGACGAAGCCCUCUAGUGCUAGGGAAAAACCCAGUUGGCACUCCAUUAACAAGAAUAGAGAAUUUAGCAGAAGACACACAGCUCCACAUCCAUCCCACCCACUUGGUCCCAAAGCCCAUUUUUUGAAGAACCUUCAUUAAGAAAUUCCAAUUGAUGCUGUCAUAAGCUUUUUCUAUAUCCAAUUUGCAAAUAAGGCCCUUUUCUUUUCUCUUCUGCCACAAAUCUAUCACCUCAUUAGCAAUUAAAGAUGCAUCCAGAAUUUGUCUUCCCAUUACAAAGGCAUUCUAAGCAAUAGAGACCACCUUAUCAAUCACUUUUUUGAGCCUAUUAGUUAAGACUUUAGCCAAAAGUUUAUAGAGCCCCCCCAACAGGCUGAUAGGUCUAAAGUCUCCAAGAUCCCCAGCCCCGCUUUUCUUAGGUAUCAACACCAAGAAAGUGUUGUUAANNNNNNNNNNNNNNNNNNNNNNNNNNNNNNNNNNNNNNNNNNNNNNNNNNNNNNNNNNNNNNNNNNNNNNNNNNNNNNNNNNNNNNNNNNNNNNNNNNNNAAGUGUUGUUAAGGCUCCUAACAAAGGAAUUAUGCUCAUGAAAUUCUUUAAACAUCUCCAUGAUCUCCUCUUUGGUAAAAUCCCAAGCGUUUUGCCAAAAGGCUACAGUAAAACCAUCCGGUCCAGGGGCUUUAUCCCCAUUCAUCUCCAUCAGCGCCAAAUGAAUCUCAAUCUCUUCAAAUGGGAUUUCUAGACUCUCUGCUUCUUGCUGGCUGAUGCAACCCACCUGAAUUCUACCAAUAUCCGCCUGCCAAACCAUAUCUUCAGAAAGCAUCUGCUGAAACGAAUUCACAACUCCUUCUCUCACCUCCUGCUCCUCUACUAGCCUCUCCCCAUUAACCUUAAUUCUGUCCAUAGCAUUGUUUCUUCGAUGAGCACUUGCCAUUCUAUGGAAGAACCUCGUGUUUCUAUCCCCCUCCCUUAACCAAAUCUCCCUUGAGUGCUGUCUCCAAUGGGCUUCCUCCAACAGGACCCAUUUCUUGAAGGAGUCUUUAGCUUCCUUUUUUAAUUCAGCUUCCUCCAUAGUCAAGAUUCUCUCACUUUCCACCCGAUCCCAAAAAUCUACUUGUUGUAAGGCUGAAGCUUUAUUAGUUUCCAGCCCUUCCAAAAACCUCUUUGUUCCACACUUUUAGCUUCUUUUUAAUUUCCUUCAUUUUAACAGCCAUUCUAUAGCUAGCGCUGCCCCUGACUUCAAGUCCCUGCCACCAGGUUCUAACAAUANNNNNNNNNNNNNNNNNNNNNNNNNNNNNNNNNNNNNNNNNNNNNNNNNNNNNNNNNNNNNNNNNNNNNNNNNNNNNNNNNNNNNNNNNNNNNNNNNNNNNNNNNNNNNNNNNNNNNNNNNNNNNNNNNNNNNNNNNNNNNNNNNNNNNNNNNNNNNNNNNNNNNNNNNNNNNNNNNNNNNNNNNNNNNNNNNNNNNNNNNNNNNNNNNNNNNNNNNNNNNNNNNNNNNNNNNNNNNNNNNNNNNNNNNNNNNNNNNNNNNNNNNNNNNNNNNNNNNNNNNNNNNNNNNNNNNNNNNNNNNNNNNNNNNNNNNNNNNNNNNNNNNNNNNNNNNNNNACCAUACACUCCCGUGAAAACCCAAGUAGCCCCAUUUUCUGUAGUCUUGAAUCUACAAGACAAAGAGAACUGACCCUCCUCCCAAUCCGAAAUAUCCAAAACCCUCUUGUCCCAGCAUAUCAAAAUGCCACUCGCAGCCCCCUCCGCAUUUAGGGCUCUCCAAUCUAUAAAUCUCCCCGAGCCCAGACUUCUCACAAUACCCUCCGACAUCUCCUGAAUAUUGGUUUCCUGAAUACACAUUAGGUCCACCCUCUGGUUCCUUAUAUAGUUCUUAAUAAUUUUUCUCUUAGAGCUGUCAUUAGCUCCCCUCACAUUCCAAAUUAUAAUCUUCAGCUUCAUUGGGCAACUAUCAACUAAUUCCCUUUGCCCUGUGAAGGACCUUUCUGCUUAUUCCCCCCCUCAUAAUUGACAGAGCAUUCCAGCCUCUUUAGUUCCCUUUCAAACUUGGACUUCUCCAAAAGUUCUUUGCUGUGAAUCUUUUCCCGCCUCUUUCUGAUUUUAAUCAGAAAAUUCAAUAUCUCCUUUUCCAGCCCCUCCGUAGAGAAUCCCAAGAAUUGGCUAAAUUUUGCUAAACUACAGUCUUCCCAUAGAUCCUCUUUCUCAUUUUCGGAAUCUUGAGAACCAGAGACACCAGUAUUCCCCUCCUUGCCCCUAACCUUGUCUCUGUUUUUGUUGGCCUCUCCCAGCUUCCAGGAUCCAUUUUCAUUCUCAACGUUCCCCUCAUAGACUGUUAACCAUGUUGACUUGUCCCCCCAUAAUUCCUCCUCAAUUCCCCUUGGACGAUCGAAAGACUCCCCCUCCGGAGCCCAAUCAGAAUUAGAAGAGAAAAGAAGAGGUGUCCCCAUAACCUGUUUUCCUUUAGGAUGGGAAAUCAGGACAUACCUUUUAGCGUCCUCUUCCAGCGCUCAGUUAGUCAUUGAAAAGCCAUCAUCCCUCUGUUCCCUUCUAAACUCCUCCGGCACCCAGCUCGUCAAAGGAUCCUCUGAAAUGGGUCCUUUUCUGGAGAUAAAACGGCCCAAAAAGCCAGCCUUCUCUAAGAGAACAGUUGGGCCCUCCCUUUCCAGGCCUUCCACCUCAACUAAAGGGUGGCAGCCCAGUUCAGCAGCCCAACUACUAGACGAUGGGCCUGCCUCUGAAUCACUAGCCACCUUUGUCUUAUUUUUUAAAUUUCGGCCCAAAGGCCCGUCUAUUUUAGUCAGCCCACCAUCCUUCUCCAACUCAUUAAGCUUUGGGCCACAUGCGAUCGACCCAGCCACUCUUCCAUCUGAAUAGACCCAAUCCCGGGGCACCGGGCCAUGGAUCUGGUUCCCGGGCACUAGACCCGGCCCAUUCUCCUGCAGAACACUCCCAUCAACUAUCAGGUGCAGUUCCUUGGUUCCCGCGUCUGCCAGUUCCUUCCCCACGCGCUUCUCCGCGCGUGAAUACGAGUCACCCCUGACCUCAUUUCUCUUUUUGUUUUCCGUCGCAGAGAAGAUCCGUCUCACCACCGGCCUAAUCUCCCACCAUAAUGCCACUGUGUAUACCUCCUCCUCUACCUCAAUUUCCAACAUACUCGGUCUAAAAUCACCUCUUAUUUUGACCAGUAUCCUAGCCCAUUGAAUCUCCCCCAUCGACCUUGUCCGCUCGUCAAUUUCUAGAAAGCCCCCACAUUCCUCCCCUAUUUUCUUCAGAAUCCCCGGGUUCCAUAGCGAGAUUGGAAGGCCGAAGAUUUUAACCCAAGCUUCCUGUUCCAUCUCCUCCUCUACCCAACAUCCCGUCUCUGGAUUCCAUAGAUUCAACCCUAAGUGGGCUCCUCCCAUCACUCUGCUUCCCGAGGAGACCACACGGUGUGCCUCUCUUAGAUCUUCAAACUCCAACAAUGCCCUACCUCGUUCCAACUUAGCCAGCCCUAGCUUGCCUUUUAAGCCCCAAGAAUUCGCCCAAAGACUUCCCAACCUCUCCAAGUCUUCUUCUUCCUUUUUGUUGGACUUCCAGCUCGCGACGAGGCAGUGCUCCAGCUUCUGUAAAUUACCAGCAAUCUCCUCCCUAGUGACCUUCAUCUUGAUUGCGUUUAAGCCAUUCCGAUUUGUUCUCAUGACUGCUUCUGCGUAUGAUUUCGCCGGAGUAGCUUUUCUGACGGUCCUUACUUCCUGUAAAUCUGUUCUUCUACCAACCAGCUCUUCCAUUUGACGUACCAUCUCCGCCAUAGCCGUCCAUCCUCUUUUGUCCCUCCUACCUCUCGGUAAGAAGAUACAAAACCUUUUUCGUUCUAGAUCCAUAACCCCCAACCUUAAAAAACCACCCGCUCUGUUGAAACCCCGAGCCAAUGUAUACAGCUUGCCUCUUUCUUUCCACUUCUUUUCCCAUCUCCCUUCUUUUUCGUCUCGUAUACAAUGGAUUAGUCCCUCCUUGAAGAGCCUUAAGCUUUCCAGCCCUAAUCGAACCCAUGUUGAGACCCCCCGCUUCUUCUCCAUAAUGAGAAUCUGACGUUUCCCUUUCCGUUCAUCCAGGGCAAGCUCGAAAGUCUUGGAUUCCACCGUGAAGCUUCGCUUUCGACUCGCCUCGCCGGUCUCAUCGUCGCCGUCGCACGCGCUCUCACGCUCCCUCACGCCCUCUCUCUCUCUCUCGCCCUCUCUCUCUCUCUCCCAUCUCUUUUUUCCUACUAGUCAUGUUUUUUUUUUUGUUUUUUUGUUUUUAUUAGAAUUAAGGAAGAAAUACAAGGAAGCAUGAGGUAUUCUUUGAGAACUAAAAGGAAAAUAUGAGGAUCCAAAGAAAAACCAAUAAAAACCAUCCCAGAAUCUUAAAGAUCCUCUAGGAAUACAUAAAAAAAUUCUAUGAACUUUAUUGUAUCUAGGGCAUAUUAUUCUUUAUAUGUUAUCUUUUAUUUUAGUAAGUUGCUUGUUGUGCUGCGCCCUAAAUAUUUGAAUAUUCCAGACCUUUGCACUUGUGCGUAGCAACAUGGAAUGUGGCUGUUGUCAGAAGGUGGGUAGAGGUGGCAUCUCCUGAAGAGAUCGCUGAGGCAAUUGAUAUACCAAGUGCAGUUGGCACUGCACUGUGUAUGGCAGCUGCUUUAAAGAAGGAUCAUGAAAUUGGUAAAGCUAGAUCUCAGAAUUUUGAGGCUUUUUCAAAUGUAAUUAGAUGGCAACCAUCAUUCAGAAACUGUCAUGAGCUUUGUUUCAUCAAUUAGUGCCAUUCUUAAAUUUCAUUUUCAGCUAUAUUUCUUUUCAUGUUUAUUAAAAACUGAUCAUCACCCCUAACUAAGUUGGUGAUUUCUUCGGGUUCUAAGGAUUGAUGAAAAGGUUUGAAUAGUAAGAUGCCUGCUCAACAACCAUAUUGUGGACAUCCAGUAUAACACUUACAUUUGAAACAUAGUUAAUGGAAACUGGAUCAAGAUUUCUUUUUCCCUUUUUUUUUCUUGUGCAUAUGUGUGUGUCUGUGUCCCUAAUUAGCACUAAAAUCUCUAUUUAUGCUUCCCACAUUUCCUUAUAAGCUCAUUUUUCUCUUCCAUCAUUUUCCCAAAUCAAUAUUGGCUAUUAAUAGUUCCAUUGUUGUGGACCCUCAUUGCUCCAUCAGUGAUUAAAUAUUUGUAUUGUUGAUGAUUACUGCAUUUUUUUUUUUUUUGAAGGGAGGGGGGGAUGGAGUUUGGUUUUAUUUAGGGUAAUAAAUAAUUGGAAUUUGGCUCCUUGCAUGGCUCACUUUUUUUUUUUCUCUUAUUAACUUCUUUUAUUUCCUUUAGUGAUUGCACCUUUUUUUUAAAAAAAAAAUUGAUGCAUAUUUUACCUGUAGAGGGGAGAGAACUAGUACGGAUAUUGCUUACUGCUGGGGCAGAUCCAACUGCUCAAGAUGUGCAGCAUAGGCGAACAGCUUUGCACACUGCUGCUAUGGCUAAUGAUGUUGAAUUGGUCAAGGUAAGCCAAAUAGCUUCCCCUAUAUGAUUGUGAAUGUGACCAUUUUUCUGUUGUAGGUAAGCCAUAUGCCAUGUGCAUGUUGUGGAGAUAUCUACACCUUCGGGAUCUUCACUUUUCUUUUCUUUUUUCUGGUUGACAUAAUUGUUGUUUUGCAAAUCUUUGAGUAGAUUAUUCUUGAUGCUGGGGUCGACGUGAACAUCCGGAAUGUGCAUAACACAAUUCCCCUUCAUGUCGCAUUGGCCAGGGGUGCAAAAUCAUGCGUUGGAUUGCUUUUAUCUGCUGGGGCAAAUUGUAACUUGCAGGUUCUUCACUCUCACUGUGUUAAAGUUCCAUUAUCACUAAUUUGUGUACAUAUGUUUGGUUAAAUUGCUGUUAUUCAUAGUUUAUGAAUGUUUAAUUGGAAGAGAUAUUAUGUGAUGCUUAGAUACAUCAUUAUUUUGUAUGCAUGUUAGACUAAUUUGCGAUAUGUUCUCAGUUACAUAAUCGAGAUGAAUGGUUUGCUUUAUAUUUCUGAUAAUGGUGCUUAUGUUCUUGUAAAUUUUGUAUUUUCCUGUUGCUGGUAAUAAUCUAUGAUGAUCUGAGGUGUGUUUGAUUCUUUAACUGGUAAUUUUUUUGGGCUGCUUCACUUAUUGAAGCCAUGUGACACUCGUACCAUGAAAAUUAACAGUACCUGCAAUGGGUCUCUAUAUAAUCAAACAUAUAAAAGACAAAAAGGAAACUUUACUUCAGUAUGUUUCAGCAUGUGACAGCCAAGUUCCUUCUGACCAUGUACCAAAGACAAAUUUGUUGAGGAACAUGUUUGCACAGUCAGGUGUUUCCCUGUGCUGGUUUUCUGAUUUUCUUUCCUUUACCUUUUCUUUUCUUCACACUCCCCUUUUGCCUACUGGAGACAAAUGUUGAAAACAAGAGCUUUGUCCACCCACCAUAGAAAUAAAAAAAUAAAAUGAAAGAGGAAACAAAAAAAAAUUAAGAUGCAUGUUAACUUCUAUAUUAACUCUUUCUUCUAUCGUCCAUGAGAAAAUCUCUUCUUUUCUUACCCACUUAUGGACCAUGUGCUUGCUUAUCAUUAGCAGGAUGAUGAAGGUGACAACGCGUUCCAUAUAGCAGCUGAUGCAGCAAAAAUGAUACGUGAAAAUCUUGAAUGGCUCAUUAUCAUGCUGAGGAAUCCAGAUGCUGCUGUUGAAGUUAGAAAUCACAAGUAAGUACCAACUAGAAGAAUUGAAUCUUCAUAUGGCUUGGCUUCCCUGGCACACUAAAAGUUUCUUGUGUCUUUUGCUUUAUUUAUUUUAAUUUUUUUUGUUUUAAAAUAUUCAACAUUGUGACAAGGGAUUUUUGUUUUCCCACAGUGGGAAGACAUUAAGGGACUUUCUGGAGGCCCUUCCCCGGGAAUGGAUUUCUGAAGAUCUAAUGGAGGCACUCAUGAAUAGAGGGAUUCAUCUUUCUACUACAGUGUGAGGAAAAGAAUUAUAUAUAAUUGUGUUGCCAGGAAAUUUUAAUGUUUGUGUAUUUGAUUAUGAAAAAACAUACAUUAAUUUUUGUUUUAAUUUUCCAUGGUGUUCAGAUUUGAAAUUGGAGACUGGGUGAAAUUUAAAAGAAGUAUAUCUACUCCUUCAUAUGGGUGGCAAGGUGCGAAACAUAAGAGUGUUGGCUUUGUGCAGAGUGUUCCAGACAGGGACAAUCUAAUUGUGGCAUUUUGUUCUGGAGAGGCUCGUGUAUUGGCAAAUGAAGUUAUAAAAGUGAUUCCAUUAGACAGGGGACAGCAUGUGAAACUUAAACCAGAUAUCAAAGAGCCAAGGUUUGAUUUCGAAGUAGUUGCUGACACAAUAUUGAGUUAGUUUACCACUUAUAUGAUGUUUUCCUUAUCACUAUGGUAAAUUGCUUACACUUAAGUUUAAUCAAGCCAGUUUAUGCCUAUUUUAUUUUGAAAACAUGUUGGGUACCCCAUUCACCAUCAAAGUUUCAUUGUUGAAGUCCCAAGGUGUAUUAUUCCUUUUUAAGGAUAUGAUAUCGUUUACUUGUUCUGAAAAGCUUAUCAGCUAAAAAAUCAUUUGUUUAAGUAAAAGAAUGGUCCUAUUUGCUGAUUCUUUGGGCAUAUAUAGAAGGUUCAAGAAUGCUGGAUUCAAAGGAUCAGCAUUUACAGGCUCAUCAUGAAAUGGUUACUCUAGUAAAAUCACUGUUCAGAAAAUAAAUUAUUUAGAUCAAAUUUCAUUAGACAUUCUUCCGCGAAUCUUAUAUCAAGCUUCUCUAGAUGUGCAUUGUCAUGAAAUAUUUAUAUGUUGUUAGCUUUGUCAAAAUACUUAUUUUUAGAAAUCAAAAGAUGAUGGAAAUUUGGUUUUCAAUUUGGCUUUGAUUCGGAUGGCAUAGCCUGGAUGGCGGUCAUGUAAGAAUUGUAAUGGUUAACAAACCUGAUAAUUUGAUUCUUGUGUAAUGCUCCUGUUAUACUGUUUUGGAUGCUCAGAAAUGUCCUGGAAUAGGUUUUGAUAAAUGAGAGAAUUUGUUCAUUGUUUGCGAAUCUGAUAUACCCUCAACUUUGUAUCUGUCUACUAGUAAGUUUGUUUUAUAACAUGAUAUGCUCUUAGGUAGAAGCAGGAAGUGGAAAGGGACUUUUGUUAGUUUAUGUUAAUAUUACUAUUUUUCUCAGUUUCCAAUCAUUUCUGGUUCCAUUAGCAUAGGCAUAGGCAAGAACGAUGUGUUGCAUGCUGCCUCGUAUAUUGUUUUUACUUAGGAGACACUAUCACCAGAGGUAUUGUAGUUUGGUUGCUUUUUGCAUCAUCUCUUAUAUUUCUGAAAAAUAUGGCAUGUCAGAUGAGCUCAUGUGACCCUUCUUGACUAUUAUGACAUUAUAAUUCUAUGAUUCUUUUGUCAUUUUGAAAGACUUAAUAAUUGUAAGGCAUCUUCCAGUCAGCUUUUAGAUUAUCUGCUCAUGCAGCAGGUUCUGUAUAUUCAUAAUCUUUAACUAGAUUGCAUGGCUAAAGAUGGCAAGUGAUUAUUUUCUAUUAUCAGGUUUGGCUGGCGAGGCCAAUCACGUGACAGCAUUGGAACUGUUCUCUGUGUUGAUGAUGAUGGGAUUUUGCGUGUUGGGUUCCCCGGAGCAUCCAGAGGAUGGAAAGCUGAUCCAGCUGAAAUGGAAAGGGUAGAAGAAUUUAAGGUUGGGGACUGGGUCCGUAUUCGUCCCACUCUUACAACAGCAAAGCAUGGACUUGGAUCUGUAACCCCAGGGAGCAUUGGUAUAGUGUAUUGUGUUAGACCAGAUAGUAGCCUGUUGUUGGAACUGAGCUAUCUUCCAAAUCCAUGGCAUUGUGAACCAGAGGAGGUUGAGCCUGUUGUCCCUUUCAGGGUAAGGAAGAGAAAUUUUCCUUUUCUUGACAAUGUUCCCCCUUCAGUUUAUUUUUCCCCAUACUAAUUGUUAUUUGGUUAUUACAGAUUGGUGACCGGGUAUGUGUGAAGAGGUCUGUUGCAGAGCCUAGAUACGCUUGGGGUGGUGAGACCCAUCAUAGUGUAGGAAGGAUAAGUGGGAUAGAGAAUGACGGUCUCCUGAUAAUUGAAAUACCAAAACGACCAAUACCAUGGCAGGCUGAUCCUUCUGACAUGGAAAAGGUUGAGGAUUUCAAGGUGUAAUAUCUGGUUCUUUAUUCUUUUUUUAAUACUUAAAUUGAAAUAUCCAUGGUGGGAUAAGAUUAAUCUUUUCUUGUGUAAAUUGUUUUUUUUUUUUCCUAACACAAGCAGGUUAGGGAUUGGGUUAGAGUGAAAGCUUCAGUAUCCUCCCCAAAAUAUGGGUGGGAGGACGUAACACGGAAUAGCAUUGGGCUAAUCCAUAGCUUGGAGGAGGAUGGUGAUGUGGGUAUUGCUUUCUGCUUCAGGAGCAAGCCUUUCCGUUGUUCAGUGACAGAUGUAGAGAAGGUGCCUCCCUUUGAAGUGGGACAAGAGAUUCAUGUGAUGCCAUCCAUUUCUCAGCCACGGCUUGGAUGGUCAAAUGAAACUGCUGCUACUGUUGGAAAGAUAGUAAGAAUUGACAUGGAUGGGGCUUUAAAUGUAAGCAUGCUUUAUCUCUUGUUUAUUUAAAUUUCUUGUAUGAGGAGAUGGCUACUGUUGUUGACUACCUGUUGCCUAUCACAAUGCGCCAUGCCAAGGUACAGGGUGCUGGUGGCGUUUCACUAAGAAUCCUGUGGGUGUUUUUAGUUAUUCAUGUGUUCUGCUUCUGCUUAAAAUGAUGGUAGCACCCACACCUUUUUAGUAUCAUUGGAUGGUGCAUUGUGAUUGGCAGCUUCAACUAUUGUAGAAACUAAUAGCUUGUUUAUUUAGUCUUUAGCCCUUUCUUCUUCUUUUCUUUCUUUUGUUUCUUUUUUCGUAAGUAUGCUGAUAGAUAAGGAGCCAAUUUUGAUGAUUUUUACAUAGGUGAAAGUACCUGGCAGACUUAGCUUGUGGAAAGUUUCUCCUGGAGAUGCAGAGAAGCUUUCAGGAUUUGCAGUUGGUGAUUGGGUACGUUCAAAACCCAGCCUGGGAACUAGACCAAGUUAUGACUGGAACACUUUUGGGAAAGAAAGUUUAGCAGUUGUGCAUAGCAUACAGGAUACUGGUUAUCUGGAGUUGGCUUGCUGUUUCCGUAAAGGGCGAUGGAUUACACAUUAUACAGAUGUUGAAAAGGUUCCUUGCUUCAAAGUUGGGCAGCAUGUUCAGUUCCGGAGUGGAUUGCAUGAGCCAAGGUGGGGCUGGAGAGGGACGCGAUCUGAUUCACGUGGUGUUAUAACUAGUGUGCAUGCUGAUGGAGAAAUGAGGGUGGCGUUUUUUGGUCUUCCAGGAUUGUGGAGAGGUGAUCCUGCAGAUUUUGAGAUAAUGCAGAUGUUUGAAGUGGGAGAGUGGGUGAGAAUAAGAGAUGAUGCUGGUAGCUGGAAAACCAUAGGGGCAGGUAGCAUUGGCAUUGUACAAGGUAUAGGCUAUGAAGGAGAUGAAUGGGAUGGAACCAUUUCUGUUGGGUUUUGUGGGGAGCAAGAAAGAUGGGUGGGGCCUACUUCCCAUCUUGAAAGUGUGGAUAGGCUCAUGGUUGGGCAGAAGGUUAGAGUUAAACUCUCUGUGAAACAACCAAGGUUUGGGUGGUCAGGCCAUAGUCAUGGAAGCAUUGGGACCAUAUCAGCCAUCGAUGCUGAUGGAAAGCUGAGAAUAUAUACUCCAGCAGGCUCAAAAGCAUGGAUGCUGGAUGCAGCAGAAGUGGAGCUGGUGGAGGAAGAGGAACUUGGAAUUGGAGACUGGGUUAGGGUUAGGGCAUCAGUCUCGACCCCUACUCACCAUUGGGGAGAAGUCAGUCAUGCAAGCAUUGGGGUGGUCCAUCGGAUGGAAAAUGAUGAGCUAUGGGUGGCAUUCUGCUUCAUGGAGAGAUUAUGGCUUUGCAAGGCUUGGGAGAUGGAAAAAGUUCGGCCUUUCAAAGUAGGGGAUAGAGUGAGGAUCAGAGAAGGGCUGGUGACCCCGCGGUGGGGCUGGGGAAUGGAGACACAUGCAAGCAAAGGGCAGGUGGUGGGAGUAGAUGCCAAUGGGAAAUUGAGGAUUAAGUUCCAGUGGAGAGAAGGGAGGACUUGGCUAGGAGAUCCAGCAGAUAUUGUUCUUGAUGAGACCAUACCUGGCACAACUGGCACUUUAUGAUAACCUUAUCUUUCAGUUCAUUACACAGACUUUUGGUUUCGGGCCUCUCGCUCAUUCAUCAGGGAAGUGAAAGUGGGAGCGGCUGCUGCUGCUAGUGGGAUUGUGCGCUAUGCAGUUGAAGUUGCUUGGAAAUUAUACGAUCAUUGUAAGUGUAUGCUGCGAUGAUGGUAUAGUUUAUUUAUUGUCAAUAAACAGAAAGAGCAGAGAGAUGGAUAGUGAGGAGAACUUGGCUUGCCUUACUGUUAAUGAUAGGAUACAAGAGCAGCCAAGAAAGAGAUAGGAGUAGGCCAUUUUUAUUUCAUAGAUAAAUGACCUUUUUUCCGGUAUAUAUAUGGUUAUAUUUUUCUUCUGUACAAAUUUGAACCCUAUGAUAUCCAGAGCUAUUACCUUUUUUUCCCCCGCUUUAUUAUUGUUCUUGUUUCUUCUCUUCCUGGUCUUAACACCACCUAGAUGGAUCAUCCCCCACCGACACUGCUUCAUUCCAUCUUCCAACACAGCCGACUGGCUGCGGCCAACAGAUCUGCCCAACCAAACUUGACAGCAGGUUCACAAUUCUUUGGAUCAUGUUGGCAAAAGCAACAUCUGAUGCUAGUGUCUGUUGCCAUUUUUGGAGUUCAUAUUUCAAGAAUAGUCUUAUAGCUUCGCGUCAAUUAAAUUAAUAAUACGUACAAAUCAUGAAGGAUAGCAUCAUUACUCUGCACCUGGGAAAAUGGAGUUCCAUAACAAAUUUGACUCCCCAAAAGGUUCAACAAAAUUUCCAACCUUUCCAACUAUGCCUUAGCUUUGAGGCUCGAGGCAAUGAGAAAUCAGAAAGUGAUCCCAUCAGUCGACACCCAACCAACGGUGGGAGGAUGCCAGCAUUUUGAAAAUCCUAGAAAACAUACACAAAACAGCUAGAAGAAAUAGAAACUAUGCGUGAUUAAGAGCAAGCAUCUGUAACAGCAAUAUCGUCGUUACUGUCCACAAGGUAUUAAAAAUGACAAAAAAAAUGGAAAAGAAAAAAAAUUGCCCCCAGAAAAUUGUUUGGGUGGAUGCUUGCUCCUACUCAUGACCUUUUUUCAUGGGUCUUGCUUGUGGACACUUGACAUAUCAAUCUUGAUCUGGGAAAGCCUCCCCUGUGCUUAUCUUGUUUUCAUGCCACUUGGAAAAGCCAUCUUUCAAAGCCUCUCUCAUCCAUGGAUGCCGGCAGUUCUCAUAUGCUUCAGGUAUGGUUAACCAACUUCUCCUUCGGGUGUUCUGCUCUGGCCAUGACUCCAGCUCCUCCUUCACGAACAAGGCAAACAUUGCAGCUUUACAUGAUCCUUCUGGGCUAAACUCAUCUUGGAGGGUUUUACUCUUGAAAUGGUAAUGCCCAAGGAAUUCCUGAAAAAGUCGUGACAGAAACAGGGGUUAGUCCCACUCAGGUCCAAGUAACCGAGUAAAGCACGAACAAACAGAUAUGUUACAGCAUAAGUCUCACAUUAUAAAGAAUUUGAAUAGAUAGGAGGAAUAUAGUUGAGGAAAGAAAGAUCUCAGUUCAAAGGAAUAGCAGAAGAGGGAGGAAAGUAUUUUUAGGACAAAUUUGGCAUAUUCAAGUGGCCAAAACCUCAAGAUCCUAAAGCAAUCAUUUUCCCAUUUUCCUUGAGCCCCAUAAUUGCCAACAUCUGUUUCAGCUGGAUCCAUACACUUGAACCUGGUGUUAACAGCCUUGCACAGAACAGUUUGAUCAAGCAAACCAUCAAGUUUUUUGGAUUCACAGAUGCCAGAGAGUACCGAAAGAGAAAAAGACAAUAAUAUCAUAAUAACUACCAAAAUGGUUAAACUUCGGCAAUUUUCUUCCUUAAAUCAUCCAGGGGUUUCUGGUGGCAUUUUUUUUUCCCUUUUAUGCUUGUUGCUUGCUUCUCUUUUAGUUCUCAAAGAUCUCUCAUCCUUACCCUGUUUCCCUUUACCACCUAAAUAAUAACGAUGACAAUGAUAAUGACAACAAUAAGAAUAAUGACAUAGGCCAAUCUUCUUUUCUGAAUAGUAAUAAUAAUAGUAAUCAUUAAAAUUGUAAUUGAAAAAUGUGAAAUCCUGUUAGACCGGGCAUAGGAAAACUGAGAUUAUGUGCUUAACCAGAAACAAUGCCUAUGAAUCUAAUCCUGAAGCUCCAGCUCCGAAAGCCCAGAUGUUUCAAUGCAACUGCCACUGGUAUGAUUUAUAGCUUGCACAUUGCUUAUUCCCAUAGAUUUCAUUAGCAUUUUCAGUCUUCUUUUAUCCAUGUUGAAAGUUCAUCUCCAUGCAACAAAGCUAUGCAUGACUCCCUCCCUUGCUACGGCCAGUGGAAAAAUAUAUUUGAAAUACAAGAGGAAGAAAAAAUCCUUCUUCCUUAAAAUGACCAAGGCAAAAAAGAUAGUGCAUCCUCCCUCCCUCCCUCCCUUAUGGUAAAUGGAAAAGUAAUAUGAAAGAGCACAAAACUUAUUGAAAUGCAAAAGGAAUAAAAUGUUCAAUACAGUUCAUUCAACUUUGGGCUCUCCCUUUUAGCCAAUGAAUUUGCUUCAAGUUUAUUUUCUCUGGCUAACCAAUUUACUUGGAACAAGUUAGGAAGUGACACAAGCCCCAAAUCUGUCAAAAGUUAGCAAUAUGUCAAUGACCUAAGGUUUCCCCUCCUCAUCCAGCAAUUAACCAUGACCCCCAUCCAAACCCUUAGAGGAGGCCUCGCACAGAUGUCCCAGGGCUGAUUAAAUCUGUUUCAAUUGCAAAGCCAUAACCUUCAGGUUUGGAGAAUGUGGGAUGAUGGUACCUCCAGGAUCCCUCCAAUGCCUACAAUACUUAAUUGGCCAGAGUUUCCAAAAGAGGUCUAAUCAAAAUUAACCUUGACUUUAUCUUUAGGAGGGGAGGGGUCAAGGCCCAUGUCAACUGCACAGGUACAAAGCAAGAGUAUACUACAGUCAUCCAGUCAGCUAAACAACCAAAAGAACUCUCUAAAUUUUUGAAUGCUGAAGGCCAACUCUGCCAACACUUUCACCAUAAAAAUCAUAUAGUUCCUCCCAUUCCAUAUGACCCCAUCUAUAGCAAGUGCGACCACCUAUCUGACUUUCUUCUGAGCACACAAAACCUGCCACAUCUUUUAAUUGUUAAAUUGAAACCAGUCAAUUUAAGAAUUCAUCUAGCAUUUUCAAUCUAAUAAAUAAAUUUCCUACUCUUCCAUCAUAUUAAUAGUUCUAUCCUCCACAUUUGCUUCUGAUCUAAACCUGUCCUUUUUGUUUCCUUUUUUUUCUCCUCCCUCUCUCGUUUUUCAACAUCUCAAAGAAUGUAAUGACCUGAUUAUCCAUAACAAGUUUUAAGAUAUUAUUGAUUAGGAUCACAUAGUGACCUGAUGUUGUAUGCAUUUUCCUUACUAAGGUACUAAGGUAACCUACACUUACAGACAAUGCAAAGAUGACUACUAAUUGUACUAAGAGAUCAUAUAUGGAUUUAAUGGUGACUAUCAUGGGAAGGAAAAUGCAUAGUUAAUACAAGACAAUUCACUGAAAUAGAACUUUGCACAUAAGGGCAUCAGAAGUCAAAUCCAAUGGCAGCAAUAGUCAAAUACAGAAGACAAAUACUAAAAACUAGCAUGUUAAAGAUGCAAUGGAUGAUAAUUUGAUUAGACAGGAUUAAUUUCAGCCCCUAAAAUUUAAAAAACCUUCAGAAACAAUUAGAUAAUUUAAGAGAGAUAGUUAUCAUAUCCCAAGAACUCAAUAAGCUUUUCUACCAAAAAAAUAAAUAAAUAAAGGAGAGAGAAAACUAAAGGUUCUUUUUUAUGGAACCAAACAGACUUUAAAAUCAAAUGGGAAAAUUAAAUACCAUCAGAACCCCCCGGACUCCAGCUUCUUCAAUAGCUUCCCUUAUUGCUGCCUCCUCAACAGUUUCAUCAUUCUCCCAGCCUCCCUAUAACAGUUUAACAAUCAGUUAUAACAUUUAUUCAAUAUUAAAAAAUGACUAAGAUGCAAUUAUCACCAGAAUGAAAUUUAAUAUGCAUGUAUUCUCCAGGUGACAGACCUGCAGUGAACCGUAAAUGACUAAAAUUAUAGCACCAAGCAUCGGUUUCACCAGCUAGCCUAAAGUAAGUUUGUUUUUAUUAUUAUUAUUAUUAUUAUUAUUAUUAUUUAUUUAUUUUUUAUUUAAAAUUUUUAACCAUAUAGAUUCAAAGUAAGAACUGUAAGAAUAAAAAACUCAAACUUAUCUACAACCCUAACAAAGCCUUAAAUACAUGUAUCAAAGACAUGGAAGGCAGAUGAGUGGCAAAUUAUGCACUGCUUAGCCUUGGUGUUUACAAAUCUAGGAAUCAAGAUAUUAAACCAACUUGCCACAUAUGAAAAUCUCAUAUCCAAUAUAAUAUGAUUUCAGAUGUAUUUGGAAUCCAUUUUUAAGAUUUCACGACACCAAAUGAUAAAUGUUUUUGCUUGUGUGUAUACAUAGAAAAUAGCAAAUCACAAUUACUUGUAGUGCAGUAGAUCAAAUAAACAAGCAAAAACAUCAUUCCUUAGACAAUAUAACGAAAAGAUAAUUCUCAUAACUGCGUACCUUUGGAAACAAAAGACCUGGACCACUGGGUGAAUUGAUCAUAAGCACUUCAACAACCUUCUCAGAAUUUUCAUUGCUUCCCUCAUCAGGAUUUCUAUGCUUAAAUGGAAUGCACCUGUCAAAAUUCUCAUGAGUUAACUUCUGGAAACUAGAUUGGAGAGUAGCAUCGCACAAAUGUUCAAAAAUUUUUGAUCUGACACCUAGGAGUAAGAUUAUGCAAAGUUCUUUAAACAUUGUUCAUAAAUAAAACAAGCUACCAUAUACAGAAAGAGGCCAAUAAACCAAUCCGCUGGGUUCUACUCAUCCAUAUGGGAGGAGAAAAAUGGCACUACAGAGGAAAUUGCUAAUAGAACUUGAUCGAAAUCAGUUUCAUCGUUGGCUAAAUUAUGCACCACUUGAUUGUUUUAUAAGAGGAAACCAACAAUUGAUACAAACUUUGUUGAGAUGUGGCAGUAAGCAUCCAGCAACUCUAAUUCCAUAAUUCCAUAAGCUGAGUCUCCCCUCCCAAAUAAAAGGCCAUUAACUAGCACAAACUGUUCUUUUCACAACACAGUGCCAACGAAAAUAAUUCCAUAAGCUGAGUCUCCCCUCCCAAAUAAAAGGCCAUUAACUAGCACAAACUGUUCUUUUCACAACACAGUGCCAACGAAAAUAAUUCCAUAAGCUGAGUCUCCCCUCCCCAAAUAAAAGGCCAAUCUAACAGUGAUGUACCCCUCUACAAUAUCUUCACCCCCAUAUGCAGUGCCUUGUUCUCACUUUUUAAUGUCAUCAAAACAAAUCCUGUUCCUAUUCAAAUUAUAAAUCAAAAUCAUGUUGAGGAUUAAAAGCAGGAAUAACAUAAAGAUAUGUGUCAUAUCGAGUCACCUAGGAAUCUGGGCAAGGAUAAACUGGGUGCCUGGACUAGCACUUGGCUACCAGAAGAGAAAUUGCCUACUAUAAUCCAGCCAUCUUGCCAAGCCCAAGUGUAUAAGAGAGACAGAUGACCCAAAAUCAUGUUAUCUAAUCAAACUCAUUAUUUACCAUGUGGACAUAGGUUAGAACCACCAGGGAUUAAAUCUUCAUCAUUUGCUUUUGAUACACCUAGUAUUUCUUUUAACAUGUAUCAAUACUUUGUUUGAAUAUUAAGUUUCAUAAAGGUUAGAAUAAACCACAGUGUUACCAUUAAAACACCCUUGUCUACUAAAAUGUUAAGAAACUGGAACUGUUUCCCCAACAUAUCCCCACCCUCACACACAAAUAAAUAAAUAAAUAAAAAUCUUUCCAUGAUCUACUUUAGAAAUAACUGGAAUUGGAAAUCUGCCUACACUUUUACAAUCCUAUUCUACAAGUCAUUGUGGGACCAACCUCAAAUCACAACCCAACACCUAUGGCUACUCAUAUCCUCUUACUAUUCCACAUGAAAAGCUUUGUUCACAACAAUUGGCCUCUUCCUCAAAACAUUUUCUUUGCUUAAAAUUCCCAAACCUUCCACCCCAUUAAGCAAGCAAAACCAUUUUUAAAAAUGCAAAAGAUGAUACUUAAAUCAUGUUCCAAAACUCCCCAAAGAAAGUCCCUUUAAAAUUUUCAUUCCAGUGUAUUAAUGAAGGCAUGGUAAAGAGUAGCAUAGUACAUCAAAGUACUAGUAAAGCAGUCCCAACCAACAUCAUCCUCCCUUUAAGUAAAUGCACCCCCACCAUCCAAACUCCACCCAAAAAUGUAUUCAGAAUUCAGAUAAAUCAUUUCAAACUAAAUCCAACAACAUAAUUGGUGAUUCAAAGGGAAAAAAAAAAAAAAGGAUCCCACCACACACCCAAAUUCAAUCUCCUCGUUUGGAUCCUUACCCAGUUUGACAUACACCAUAUUCACAAAUUUGUAAUACAUUAUCAAGAAUACAUACUUUUCGGGCAUUUGCAGUAUAUUCUGGCUUAAUCUACCAACUCUAUCAAAACCCUACAAUUAAAACCAACAAAAACGCCAAUUCUUACUUCCAUUAACAAAAAUGACACAUACCCACUUACCCACCAACAAGUCAAAGGUUAUUCAAAUUAAGUUAUAUAAAAAUGAAAGAUAAAAAUUGAAAAUAAAUAAAUAAGUAGGUGGCUCCCAUGAAAAUGACCUUACAAACAUAUACAUCACCAUCAACAAUGACAGCAACAAAUCAUAAGACAUAAAAAUAAAUAAAAGAGUACAGUGGGGGGAAUUUGAUUACCCGGCAAUAAGGCGACAGCCGGCUUCGUAGCGCUGCUGAUGACGACCUGUACGGGCAACCAAACCAGACAUGCUCAGUAUAAGAGAAAAGGUUUUUAUUCACUAUGAACCCAGGUGGUGAUUGGCCAUUGAUGUCGCGGUUAUGCAGAUGAUUCCGCUUGAUAAUUCCACCAUUGUUGAUGAGUACUGCGGUUGUGAUGAACCCUUCAGAGCAUGAUCCAAUGGCUGAUAGGGUUUCACUCUGUUCGAAAGAGAGAGAGAGAGAGAGAAUGAAACUCAGAUGUGGAAAGGAGGAUUGCGAGAGCUAGAGAGAGAAAGUAGCGGAUCGAACGGUGAGACUAGGUCAAAGGUCAAAGUCUCGACGCCGCAUUUUAAGAAGUCAACCGGAGUUUGCUACUUUUUGCACGGAAGGGUCCUGAUCCUCCGAGGUUACCUGCUGAAGCAGCCCCAUCCGUCCGAUCAGAAAUUCUUGCCGUUUCUACCUUUUCCCAACAUAGGUGAUGACGAGUUCCAUGGGCUAAUGGGCCUCUGAGUCUGGCCCAACCUAGCCUUAUAGGCAUAAGCCCAGAAUUUUCUAACUUGUAAACUUACCAUUUCUUUCAAAAUUUUCUUUUAAUUGCUUUGUCCACAAAAAAGGCCUUGUUUGGGAAGAGUUGAAACUUAAGCCAGGUCACAAUUUACUUUAAAGGGCAAUAUCGAUAUUGAAACGUUUCUACUAAACAUGAAAGAACUCUUAUAUAAGCCAAAAUAAAACUUCUAUAAGAAGCAACAUUUUCCUAACUUUGAUAUAAUACGCGAUUUGCACAAGAAGUAAUAAAAUACUUGCACUAAUAGCUAAAUUCAAUAGAAAUUGUCUUUAUAUGAUUUCCAAUGAGAUCAUAAAAUAAAAAAAUUGUAAAGAAUUCAUCGGGAAUGCCAUUCCCAACGCUUUCCCGAGCAGCUCGAGCCUCGAAGUAACGGUGGUCGUAGAUCACGAUGUGGGGGGCUCCCCUCCACGUGUCACUUUCCAAUCCCAACACCUUGGCGGGGUAGCGCAGACAUGCAAACGUCCAAAUCAUUCCAUUCAGACCAUGAUCAAUUCCAUUUGACAACAAACAUAAAGAGGCCCUUUCCCUAUAAGGCCAGACGACAUGGGGAGACCGGACCCUCCAAACAGACGAAACCAUCCAAUCAAGCCUUCAAGGCCCAAUGGCAUGAGUAAUCAUUCAUACCUGACAUGAGAAUGGCUUAUGAGACCUCUUCUAACCCUCUAGUCCAUGUCAAUUAAUUGCCUCACACAACCCCAAGUCAUCAAUAGGUUGAGGGAACAGGCGGUUGUACGGUUAAAGAUCAUGGCACGUCAGUUGAUGACACCUACUAGCCACCCAAAAUGGUGAUGAUCACCCUGCCACCUACAAAACAAUCAUCAUUAUAAGGAAAGUUAAAGUGCUUAGUUAACACUACAGUAGCACUUUCUUUAGCACUAUAAAAACCCUCUAAAACCACAAACAAGGUACGUAGAGAUACACCGACUCACUCUUUCUCACUAAGGUCGCUUGAGCUGUCUUUUGCCCGACUUAAGCUUUGGAGGGGCAUGCUCGGACCACCUAUCCGGACAUCCCUUGUGCAGGAAAGGAGUUUACUCAGUCUCAUUAGUGUUGGGGCAAAUAGUCUGAGAGACAUGCGAAAAUAGGAAGACUAUCCAAUCUCCAUUAAGUUGGACGAAUCCGACUUUAGUUGGUUUUGCAUCAACAUUGGCGUCGUCUAUGGAAACGAUUAAGAAUGUCAACACUCUCUAGAAGCCAAUCAUUAGCUAUGGGUAGCGAUGACUACUUUGACUGGCGUGAAAGAAUGGAAAGACGCCAACGAGAGAGUGAGCGACAGGUACAAUCCCUACUCUGCGAGAUAAGGAGACUCAAAGAAGAGAAUGACGAGUUUUCUGCCCAAGUGUUGUCAUCGGGCCUCUCUCACAACUGACAACAAAAAGGUCAGCGAGCAACCUUAAGACAAAAUGACGAGGUGUCUUUUCCCUAGGAACGUAAAGUCCCUCUCUGGUAGUCAUGAAAUACAGCUAGAAGAGAAGCUUUCACCAACCCGCUAGGUGCAGUUGGACGAAAGCUCCGACUCUACCCAGGUGUCAACAAGAAGGAGGCGCAACAGGAGGUCAUGUUUGUUUGACGUAAUGCAAGCCUGGUUGGGACCUCAAUCACUUGGCAUAGGGGGAAAACCUUAUGUAGUAGAAACUCUAGAGGCUCGUUUGGGUCCCUCAGCCGCAACAAUCAUGUUAGAAUGGCCCUCCCAUCUGCCCUGACAGUGGCAAGUGGAGACCCCAACGGAUUGGGCUCCACUUGGCUCCGUCAACUGACGACUGGACGACAUGCUCUCCAUGCCGUUUGGCCCUCACAUCAUUAACUAUGAGCCCUCAAGGGGGUUCAUAGUACCAAAAUUCACGACAUACGAUGGAACAAGCGAUCCAUUCGAUCAUAUCAUGCACUAUAGGCAACUCAUGACCCUAGACAUAAAGAAUGAUGCACUGUUAUGCAAAGUCUUUCCAACCAGCCUACAUGGCUAGGCUCUCUCAUGGUUCCAUCGCUUUUCGAAGAACUCCAUGAACAAUUUUUGAGAUCUAUCGGAAGCCUUUGUGGGACACUACCUAUGUUCAACUCGCCACAAGCAAAACAUAAGCACCCUACAGAACAUCAAGAUGCAGGAAAAUGAAUCCCUCAAGGACUUCAUGAAAUGGUUCAAACAAGUUGUGCUCCAAGUAGAGUCUUGCAGCAUGGACACCAUCUUGUAGAUCUUCAAGAGAAGCAUCAAUCUGAGUACGUCGUUCUUUGAGUCUCUUGCCAAAAAGCCACCAACAACGAUGGACGACCUAUUCAAACGAGUAAACAAGUACUUUAUGCUCGAAGACAACAUCCGCGCAGCUACUUAGUAGGUCCUAGUCACCAAUCGUUCGACUAGAAACGACCAUGCAGGAAGCUCAAAUCCCUAAAGCCAAUUGAGACAAGUUAAUAAAAGGCAGGACAACUAGCAGCAGCUGAGUCAAGCUAGCCUGACCCUCCUCAAUAUCUCAUGCGAAAAAUUCCUCCCAAUUAUUCGCGAUUUGUCUGAUUUCAAGUGGUUGGAGCCGAUCAAGACAGAUCUGGCUAAACGGGAUCAGAGCCAUUAGCCUAUCACAAAGAUCAUGGCCAUACCACGGAGCAGUGUAGAAGUCUCCACUAUCUAGAGGAAAGACUAAUCAAGGUUGGACACCUGAAACAAUACAUCCGCAUAAGUGGUGGACAAAGGGAAUCGACCCGAGAUUUGGCCAUACAAGCCCCCACAACUUCAGCAGCUCCCAGAGCUAUUAUCAACUACAUUCACGGAGGCUCCACUGAUGAAAAAUACAACUCCAAGUGGAAAAGGCAAAAGUUGCUUCAUGCGGCCUCCGUAAGGGAACAAAUCAAUUCCAUUCAACACAACUUGCCAAAUGGAAGUACACGCCUCGUUGAUGACACAAUUACCUUCCCUCCGAUAAAUGCUAACUGGGCAUUGCAGCCACACGAAGACGCCCUGAUCCUAACCUUGGGAAUAAGCGGGUUCAAUGUAAGAAGAGUUCUAAUUGAUCAAGGUAGCUCGGCUGACCUCUUACAAAUGUCGGCUUACAGGAAAAUGAAAUUCCUACUAUCUACCCUAGAAAACCCAAGGUGAAUACUAUCUGGGUUCAGUGGGACCACAACAGCUUCUCUAGGAAACGUUGUAUUACAUGUCCAAGCUGGCCCAAUCACCUUAAAUGUACAAUUCUCGAUGGUAGAUGAUUUAUCCUUUUUCAACGCCAUCAUGGGACGCUCAUGACUUCACAGUAUGAAGGUCAUUCCCUCUACAUAUCAUCAUAUGGAGAGCUACCUCAACAAGGACGAACAAAUCGAUAUUUUUGGCAAUCAAUUGGUUGAGCACCAGUGCUAUCAAGUAGUGCUUGAAUCCGGACACCCGACUAGUAAUGAGCCAUGCCUAGAUGAGCAAUAACAAUUACUAAACCUGGUGGAGAAGAAUCUACUUGCAGUUGACCCACUCCAACCACUACGUCUCUCAUGCGACAUUGACCAAGUUACCUAUGCCAACUUCCUUUUCAUGUUAGAUGAAUUGAAACUAUUUGAAAGCAUGCUUCGGUAGACCAAAGACAUAUUCACCUAGACUCAUUCUAAAAUGACAUGAAUCCAUCCAUCUAUAGCCUCACAUCGACUCAACGUCAUACUUUCUUCACGACCCAUCCACCAAAAGGUUCGAUGCUUGCAUUCAGACAAGCAGAGGAUCAUCCAGGCUGAGAUUGACAAAUUGCUGACAACCGGAUUCAUCAGGGAAGUUGAAUAUCCAGACUGGUUGGAAAAUGUGGUGGUUGUUCCAAAGAAGGAUGAGAAAUGGCGAGUCUGUGUCAGUUACACCAACUUGAAUGAUGUUUGUCCAAAUGAUAGUUUUCUUUUUCCCUGAAUAGAUCAAAUAGUAGAUGCCAAUGUCAUGCACGAAAUGUUCUCCUUCAUAGACGUUUUAUUCAGGUACCACCAGAUCCCCAUGUUCCAACCAGAUGAGGAAAAUGCAGUCUUUGUGACACCACACGGGUUGUACUGCUACAAAGUUAUACCAUUUGAGCUCAAGAAUGUUGGCACUACUUAUCAGAGGUUGAUGACAAAGAUCUUCAAACCCUUGAUCAAUGGAACUGUGGAAGUCUACAUUGACGACAUUGUGGUGAAGAACCCGAGGCAAACACGCCCAACACCUGGAAGAAACAUUUCGCCUAAUGCGGACGUACAACAUGAAGCUUAACCCGACUAAAUGCGCUUUUGGUGUUAGCGCGAGUAAGUUCCUAAGAUUUAUGGUAACCCAAAAGGGAAUUAAAGUUAAUUUGGAUUAAAUAAAAGUCAUCCUUGAGACACCUGCCUUGAAUAGUAAAAAGGAGUUGCAACGUCUCACAGGUAGUCUAACUGCACUAGGGCGUUUCAUAGCCCAAUUUACAAACAAACUGAGGUCUUUCUUCCUCACACUCAAGGGGUCAAGUGCAAUCGAUUGGACGGAUGAAUGUGGGCGAGCAGGCAUUCGAUGAAGUCAAACACUAUCUCACUAAGCCACCUAUUCUGAGCAGCCCUCAGUCGGGUGAACAACUCUACAUGUAUUUGGUCGUGUUUGACUGUGCAAUCAGUGUUGUUCUAUUUUUUCAUGUAAAAGACAAAGAACAGAGGCUCGUUUACUAUGUGACCAAAACAAUGGUUGAUGUAGAAACCCAAUACUCCAUAAUAGAGCAAACGACCUUAGCCAUGAAAAGCGCCGCCUAGAAACUCCUCUCAUACUUUCGGGCCCACCAAGUGAUUGUACUCACAAAUCAACCACUCAGAAGCAUCUUGCAUAAACCAGGUCUAUUCAGACGAAUGUUGAAGUGGGUUGUUGAGUUGAGUGAGUACAAAAUCAAAUACCAGCCAAGAUUAGCAUUGAAGGGACAAGUCAUGGUCGACUUUAUAACUGAAUUCCCCUAAAAACCAUCACAUCUAAACGAGUCCCCUGGGAAAAGAUGGUGGAUACUUCAUGUGAACGGAACAUCCAUGGCCUUCGGUUUUGGAGUAGGCCUGAUCUUACAGUCACCGCCUAGGGAGUUGCUAGAGCAAGCUAUCCGACUCAGCUUUCCUGCCUCUAAUAAUGAAGCUGAAUAUGAGGUGGUCUUGGCCAGACUAGAUCUUGCCCUUACUUUAGCAGCAACCAAGUUGGAAAUAUGUAACAAUUCUCAACUAAUCGUUGGGCAAAUUCAGAAAGAGUGUGAAGCAAAAGACGAAUGCAUGACUCGCUAUCUCACCUUGGUAGAAAGCCACUUGGGAAAGCUAGGCAAGUGGGCAGUUAGACGUGUACCCCAGACAAAAAAUUUAAAGGUUAACGCACUAGCCGGAAGAGCUACCACUCUUCCUAUAAGAGAUGUCGUAAUGUUGCCCGUCUACCUCCAGGCCACAUCCUCAGUUGCGUCAGUACCAGUAUGUAGUAUUGUUGAGGCGGACCCCAACUGGAUGCACGAAAUUGUGAAAUAUCUCCAGACGGGAGAACUACCAAGGGAUGAGAAGCAUGCACACAAGGUUUGCGUACAAGCCGCCCGCUUCACCCUAAUCAAUGACAGUCUUUAUAGACGAUCUUUUGGAGGACCAUAUCUAAAAUGUUUGAGCAAUCCGAAAGCGCAGUACGUCCUAGCCAAACUCCACGAAGGUGUGUGUGAAAAUCAUACAGGCGGGUGAACCUUAGCACAUUGCACUCACACGCAAGGAUACAAUUGGCCUACCAUGAAUAAGAUGCUGAAAAUUAUGUUAAGAAGUGUGAUCGGUGUCAGAAGUACGCUCUCAUCCUCGCAUGCCUUCUAAAGUUCUCAACCUGGUUACGAGCCCUUGGUCGUUUGCAUUAUGGGAGAUGGACAUAGUUGGUCUCUUACCCUUGGCAACAACACAAAAGAAGUUUCUACUCAUAGCUACUGACUACGUCAGCAAGUAGGUAGAAGUAGAAGCCUAUGAUAGCUUCAAAGACAAGGACGUCUCCAAGUUCAUCUGGAAAAACAUCGUUUGCCCGUUCAGGGUUCCACAAGUAAUUAUAGAGGACAAUGGGCCGCAAUUCGACAAUAUCACCUUCAAAAUCUUCUGCUCGAAGCUAAAAAUUAAGAAUCUAUAUUCCAUGUCCCGCUAUCCUCAAAACAAUGGGCAAGCAGAGGCAAUUAACAAGACCCUACUGACUGCACUUAAGAAAAGACUGGAAUGAGCCAAAGAAAAAUGGGUAGACGAAUUGCUCGGAGUUCUGUGGGCGUACCAAACAACAUUCAGACGACCUACAAGAAUCACUCAUUUUGUCCUUGCCUAUGGAAUGGAAGUUGUUAUUCCAACUGAGAUAGGCAUGCCCACCGCCAAAAUAGUCGUGCAAGGUUAAAGAGAUGACAAUCAAUAACUUGAGAAAUAAUUGGAUUAAGCAGAUGAGGUGAAGGGAAACCCAAUCAUUUGGAUGGCCUCCUAUCGACAGAGAGUUAUUGCCCAUUACAAUAAAAAGGUCUAACCACGUAUUUUCCGCACCGAAACCUUAGUCCUCAAAAGAGUCUUUGAGAACACGAUUAAGGUGGGAGUCGAAAAGCUUUAGGCUAAUUGGGAAAGGCCCUAUGUUGUGACUAAGGUUAGGGGCUUAGGGGCAUACCAUCUCUAAACAUUGGACAACGUACCCCUGCUCCGCCCUUGGAAUGUAUCCAACCUAAAGCAGUACAAUCAAUGGGAUUGGCUUAUGAAAAAUAAAAUGUACGUGAAAGAAAGACGAAAAAGACAAGUAUAUCUGUAUUAAAAAUGUGAAUGUUCAUUACAACCUCCAGUUGAGCCAUCUUCGGACAGAAAAAAAAAAAGAAAAAAUAUACAGAAAUGAUCAGGGUCAUGUCUGUCCACCAAAGGGACUGGCUUUAGUAGCAUCCUCAUCAUAUGAAGAGUAGUUGGGGGUACCCUAGGUGAUGCUAUGUUUCUUCAUGCAACACCGGUAGCCGAAAAAAAACAUGUCAUCUACUUGCUUUUGAUACUCACCCUCCAGCUCCUCUUUUUUUAGCGGCAAACCCCACCCGGAGCUCUUUCAUCUCCUGCCUUAGUCAUGUGUUCUUCUCUUCGGCCUUCUUAUGCCUAGCCUCCAUCGCCUCUUAUUCCUCUGUCAACCAACGGGACUCAGCUUUAGCUGUCUCUUUCCUUUUUUCUGUCUUCCUUAGCAAUUUGACUCCUUCAUCAACAACUUUCCGAGCAACAGUAAACUCGUCCUCCACCGAUUUUAGCUUGGCACAGAGUUCUUCAUUGUCGUCCAUGUUAUGGGCAAUGUACACUCUCAUAGUCUUAGUAGCCUCUAGUCGUUUGAAGAGCAUAGCACGGUGCUGCAUCAAAUUGCAGACGUUGGCCACCACCUGAGAUGGCAGCAAGAAAUUGUUAAGAAAUCAAAAGACUAAGGCACCGAUAAAAGAGGGAAGAGGCUUACCACUUCCGUCGUCUCAAUGGUUGUAUAAUCUUACAUAGGCAAGAUGCGGGAGACGACGAAUUCUGGGGUGUCAAAUGGAAGUCAGGCCACAAAGAAAAUGUUGGGAUCGCCAUCUAAGUCUACCGAGACUCGCCGGGUGGCCGAAAAGAGUACUCCCAUGUUGUUCAUAGGAGCCUCCCUCUCUGUAAAGCAAGGGAUCUGCUUCAUCAGUUCGGCUAUCUCCUCCCGGUUGGGGGUGUGAGGCACUUAGGGACGAGGAGGGACGGAAGCCACGCACUUAAUGGAGUCAUCAUUGAGUUCAGUCGGACUAGUGGAGGGCCCCCUAGCUCUGGGCGAAUGCCUCCCCCAGCAGAGAAUGACCUCUUGUCCGGUGUAGGGUUGGUACCUGCAGUAGCAGCCGAAGGCUCUAGCGUCGGUACAAUAACCAAUACUGGCUCCAGGUAGAGAAUCUUCGAGCAGGGCUUUUUAGGAGAAAGGGGAAUGACCAUGAUAGAUUUGUGUUAGCCCAAGGGUUCUCCUAAUCGGGUUUUGAUGAUAACAAACCAUGGUUAAGUGACUAAUUGGUUUAAUGGUUAAGAAUCUCAGGCAUAAACUUGAAAAUUCAUCAAAUGACCAAAUGGAUAAAAGAUUGAGUCUUUUGGAAGACUUGUGAUCAUAGGAAACGAAUGCAAGAUGAAUGCAUGAGUGCACUUUGGAAUUUCAUAUCGUUUUAUGCAACUUAGAAAACUCAGUUUAUCAUUUAAAACUUCGAUUUCAUUAAAACCCGAGUUUUAACAAAUGUACCUUAGGCAAAAUGUUUUAAAAUUGGCAUAAUAAUUCACCUAAAGACCUUGCCUAAGUGUUAAAAAAGAAGGAAUUGAAAAAGAUAGGUUUUUGGGGCCAAAAGGCUCAAUCGGUCGAGGUCCGGUCGAGGGAUGCCCAAAAUCUUCUCUCUCUCCUAGUAGCCUUCUCUUCCCAGUCGAGGCAACAAUAACUUGUCAAGCAUUAAAUGCUCCAACGGCUAAUGAACCGGUCAACCCCUAACUCGACCGGUCGAGGUUACCUUUUGCUGUUUUUGGCUCCCGAGCUUAGAAACUUAUAAAUUGAGAGCUUCACUUCAUUUAUUGAUAAGAGAACACUUGCAAUCAAUUGUCUACCUACUUGUUCUUGACCAAAAAGCUCUCAUUUCUUUCCUAGUGCAUUAAAUCAUCACUUGCAUAUCCUUUAUUUUCUCAAUUGGUAUCAGAGCUAGACCUCUUGUUUUAAAGACUUAAUCAUCUAAGAGGAAAUGAAUAUUCCAUCAAGCUCAUCUCAAACUGAAUUUUUUUUCAAAACAUAGAGCUCCAUUCUUUACGGAAACCGACUAUCCCUAUUGGAAAACCAGAAUGACUUGGUACUUACAAUCAACUGAUUUAGAUGUAUGGGACGUCAUUGAAGAUGACCCAACUUUUCCCACUAAACUAGUUGAUGGAGUUUUGGUUCCAAAACCCAAGUAAGAAUGGAAUAAACUUGAUAGAAGAAACGUUCAAUUAAAUGCUAAAGUCAUUUUUACUUUGCAAUGUGUUAUGGAUAGAAAUAAAUAUAAUAGAAUAUGUCAAUACAAAUCGGCUAAAGAAAUUUGAAGGUUGCUUGAAAUAACUCAUGAAGGAACAAAUCAAGUGAAAGAGUCAAAAAUUAAUUUACUUGUUCAUAACUAUGAAUUGUUUUCAAUGAAAGAAAAUGAGACUAUUGUUGAGAUGAUUACUAGGUUCACCGACAUUGUCAAUGGUCUUGAAGGUUUGGGAAAAACCUACAAGGAAUCCAAGAAGGUGAUGAAGAUAUUGAGGUCUCUCCCAUUAAAGUGGCAUACCAAGGUCACCGUAAUUCAAGAAGCAAAAGACUUGACUAAGCUACCUAUGGAAGAGCUCAUAGGGCAUUGAUGACAUAUGAGAUUAACUUGGCAAAGAAGCUAUAGGAGGGUGAAAACAAAAAGAAGAAGAACAUAGCUCUCAAAGCUACAACCAAGGAAAAAGAAGAUGUUGAAGAAGAAAAACCAAGUGAGGAAGAUGAUGAUUUAACCCUCAUCACAAGAAAGCUUAACAAAUACAUGAGGAGUGAAAGGUUUAGAGGAAGAAAAUUCAUCUUUAGAAGAGACCCUUCUAAAAAGGAAUCCUCAUCUCAUGGUGACAAGGAGAAAUGAGAAGAGAAAAGAGAUUUGGUGUGUUUCAAAUGCAAAAAAUCGGGACACAUCAAAUAUGAUUGUCCUCUCUACAAAAGUGAAGCCAAGAGAAGACUGAAAAAGGCAAUGAUGACCACUUGAAGUGAAAGUGAAGAAUCCUCCGAAGAAGAAAAUGAGAAAGAAGUGGCAAACAUGUGCUUCAUGGCAAUAUAUGAUCUUGGUGAGGUAAACUUUAACUUUAGUGAUGAAGAUAUCCAUGAUGUUUUUGAAGAAUUAUAUGAGGAUUUUGAAAAACUUAGUUUGAAAAAUAAUUCUCUUAAAAAGAAAAUUCAAGAACUUGAAGAAGUGAAAGAAAAAUUUUCAAUUGUUGAAAUAUCUAAAACUCAUCUUGAAAAAGAGAAUGAGAUUUUGAGAAGUGAAAAUGAGAUUUUGAAAAAGAAAAAUGAAUGGUUGACUUCCUCUCUUUCAAUUUUCUCUUGUGGAUAAAAAUCUUUUAAAAUGAUCUUAGCUAGUUAAAAAUGUGUUUUUGACAAACAAGGACUAGGAUUCAAAUCUUCAAAAAAAUCAAAAGUAUUUUAAAAACUACUUUGUAAGAGAAUCCGCAAGUGCAAGUCCUUCUACCACUUACAAUUUUUGUGGAAGAUGAGGGCACAUUAGUAGUACAUGUCCCUUAAGAAAUGGUUCUCAAAAGAAUUCAAAUGCUAAAGCUAAAAAGGUUUGGGUUGAAAAAUCCAAGGUCACUAACCCUCAAGGACCCAAAAAGAUAUGAGUACCUAAAUCAACUUAAAUUUUAUUUUGUAGGGUUCAAAGAAGGAUAAGUAGUUCUUGGAUGGUGGAUGCUCAAGACACAUGAACGGGGAUGAAUCCAAGUUUGCUUUCCUUACAAAGAGAAAGGGAGGAUACGUUACCUUUGCAAACAAUGCAAAAGGAAGGAUCAUUGGUCAAGGCAACAUUGGUAAUGACACGUCCUCUCUUAUUGAAAGUGUUUUAUUAGUGGAUGGUUUACAACAUAAUCUUUUGAACAUAAGUCAACUUUGUGACAAAGGUUUUAAAGUAUUUUUGAAGCAUCUCAUUGCAUCACCAAAGAUAUUCAAAAUGAUAAAACCAUCUUCAUGGGUCAUAGAUGUGAUAAUGUUUAUGCUACAAAUAUUUCAAAAUAUGAUGAUCAUAAUAGAUGUUUUUCAAGCAUGCAUGAUCAAAGUUGGUUGUGGCAUAGGAGGUUGGGACAUGCUAACAUGGACCUCAUUUCCCAACUCAACAAAGAUGAACUUGUUAGAAGCCUUCCUAAAAUAAAUUUUCAAAAAUACAAAGUUUGUGAAACUUGUCAAAUGGGAAAACAAAUCAAAAACUCUUUUAAAAACAAAAAUUUCAUUUCAACAACUAGGCCUCUUGAAUUGUUGCAUAUGGAUUUAUUUGGUUUCUUUAGGACACCAAGCCUUGGAGGAAAAUCUUAUGCAUUUGUUAUUGUGGAUGACUUCUCUAGAUACACUUGAGUCUUAUUUUUAAGUCAAAAGAAUGAAGUCUUUUAUGAGUUUUCAAAGUUUUGCAACAAGGUUCAAAAUGAAAAAGAUUUUACAAUUACUUAUAUAAGAAGUGAUCAUGGGAGAGAGUUUGAAAAUAUUGAUUUUGAAGACUAUUGCAAUGAGUAUGGUAUUAACCACAAUUUUUUGGCUCGUAGAAUUCCUCAACAAAAUGGGGUAGUUGAAAGGAAAAAUAGAACUCUUCAAGAAAUGGCUAGAAUCAUGCUAGAUGAAAACAAUUUACCAAAAUAUUUUUGGGCCGAAGCGGUUAACACUUCUUGUUAUGUUUUAAAUAGAAUUUUAUUAAGGCCUAUUCUUAAGAAAACUUCCUAUGAGCUUUGGAAAAACAAGAAACCCAAUAUUAGUUAUUUCAAAGUCUUUGAGUGCAAAUGCUUUAUAUUAAACACCAAAGAUAAUCUUGGAAAAUUUGAUGCGAAAUCGGAUGUUGGGAUUUUUCUUGGUUACUCAAUGUCAAGUAAAGCCUUUAGAGUUUUUAAUAAAAGAACCAUGGUUGUAGAGAAGUUCAUCCAUGUUAUUUUUUAUGAAUCUAACAAUUCUCUCCAAGAAAGAGAGAGUUUGGAUGAUGAUUUAGGCUUGGAGACCUCCAUGGGAAAAUUACAAAUUGAAGAUAGAAGGCAACAAGAAGAAAUUGUAGAGGAUCCCAAGAAAGAAGAAUCACCUUUGGCAUUACCACCUCCUCAACAAGUGCAAGGUGAAUCAAGACAAGACCUUCCUAAAGAUUGAAAGUUUGUCAUCAACCACCCACAAGAUCAAAUUAUAGAUAAUCCGUCUAGUGGGGUAAGAACUAGAUCAUCUCUUAGAAAUAUUUGCAAUAAUGUUGCUUUUAUCUCUCAAAUUGAACCUAAAAAUAUAAAUUAUGUUCUAGUUGAUCAAAAUUGGAUGAUUGCUAUGCAAGAAGAGUUAAACCAAUUUGAAAGAAGUGAAGUAUGAGAAUUAGUGCCAAGACCUCAAAAUCAAAGUGUUAUUGGAACUAGAUGGGUCUUUAGAAAUAAAAUGGAUGAAAAUGACAUAAUUGUAAGGAAUAAAGCAAGAUUGGUAGCCCAAGGUUUUAAUCAAGAAGAAGGGAUAUAUUAUAAAAAAACCUUUGCUCUUAUAGCUAGAUUAGAAGUCAUUAGGAUGCUACUUGCCUUUGCAUGUUUUAAAGACUUUGUUUUAUAUCAAAUAGAUGUGAAAAGUGUUUUCUUAAAUGACUUUAUAAAUGAAGAAGUAUAUGUUGAACAACCACCCGGUUUUCAAAGUUUUGACUAUCCUAAUCAUGUUUUUAAACUUAAAAAGGCACUUUAUGGUUUGAAACAAGCACCUAGAGCAUGGUAUGAAAGAUUAAGUAAAUUUCUUUUGAAAAAGGGUUUAGAAUGGGAAAAAUUGACACAACUCUUUUCAUAAAAACAAAAAAAAAUGACAUGCUCUUAGUGCAAAUAUAUGUUGAUGAUAUCAUUUUUAGAGCUACUAAUGUCUCUCUUUGUGAAGAAUUUUCUAAAUGCAUGCAUAGUGAGUUCGAAAUGAGCAUGAUGGGAGAACUUAACUUCUUCCUUGGACUUCAAAUGAAGCAACUAAAGGAAGGAACCUUCAUCAAUCAAGCAAAGUAUAUAAGAGAUCUUCUCAAAAGGUUCAACAUGGAAGAAGCUAAAACAAUGAAGACUCCAAUGAGCUCAUCCAUCAAGCUUGACAAUGAUGAGAAAGCUGAGUCCAUCAACUCAACUAUGUAUAGAAGCAUGAUAGGUUCUUUGCUAUAUUUGAUCGCUAGUAGACCCGACAUCAUGUAUAGUGUAUGCUUGUGUGCUAGAUUUCAAUCUUGUCCUAAAGAAUCUCACUUAAGUGUCAUAAAACAAAUUCUUAGAUAUUUAAAAGGGACAAUGGACAUAGGCCUAUGGUAUCCUAAGGGUGAUAACUUUGAAUUAAUUAGAUUCUCAGAUGCCGACUUUGCUGGUUGUAAAGUUGAAAGGAAAAGCACUAGUGACACUUGUCAUUUCCUAGGACAUUCACUUGUUUCAUGGCAUAAGUAAGAAGCAAAAUUUGGUAGCCUUGUCAACGGUGGAAGUCGAAUACAUAACAGCCGGUUUGUGUUGUGCACAAAUCCUUUGGAUGAAACAAACACUUAGUGAUUUCAAUUUGUUUUUUGAGCAUGUUCCUAUUAAAUGUGAUAACACUAGUGCCAUAAACAUUUCAAAAAAUCUCGUGCAACACUCUAGGACUAAGCAUCUAGAGAUUAGACACCAUUUUCUUAGAGACCAUGCACAAAAAGGUGACAUUACACUUGAAUUUGUAAGCACAAAAGAUCAAUUUGCCGAUAUUUUUACAAAACCUCUAAGUGAAGAGCAAUUUGUUGAUAUUAGAAGACAACUAGGGGUGAUUUCUUUAUGAUUAAAUGAUUGCCUGAUGAACUCUUGUUGAAUAUACCCUAUGAUUGCAUGAAUUUCAUAUCAUAUGCAUCAUAUAGAAUUACUCUUAGGAAAAAGGUCAAAUUUUGACCAAAAAUCGAAAUUCCCUUGGCAUUGGACAUAAAAAAUUGGGGAUUUCAACUAAAAAGGGUAGGGGGGAUCACGAGACAAGAAAAAGCAAAAAAUUGGAGCGUUGACCAAGCAGUUCAUCGGGGUUGGGAAUUUAAAGAGGCUCCUACGCUUCAUUUUCUCCACUGUUCUCCUCCAUUCCUUGAAGACUCUUCACAUUCUUGCUUCUAAAGAUUAGUUUGGGCAAGAUCUUGGACUGUUUGUAGGCCUUGGAGUUGAUUUUGGGACAUUUUUUAGGCUAGGGUUUCCGUUUUGGGAGUGAUUUCUCUCUGACCGCGCGCCUCAGCUAGGUUCAACUCCAUUUCCGUGCGCCUAGAGCUUCUGGUUGGAUUUCAUUCUCUCUUGUUUGGGUUUGUUCUCUCUUCGGACUUCAUUUCUUCAUUUUCCGUUUUUCUAAUGGAGCCUAGGAGAGAGAGCCUUUAGGGCUUAGGGCAAGCACCCUGCUGAGCCAUCUCAGCUUGAGCAGACAGAAGCUCGCUGAAAGGCGAGGUACGACACGACCCUCUUCAAUUCCGUCAAAGAAUAUUAGAGAUACAAGUAAAAAUUUGCCCAGAAGAAAGUCGUUCCAGGGAUAAGUAUAAAUUUCUCUCAACUUCGGUACUUUAGGUUUGAAGGACUUUUCAGUAGGAUGGGAUGACUUCCAAUUGUGACGAUUUUCGAGCCGAUCUUCCCGACUCUGGUGCGUGCAUUUUAUUCACGGGUGACCUAUGGACUUAGAGGACCGGUCAUGUCCACUGUUAGAGGUGUUGAGAUCAGACUGAGCCUAGAGAGCAUUUGCCGCAUUUUCGACAUCCCUUCAAUUGGACUCUGGGUGUAUGAGUCCAAGGUUUGGCCCACUGUGCCGGGUUUUGAGCUUAGAGAGGCUAUUCAGAGGUUGUGCGGACUUACAGACGCCUAGGGAAUGGGCAAACCAUCAGCACACAUCCUGACCGUGACCAGCCGAGUCCUUCAUCAUAUGAUCUGCUCCAUCUUAUUGCCACGAGACGGACAUCGAGACGAGGUCUCCUACCUUGAGGCAUUCAUUAUGGACUCAAUUCUGACAGGGAGACGGAUUCACGUGAGGUAUCUGAUGAUAAUUGAUAUGAUAUCUUACUGUGAGAGCACGACUCGAGUACUCCCCUGUGACCGCUUCCUUACUCGAGUAUUCAAGGAUGUCGAGGUCGAUUUGAGCAGAGAGACGGACUUCAAGACUCUUACUAGUUAUGACACUUACGAUGAGCAAUCUUUGGGGCGGAUGAAGUUCAAGAAAGCCCUCGAUGGCUCUUGGAUUAGGAGAGUUGAGCGACCUCCAGCAUAGGCCCGGGGACAAGGACAGAUGCAUCCCAAAGUAGAGGAGGAGGCCGAGAUCAGAGAGAUGGAGGGUGGGUUAGACCCUUAGAGGGAUUUUGAGCACAGAGAGCUCGAGCUUGACAUUCCUCUUCCACUUCAAUCAGAGAGUAUUCAUUUUGAGGCCACUUUCUCAUAGCCUAUGAUGACUGAGUUGUCUUACACUGCGGGGCCAUCCUCUCAGCCAUCAUUCACCAAGCUUCCUCACACAGAGAUACCAUCUUAGGCACUUCACGCUCCUGAUCAUGCGCCUUAGAUGGAUGUAUUAGCUCAGAUCAACUCACUUGAGACUCGUAAAGAGGAGCUUGCUUUAGUCAAUGAUACUCGAUUCUACUCUAUGGAAGAUCACAUAGAUCAGUAUCAGACUGACUUCACUUCUUGUUUUGAGCACUUACAACAGAGAUUUGAGUGUAUGGAUCAGUAGCAAGCUACAUUCAAGCAUCUCCAGUAGAGUAUUCAGCACAUUGAGAGUUGCCAGGAGAGUCAGCAUGAGGAGAUGAUGGCUUACCUCCGCUCCAUGUUUCCACCUCCACCUUCUCAGCCUUGAGUUUAUCUAGAGUUCCCCCCCAGUCUCUUUUUUUAUGUUGCCAAAGUGAGAGAAAUAUCUAGGAUCUAGGAGACCCUCAUGCAUAUCAUUGUCAUAUCUAUGUUGAUUAGCAUAUAUGUUAUGUUUUCGUGUACAUGUGAGGUUACCAUAUAUAUAUGAUAUGCUAUUUUCAUGAUCCAUUGUUUCCUAUUCAAAUUUUCAUGCUUUACAUUGUUUCCUAUUGAAAAUUGAUUGAUUGAUCCAUGAUUGGUUUGAGGGGGAGAUUUUUUUUCUCUCCUAGAUAACCAAGGUUUGUCAUCAUCAAAAAAUGGGAAAUCGUUAGCCCAAAGGUUCUCCUAAUCGGGUUUUGAUGAUAACAAACCAUGGUUAAGUGACUAAUUGGUUUAAUGGUUAAAAAUCUCAGGCAUAAACUCGAAAAUUCAUCAAAUGACCAAAUGGAUACAAGAUCGAGACUUUUGGAAGACUUGUGAUCAUAAGAAACGAAUGUAAGAUGAAUGCACUUAGGACUUUCAUACCAUUUCAUACAACUUAGAAAACUCGGUUUAUCCUUUAAAACUUCGAUUUCAUUAAAACCCGAGUUUCAACAAUGUACCUUAGGCAAAAUGUUUUAAAAUUAGCAUAAUAAUUCACCUAAAGACCUUGCCCAAGUGUUAGAAAAGAAAGGAAUUGAAAAAGAUAGGUUUUCGGGGCCAAAAGGCUCAACCAGUUGAGGUUAUGGCCAACCAGCUCAACCGAUUGGGGAACCAGUCGAUCAGUUGCCCUUGUCCGAUCGAGGAAUGCCCAAAAUCUUCUCUCUCUCCUAGUAACCUUCUCUUCCCGGUCAAGGUUAUUCUCUUCCCGAUCAAGGUCAGAUCGAGGACCUAUCGAGGUCCAAUCUAGGCAAUGGUAACCUAUCAAGCAUUAAAUGCUCUAAUGGUUAGUGAACCGGUCAACCCUUAGCUCGACCGGUCGAGGUUACCUAAUGCUGUUUUUGGCUCCCAAGCUUCGAAACCUAUAAAUUGAGAGCUCCACUUCAUUUAUUGAUAAGAGAACACUUGCAAUCAAUUGUCUACCUACCUGUUCUUGACCAAAAAGCUCUCAUUUCUUUCUUAGUGCAUUAAAUCAUCACUUGCAUAUCCUUUAGUACACUUUUGUGUGUCAUCCUAACUUUGUCUUGUAUUUGAGCUAUCCUUAAUCUAGGUUGAGGGAUUUAUUCUUAUAAAAACUGAGUGUUAAAGCCUUCAAGAGGUUUGAAUCUUGAAAAGAUUGUGUAAGAGCUCAUUGGAGCCGAAAUCUAAGUGUAAGAAGAUUGGAAGCUUGGUUGAAGCUUCAACUUUCACUCGGUUAGGAGAUUGAGGAGAGUGGACGUAGGCAAGGAAGUGUCGAACUACUAUAAAACCCGAGUUUGAAUUCUCUAACUCUAUCUCUUUAUUUUGUUCAUAUUGUGCUUGAACUUGUUGUGUUUGAAAAGAUUUUAAAAAACCCAAUUCACUCUCCCUUUUGGGUGUUUUUCUUAAUUAAGCAUAGCCUUUAUUUUCUCAAUUUGGAUAGACGUUUACACUGCCUUUCCUUGAAUCUGGCUCUCAGGUUCGCAACCAUGUCCUCUUCUUCCUCCUUUUCACAAACUAUACAAGGCACCACUGGCUCGACCUCUGCCUCCAGCUUGGUGCUGGCAGUUGACAGGUCAACCUCUAUGCUCGGCUCAAUGUUGGCGACAGAAGAUGAAGAUGUAAAAAAAGUUGAAGCAGAAAGAGAAGGGAAUGCGCACGACGGAUUUAGUAGCCUUUGAGCAAGCUAAAUGAGAUGACCCUUCUUCUUGGCAGGAAGACGGACGAUAGAGCUGAAAGUCGGGCGGUUUAUGGAUGGAGUUUGCCUUAACGUCCUGUCCUGUCGUUUUUUCUCCCUUUGCUCUAAGCGGUCCUGGUGUGCUUUUGAGUCUGCCACGCGAGCAACCUCAUAACAAGGGAGGUCUUCUACAUGUGAUGCUCGUCGAGCACCAAUGACCGGAGAGCCAAACGGGGAAGUACUGGGGAGGAUGAACAACUUGGGCUCCCUGACGAUCGUCUGCAGGUUCUUAUCCAUCAAAAGAACCUGGUGGUUUGGCUUGGUUGCAAAUAUUUCAAAGAGCUUGUUGAACUAGUCAAAAGAGGCCUUUUCCACCCACUCCACAAGCUGACCCCUUCUGUCCUUGUCUGCACCACACAAACAAAAACAUUAGUGUGAAACCAAGGUUUGGUUAAUCUUGAUUUUGAUUAUAACAAAACAACGUUUAGAACUAAUAAUUAUAUUUCAAAUAUGAUUAGACAAGAUGAUUUCCAAAGUGGUAAUCACAAAGACAAAUCAAGCCAAGGAGAAAUCAUGAAGAAAAAGACCACCUCAAAGAGAAGUGUUUUUCAAUACCCAAGUUUCAUAAGAUCUCUUUGUAAAAUUGUUGGUACACUAGGAUUUCCAUGCAUUACAUUCUUUACUUAUGCACUAAAAUAAUCAAAGAGUUAUUUUGUUUUAAAUAUUUUAAAAUUUGGAUGAUUUCAUGUUUUCAACUAAAACCUUGUGUUAAAUGUUUUUCAAACUCAUUUUAAAAUGUUUUAAGUUGAAAAAAUUUGGUUGUUGAGCCAAAAAUGGCUCAAUCGGUUGAAUCGGAUAAGGAACCGAUCGACCGCUAGCUCAACUGGUCUAGGUUUGGGUUGACCCCCAGCUCAACCGAUCGAGGUCUGGGUCGACCCCUAACUCAACCGGUUGAGGUCCGGGUCGACCCCCAGCUCAACAAGUUGAGGGUGUAAAAAAUUCUCUUUCUUCCAAAACGGUUGUUCAACAGAUCAAGGUUGAACCUCAGCCGGUCAAGGUCCAACGGUCACUUGCCAAGCAUUAAAUGCUAACGGCUAGUCAACCGGUCGACCCCUAGCUUGACCGGUCGAACACCCAACGGCUAGUUUGGUUUUUUUCUUCUAUAAAAAGGCUCCAAUCUUUAUUGUUUCAUAAGCUUAACCUUCCCAAACCUUUCUUGAAUAUAUUUGAGCCUUGGAAGAGUGUUUUUUAGUGCACCAUCUUUCUAAAACUUGCAUAUCCUUAGUGCACCUUUCAAUCUUAGUUUUAUUGUAUCAUUUGAGCUUAAAGUUUUUGUACUAGGAUUUUGUGAGAUCAUUUAUUUGUAAAUCUUUGAGAGGAAGUUUCUCAAGUGUGAGGUAUCACUUGAAGGGUUGUUCAAGAGUGAGAUAUCUCUUGAGAAGUGUAAAGAGUGCUUGGAGCCAAAAGUCUAAGAGAGUGAAUUGGAAUCAUAAUCUAAUUAUAGGCUGGGUUGCGCCGAACUACUAUAAAAUCUUGUGUUUGCAUUAUCUCUUCCCUACUCUUUUAAUUUAUAUGCAAUUGUCUUUAUAUUGUUGAUUAUAUAUUUGCAUAUAAUUGUCUCUUACAUUCACAUAGUUUACAGUUGAAUUAGCCCAUUUUUUCUAACAAUCAGUAAUAGGUUCACAACCAACAGCUACAAGGGAUGGACAAAGGUUACAGGAACGUAUCCUACUCGGGAUCCCUAACAAGCGUCGAUGAUGAAAUUCUCUGUCCGGACCCUCAUAUAGACCACCCCAGGGAUCGGAAACAAGGAUGUGCCCCUUCGUCCUGCCCUUAUUCGAAUUUGGAAGCCAUGUCACUAGUUGGAGAGAGGGAAUAUGAGCGGACAAGUUGAACCUCUCUUUUCGGCUCAUCUUGAUCGUAUAGACAAAAAAGACCUUCAACAAAGAGAGGUCCAGAUGGUAGAAUAUAUCUAGGACGCUGCACCCCAUCAGCACCCGGACAAUAGUUGGAUGAAGAAAGGUCGGAGGGAUCUUGGUGAAAUAGAAGAACUAUUUGAGAAGAGAAGGCAGAGGGAAGCGGAACCCUACAUUGAACUGAUCCUUGCUAAAAUAUGUAGCAUUGUGAGAUGGUUUCUCAAUGGGUAUAGGCUCGUCAUCUACCAAGAGGAUGGAGACGUCGUUCGGGAUAUGAAAACGGUCCCAAAACUCCUGUUCUGAUAGAAGAUCAAUUGGGCAUUCCGGACCAGGGCAACCAACUUUUGUACAUUUCCGACCACCUUUCUAGCCCCUACCGUCUGUGCUGGUGUAAGCGAUACCCCCUAUCACUGACAUACUGAGAAGCUCUGGGCUGCGUGGGAACUUGUGCGGCAUAACGCAUAUUGUUAGAAAACAGUCACCUGGUCCAUCCGCCGUUAGACAAUGCCUCAACUAUACAACAAGGAACUUAAGCGGAACUAAAACCCAAUUUCAAGCAGGCUGCCUAAACCAAACUUGCAGAACAAGCCCUAGCCCUAAGAAAGGUCCUCCCCAUCAUGCCAUCACAACAACUAUAGGCCAAAAUGCCUAAAUGGACCACUUAGGGCACCAACAGGAAAAAAAAAAAAAAACAAAAAACAAAAAGGUAAGUAUGAAAAGCCCUAAGUCUGAUAAGACACUACCAAACACCCCCUUCAAAAAAUAGUCACCUUCUCCCAAAAUACAAAAGCCCUAGAGAACGGACUCCAUGCUGCCCAUUUCACACCCAAAACUCAACAAGCCCCAUUACAAUCCCAAAAGCAAACAACAGAGCAGAGAAGAAUAAAUGCGAGGGAAAGCAAGCUUACUAAAGUCAAGGAGAGAUAUCCAUUAGCAAAAGAGAACCCGCUUGAAGCAAACCCAAGAAUAACAGCAAAACGUCGGGGAAUGAACGACGACCGACGUUACAACAGCAAGGAUGCAGAGACUAGGAAAAUAGUGCUCCAAAAUAGGAAUAUUCAAAAAGUAACCUAAAAGGUGUGAGAGUCUCCUAUUUAUAGGAGACCAAAACCCUAGGGAUCCCAAAAGAUAGGCCACUUGGAAGCACAUCCUGAAGCGACACGUCGCCUGACAAGUGACCUUGGUGAAUGUGACCCGUCUUUAAUUCCCCAAGUGACAUCCCAAAAAUGCCUAAGUGACUUGAAGAGACACAUAACCCGUCCAUCUCUACCUGAACAUAGGUAAACGGAUUAAAAGGGGCAUUGUGGAGGGGUUCCCCUCCACGUGUCAUUUCACAUGUCACUUUCCAAUCCCAACACCUUGGUCGGGUAGCAUAGGCAUGCAAACAUCCGAAUUAUUCCAUUCAGAACACGAUCGAUUCCAUCUGGCAACAGACCUAAAGAGGCCCUUUCCCCAUGGGGCCAGAUGACAAGGGGAGAUCGGACCCCCCAAACAGACGAAAUCGUCCAAUCAAGCCUUUAAGGCCUAAUGACAUAUGUAAUCAUUCAUGCCUGACAUGAGAAUGGCUUAUGAGACCUCUUCUAACCCUCAAGUCCAUGUCAAUUAAUUACCUGACACAACCCCAGGUCAUCAAUAGGUUGAGGGGAUAGGCGAUUGUACGGUCAAAUAUCAUGGCACGUCAACUAAUGGCACAUGCUAAUAGCCCAAAACGAUGAUGAUCACCCCACUACCUACAAAACAAUCAUCAUUACAAAGAAAGUCAAAAUGUUUAGUUAACACUACAGUAACACUCUCUUCACUAUAAAAACCCUUCAAAAACACAAAUAAGGUACACAGAGAUACGCCGACUCACUCUAUCUCACUAAAGUCGCUUGAACUAUCUUAUACUUGACUUAAGCUUCGGAGGGACGUGCUUGAACCACCUAUCCGAACAUCCUUUGUGUAGGAAUUGGGGUAGAUACUCUGAGAGGCAUGCAAAGGGAAGAAGACUGUCCAAUCUCCAUUGAGCAGGACGAAUCCGACUCCAAUUGGCUCCACAUCAACACAUAGAGCGGGCAUGCUAUGAGCUCCAUAUCAGUUGGGUAAGGAGAUGCAAUCAUAGUAUGGACUUGUUUAUCCAUUAUUACCUAUGAGGCAAUAAUAAUCAAUUUUAAUUUAAUUUAACAAUAACAAUUAAUUAUACAUUGUACUGAAUUAAUUAUACAUUGUGCUCAACUUCACUUAGAGCUGAGCAAGUGAUAAAAUAGAUAGCAUAUUGAAACCUAAAAUGGUAGUACUGUUAUGUAUCAUACUCUACUCCUCAUAAGGCCCUCUUCACUACAGAAACUAAGCCAAAAACAAAAAAAAACAAAAAAGAACUAUCACAAACAUAUGGAUUUAGUCAUCACCCUAAUGCCCUCCCUUAGUUUUCCGUUGCCAUUGUUGUUGUCGUUGUUUCCGUUGUCGUUUGCUCCCCAUCGGCAAUUUCUUCAUCACCAGCAACAACCUCCUCUUCGGUGUUCAUUUGGUUAGGGGGAGGUGGCAGCACUGUUAUCACCAUCUCUAUCAGGUCUUCAAUCCCUUCUCCCAUCCGCUUCUCGCUUUCCUCUAUAAUCUAUAUACAACAUAAAAUAUUAAACAAUUUUGCAAAUGAAAAGCAAGGAUAUUCUCUAGCUACAAUGCAAUCUUUGGUCUUAUACGGAGUACCACGGUAUGGUAAUGAGACAAGAAAGUUAUACAUCGAGAUGAUUACAAGAAUUUAAUCUUAAAAAUAAUUAUAAAUUUGAAUUUAAAACCCACAAGAAUUUAAUGGAGAACAUACAAUUUGAGAAUUCCAAAAGGUAAAACUAGGGUGCAAGAUGAACAAGGAGUAUCAACAAUUAGAAACUGAACCCGAUAUUUAAAAUAAGAAGAAAAAAAUAACAUGUUUCAAGAGUUCUGGAGAGUUAUUUGUCAUGUUAUAUUGUAACUGUUCUUUUUAUUAUUAUUAUUAAAAUGCCUGUUUUAGUCAACUCCCGCUUGAAAUCUUGGGCCUAGUCAGCUGUCACAACCCACACUUAUAUCAUUCAACUAGAUAGUGAAUUACAAAUGCAAGCACAUUUCCUUUUUAUAACUUAUAAAAGGUGAUUAGAUAGGUUCAAAGGCUAGGUACAAGAACAAGACAAAAUUUACCAAAGCUUUCCUUAUCAUUUCCAUUAAGGAACUUCUUUAGUAGGAACUGGCUGUGAAAGCUUAGUGUAGUGUGCAAUAUCCUCUACAUUUUCUUGAAAGCUUUUAACAUACUGUUCUGAUUUCAUAGCUUGAUACAUUGCCUUUAGAAAACAGAAAUUUUCAGAUCAUGAACACCUUUGGUAGAGAGAAAUGAAUUUUUAAAACAUCCCACCACUUCCUUCCAUUGAUUCGUUUAAUGAUGGAAAACAAAAGGAGAGGGUAGGUUUCUUUCUUGGUUCAAUAAACUUUUACCUCACAGGUGAAGACAUUUGGAGAGAGAACUAAUAAUUUAAGUUCAAAAAUAAAUAAGUCAAUAAAUAAAACAAGAACGACAACAACACACAACAAGCAACAAUCCAAGAAAAAUUACCGGGUCAAUUUCAACUGGUGAAGCUGGCCUGAUAUUGAUUAUAUUGAGGAUCUCAGCCUUUGCAAGGUCAUACUUUUUACAUUUUUCCAACAACUCAUUAAUGCUCUCUCUUGUUUGAUUGCAAGCAGCACUCUCAACCAGAUAGUCAUAGACCUAUAAUAUAAUCUGGACUAUCAGAAACAUGAAGAUUCACAUCAUUUAAUCCAAUAAAAACAAAAUCAGGAACCAUUUCUAACCUUAAACUCAGAUGCUGCUAUGGGGGCAAUCACCCGAGUGGGAUCCUUUGCAGCACCUCUAGACCGUAAAAAGUCAAGUACUUCAAAAUUGGUAAGUGCACCAGCAUUGGCUUUUUUUCUGCAGGACAUUUAAACUUUGUAAGAUAACCAUGCCAUCAAAUAAAUGAACCUGAAAGAUCGCUGGAGGCUGAAAUCACUAUUAUAAAAUAACCAACUAGCAAAACCAGAAAAUAUAGAACCUAAAGAAUACUGACAUCUUCAUCACUGGGUAAGACUAAGGGUGAAACCAAUGAGCUUUGAAUAUUAUUGCUCCUCAAGCAUCGACAAGCAUGUGGGAACCAGCUUCUGUAUUGAUCAACUCCUUCAUUUCAACAAAAACUUAAACAUGUGAAGUUCUAAACAAAGCAACAAGAAGUCACACUCCACAGAAGAGACAAAAUGCUAACUCAUGUUAUAUUCCUAUAUUAUUUCAUAAAAGCAACUAAAAGUUUCAAGAUCAAAUGACAGAUUUUUUAGCUGUCCCAAAAUUUCCAAAAUAUAGCCAAAAAAACAAAAAGAAAGAGAGAGAUAGAGAGAGAGAGAACAAAAAUCGAACAUUUCAUAGAUCAACAACAUAUCAACAAAAAUGUCACAGGAUUAAUUUAAUUGAAUAACAAAUCAACCACUAGAAAUAGUUAUAAGUUCAUCUAAUUUUCAUAAAGUUCCAAUAGAAUCAGUGUGAGAAUGAAAAUUGCCUAGAGCUCUUCUUCAGUUGGGAAUAGAAUAAAAUUAGGGUUAGCCAGUUUGAAUAAAAAAAUUAGAUUUUACAAAUGCAGUUGUGGAUUUUAAACCAAGUCAAACUACUGUUUAACUUGGUCUACUUACAUGUCAACCAAACUAAAUAUAUUACAUUGAUUCCCAAAAUUUGAACCUAGUACUAAAAGUUCCCAAUGUUAGAUUAAAGAAAAUGAUGAGGGGCUACAUCCAAAAAUAAACCUCACCCAAAAUUAAAAUAAAAUAAGAAAUGAUUUUCACUAAUAGUGAUGAAUUAACAUGACAGUGAAAAUCAUUAAUUAGUGAAAAUUUUGGGCUUAUUUUAAUUUUGGGUGAGGUUUAUUUUUUGAAAAUCUCUAAUUUAGUUAGGGCCUUUUUCGGCCACCCAAACCCACCCAAGGACGAAGAUAUGAGAGAGAAGUCGGGUUGGGAAGGGUGGAGAGAGGGAGAACAGAGCAGCAAAGAAAACCCCCUUCUUGUUUGGUUGCCGAGAAAUUCUAACUUUUUUCUGCAAGAGCUCCAGGUAUUUCCAUUCUUACUGCUUUGGUACAUUCGCUAUUCGAUUGAGUUUAUCUCCUGAUUUUUCGGUCGCGAUGUUGUGGAAGUUCAUAAAUAUUCAAUCCAAUUUUUAUUUAUUUUUCUUUUUCUUUUUAAUUUAGAAUGUGCUAACAAAAAUUUGGAAUUUCAACCAUCUAAAAAUGAAAAAAAAUUAUGCAAAUUAAGUGAAGAUAAGAGAAAGGUUUAGUUAGAGGAGGUUAAUAUCUUGAGAAAUUUAAGCAAUGAGUAGAGGCAAAUAGGAUUGACUACAAAACUUGAGAAUAAGAUAUCAGAGACGUGGUGGAGAUAGAAGUUUGAGCUAAACUUAAUCUCUCUUCUACUUUUCUACCUUCCAAUUCUUGUAAAGAGUGAAUUUGAACAUCUAGUGUUUGUCUUAUGCUAGAUUGUUUGCUUAGAAGAAAACAAUGUUUGUUCAUGUGUAGUGCUUUAAGAUUUCUUCAAAUUUUUAGGGUAAAAAAUUCAAAUCAGUCAAAAGAUAAUAUGAAAAUUAUGGGCAACUUUGAGAAAGCAUGAAUUUCGAGUUGCAUGUAUUUUAAUGUUAUUUAAAAUCAAUGGGUUAGGUUUAUUAACUUCUAGAACAGAUUUAUCGAAAAUGUGUACGCAUUUUUAUAUUUGAUUCCAACAAAGGAUUUGAAUUCGACCCCUUAAAUCUGAAGCUUCUCAGUCCAAAUCCAAGUUUCCAAGCCCAACCUUAAUGUCUUGUGCUAAAUAAAAACCAGAUAUGUGUCUAACAGGUAGAAGGACCAUAUCACUUAUAGCCAUUAUCAUUCAAUCAGUCUGUAGAUUGGAUUUCCUGAAUUGCAAGACAUCAAAAGAAAUCACUUGAGCCAAUUUUUCACAAGCUUAAUGAUUAAAAUUGUUGUAUAUAAGUCUACCAAUUAUCUUCUUGUGAUACACACAUAGGUUAGACAUUUUAAUACACCAAAAAAUAUACUCUUCUGAGCUUAAUGUUGGAAGGUUUUUAAGAGAGUUUUCUUUUUUCCUUUGAUAAGUAAAGAUGUAAGAUUAUAGACAUGGGCCAAAGAAAUAGUGCAUCAAGGUAUGCAGGUCUUUACGAGGGUCAGUUUUGACAAGAGUUAGAAGUCUUUUACUGCAUUUGAACUGCGUAGAGGUAAUCACUAUGAUCCUGUUUCAGCUAUAAAGAAAACUUAAUUUAUAAUAAGCUUAUGCAAGGACAUGAAGGUACACAAACUAUUUUCCUUUUAUUUUUUAAUGAACAAUUAAGUGAACCAAAGAAAGGAGUUGAUUAAAAAUAUAAAAUUUUUGUUAUACAAAUUCUGUUUUAUGUAUUCCUAUGCUAAGUUAAAUAUCUCCCAAUUUUUUUAUGUGAUGUUUAAUGUAAUAAGAAGCUGAAAAUAUAAGCAAUGUGCCUGGAAGUGAAGUGUGUAGAUCAGUAGAUUGAAUGAAAAUGACAAGGGGAAACUUUGGUGGCCAAGAAAUUAGUGGUUUGAAGAAAUAUUUUGGUUGGGUAAUGCUACAAAAAUAUGCUUCUAGGAAUAUCUUUGGUUGAGAAACUCUUAUUAUUUUCUUAGUGCUAGUUUCUUCCUCCCCAUCUAUAUCUUAUAACUUCAAUUUUUGCUGCAGCUUCUUAAAGCAAGGUAUUGAGGAACCUCUAAUAUUUGCUUUAGCCCAUGUCUAUUUGUCACUCGCAUUUUCUAACAUGAGAGUUUGGUCCUCAUCACCGUUAGGAUUGUUCUUAGGAUUGAGGAACUAGCUCCUUCUUUAAUGCUAUCUUUGCUUCUAUCAAUUCAGUUCCUUUUAUUCCUGUAAGUUUUAUUUGGAAAUCCAAAGCCUGACCAAAAGUGAAGGCCUUUGCAUGAGUUGUGGAAAAUAAGAACAUCAAUACAAAUGACUUGCUCCAACAAUGAAGACCAUACAAAGCACUUAACUCGGAAUGAUGUAUCAUGUGCAGGGGGAGUGGGGGAAUCUAUACAUCAUGUUGUUUUUUAUUUUUAUUUUAUAAGUAAACAAGAUAUGCAAUAGAAAACAUCAUGUUGUUUUUUAUAUUGCCCUGUAGCAUCAAUAUUAUGGUGUAGAUUAUUUCCAUUUGUAAGGAUUGAUUGUGUUCAACCUAGAAGGAUGGAGGAGAUAUUGAUUAUGUCCUUUAGAGGUUUUGGGGGAUUGCCUACAGUCCUCUACCCUAUAACAAGGAUGACCAUUGAUUUAUUGCUUUGUGACAAUUUGGAAUAGGAUCUUGAUUCGCGGUGUGAGGAACUAAUCAAAGAAGAGUUUGGGGAGGACUGUAAUUUUGAUGUGGAUGAUGCUGUUCAAAAGUUAGAGAAGUUAGGCAUUCUGGACCUAUCAUUUCUGUAAGUUGAUGCGAAAGGGCUAUCAUACCAAAUCUUAUUCAAAGAAAAUGAAACCAUCAUAUACAAAGUAAUUCAAUUAUAUGACUGAUUGCAUUAGUUGUUUUACUGGGACCUUGAUAAGGGACUUCAAUAUUGCUACAUACAUGAUUUGUCUGUUCCUCAAUGGAAUUAUUUUAAGAAAUUGCAUGGAGUAUGCUUAUGGAAAGUCUACGCAUUUCUACAGGCACUUAUCAUCACACAUAUACAUACUAAAGAAAAUAAUUUAUAUAUAUUUAGGGAAACAUAAAUUAUUAGGAUAAAUUUAGUUCUCAGUAAUCAGAUUGAGGGCUUUCUUAGAAAAAAUCUCAUUGAUGUUCUUGACCCCUGUUGAUAUAUUUCUCUGUUUCACAUCUUGCCUACAUCUCUCCCUUUGUAGAUAUAUGAGAGAGGGAUAGGGUUGGUUUCUGUCUAAUCUGACUAUAUGUUGAUUUCAGGACACAAUUGGAAGGUAUUACUGUGUUGGAUUGAAGCAUGCUAAUGAUAUCAUCGGAACAACCACAGAGGAGCUUGUCCUCAAGGCAAAACAGGGUUCCUUGAUUUCCUGAUGCUGUGUGGCUAAGGACCUAAGGUAAGCUUGCUCUCUCUCAUAUGCAUAUCAAGAAUAAUUCAAACUUGUGUUUUUUGUAAUUACUCUUGAAAAUUUAACACCCUAAGAGACAUCUGCAGGUGUUAAUUCUGCUAUCAAGCACCUAAGAGCAGACAAUUCAGCUUAGAGGUUUUCCAGUUCUUUUUUUUCUUGUUUUUUUCUAUUUUUUUUUUUAUUUAAUGGGUUCUUUCUAAAGGCACUUGUCUAUUAAUGUAUGUAAUUUGAUUUGACAAGUUUAUUCCCAUUCUUUCUUUUCUCUAUCUCUCUCAAAGGAAAAAAAACAACAAAAAAAACUGUGUGCAUGUAAUUUGGCAAGAUUUCCAGAUUGUGAAUCUGUCCAGGAUGCAAAAGCCUACUGUUAUGCUAAGAACAUUCAUGUUGUGUUGGAUGGAAUUUUGGGAAUGGUUUCUUUGUGGAAUCCUUUGUAAGAUGACCGUCAGCAGCGAAAUGAAGAGCCACUUUUUUGCUUCUUUGUGGUUGUUGCCUUGUUGGGAAUAUAGGACAUGAAAGCUUGGGUUUUGGCAAUGCCAUUCCGGAUGAGAUCUCCUCAUCCGGAUUCCACCUCCUUCCCAAAAUGCAUUCCAUUGAAUUGCCUUGACUGACACCGGAUACUAGACACUAGUCACACUAUGUAGCAGGACAAAUCUGUAAAGAACUACUAUCUCUGCUCAACUCCAAAUUGGAGAUUCUAACUCUAGAAGGUUGUACAAUGCAUGGUACUUCAAAGAUUGGUGCAGCAGUAUUAUAAUUACUAAAACUAACUUGUUUUUUAUUUUUUAUUUUUUCCCUUGAAUCUUGCAGGAUGUGUAAACCUGGAGCUUCUUCCAAGAGGCAUUUACAAGUGGAAACACCUUCAAACUUUGUCUUGCAAUGGCUGUUCAAAGCUAGAGAGAUUUCCAGAAAUCAAAGGCAAUAUGAGAGAGCUAAGGGUGCUUGAUUUGUGUGGAACAGCUAUAAUAGACUUACCAUCAUCAAUUACAAAUCUAAAUGGUCUUCAAACUCUCCUACUUCAAGAGUGUUUAAAGCUCCACCAAAUCCCUAAUCAUAUUUGCCACUUAUCAUCAUUGAAAGUAUUGGAGUUGCCACUUAUCGGUAUUUUGUGGAGAGGUAGUAGGUGUCAUUCUUGAAUUCACUGUUUUUAUCAGCUCCAGGAUGCUAUUGGAGGCUCUUGAAAGCAAUCGGAGGUACUUGGGUUGUUGAGGCCUUAGCCGGUCAGCAAAGGCCAGACACCAGUAGAGGUGUUCACAUUUUCUACUUUCAGCAACAAGAAUGUUACAUUAUGUUUACCUCUGAAUCACCUUAUGAUUUUUAUAUUCAAUAUUCUUGUUCUCUCUUCUUCUGAAAUGGGCUGAUAGCAGAUUACUUAACCUGAAGCAGGAACUUAUGAAGAAUCUGGUUGGAUUGGGCACACAGGAAAUAGAGGGAGUGAUGGUACUUGCAGUCACAAACAGGCCUUUUGAUCUUGAUGAGGCCAUUAUUGAAAAAGGUCGAAGCUUAGAGAAUCUUGAAUUUAAAACCUCAAAAUUCAUCCUGAUCUAUGAGAAAGCAAUCUCCUAGAAGGAUCCACUAAUUGUGUGGCAUAUUAACUGCCAAGCAGCCUUGGUUUUUCUCUCUAUGUACACAUCUACACUUAGAUGAUGACUACAAAAGCAACAAAACAAAUCCAACAACAGUGCAUCACUGUGAACUUUACAAAGAUAGAAUAGAAACCACACUCAUAAACAGGGCAGCUUAUAACCCUGUUCGUUAAACCCAUCUAACAGAAUCCAAGAAACAUUCCAUAGAUUAUAUAUGAAAAUAUAGGCACAUGCUAUAAGAGUCUACAGUCUCACUGCAGCAAGAUCAUCAGAGAGUUUAAAAGGAUGGAUAUUCAUGGAUCAAAGCCAAAAAUUCAAAAGUCGAUCAUAAGGACAGGAUGCAUAAACAGAACCCAAGUAAAAUUCAGCAAACAAAGCAUCCACAUACCAAUCAGAGAAAUGGUGUAAGAGAGUCUGAACAACUAAUUCAAAAGGGUUGCAAAGAUAGAAAUUAAACUCCCAACCACCCAUUGAAUACUCCUAAUUUGGUCUUGUUGAGACAAAAAAAAAACCCAAAUACCCGAUACCCACAUUCUUUGUAAUCUCAAACAAAAUCAAUAGCCUAUAAAUCUUUUCUUAAAAAUGAACUCAAACAAAAGAAACACCCACUCAGCUCCUCUAACAGAGCCUAGAAAUCCUAAAAUUAUCUUAGGACCUGCAACACGUGAACUCAAAAACCCUAAACAGAGCACUUACAUAUGUGAACCAGAAUAGAGAAUGAGAGUUUUAGAGAGAGAAGUACUGGGAAAUGAGACUCGACUGCUCUAUUAAAAUCCGAAAAUCCAAAAUAAAUUUGGGUUGAGGGUUACCUUCAAUCAGAUCAACAAUGUCGAAUGAAAGUGAAGCGUCUUUCCAACUGUGUAGUCUCGGAUGGAGAGCGAUUGAGGAGGAGAAUGAAGAAAUUACCGCUUUGGGGAUGAGGUGAGGGUUGAGGAUGCCAGUUGCAGAAAGCUUUGAGGGGAUGGGUGGGCUAAGGUCGGGCGUCGGGCGUCGGGCUUUGAGGGGAGGUUUCAAACAAGGAUGAAAAUUUCUGUUCUUUUGGCCGAAAUUUCGGCGAAAUUUCGUGUUUCCGAGGUCGGCGAAACGAAAGAGGGGGGCGAAAUGUCGACGGAAGAAAUAUCCGUAAAUUUCGCCAAAAAUCGCCUCCGGUUGAAAAUUUUCGGAGAAAAAUCGUUUUGUUUCGGUUUAUUUCGGCGAUUUUUCGGCAAAAAAAACAGAAAUUUUCCUACCAGUCCAGCCCGCGCACAGGAUACAAAAUCUGAUCAUGAUUCGCAGGCAAAGCUUGUGUUUUUCAGCCUGGCUCAAAAAACGUGGAUUUAGGGUUCGUGAAAUUUAAAUCCAAUGGCACAACAGCAAAGAGACCCCUAAAACAGAUCCAGAAAACACAGGGAGCAAAAGAAAAGCAAUUUUUUUGGUUUUCUUUGGGGGUUUUGCAUGGAUUUUCUCGGAAAUCAAACGAGGAUGAAUUUUCCCGGAAAUCGAAUGGGGGAUGGAUUUUCUAUGGAAUCAAACGUGGGUUGCAAAAAAAAAAAAAAAAAUGUUUAGAUUAGUACCUGCGAGGAUUGAGAGUGGCAGAGGAAAAUAGGGCCUUUUUAGGGAUUCUGUCGGAGGGCAUCUUCAGAAAAGGGCAUGCCCGGGUGAGAGAAGUGGUGUGGCCCUUUUGAUUUUCAGAUUUAGUAGAGAUAAAAAAAAAAAAAUGGAAACAAAUUGUGGCCCUGUGCAUUGAUGGUCCAAAUUGAAGCUUAAUGUAAUCAAAUGAUCAUAAUUGAACCUCAUACACACUAUUGAUAUUUACUAGAAUAAGUUUUUCAUAAAAUUUUAUAAUAAGUGUAUAAGUACAACUGACAAUAUAAUUAUAUCUAAUAUCGUGAUUCACAAAUCAUAUAUAUAAUAUAUAUAUAUAUAUAUAUAUAUAUAUAUAUAUAUAUAUAUAUCAAAUUUUUCAAUAAAAUAAUUUUAAAUUGUCUAUUAUACUUCUAAUUAUAUUAUUACAAGGUUUUUUACAUUUUCAUGAAUUUUGAUCAAUUUUUUGCUUAUCAAAAAUUUUUUCCAAAAUAUCCGUUGAUAUUUCGUCGAUAUAGCCAUAAAAUCAAAUUACCGAUAUAUCCGUAAUUACCAAUAUUUUUAUCAUUGGUUUCAAAAACUGGCUUUUUUAUUUUAAAAAAAAAAGCCAAAUAUUUUGGCUUUUUCCAUUUAGCCAAAAAAUUUUAAAAUUUAGUAAUAAGUCAUUAAAAAUUUUAAAAAACAAACAACUUAAAUUCUAAAAGCAAAUUGCUUUCAGUAAAAAACCAAAAAAAUAAACACCACCUUACUCUAGUAUAUAUUGAUUCUUUGAAUGUCUUAGUAAAAAAUUGAUAUUUUAACAAAUGAUAAAAAUAUUCUUAUUGAUUGAGGAUGUAUUCUAUGAUUAUAUUUAUUAUUUUUAUUUACCAUAUAUUUUUCUCAAAUAUUAUUCAUAUAUGAAAUUGCAUACGUUAUCUCAAGAUGAACAAAAAAAAAAGUUCAUUUUGAAAAUUGUGCAACCACUCAAAGAAUUCUUUGAGAUAAAAGACACAUUUUUCAAAUAAACAUUAACAAAUGCUAAAUUUAACACCAUAUCAAAAGUUAUAUGCUAAUUGAAGGCUAUAAAAAACAAAUAUUAUGCUAUCAAAUGAAGGUAGAUUUUAUCUAAAUGAUGCUUUAUAUAUUCUAACAAAUCUAGAAGAAAAAAUUAUUCAGCGUUAAAGAUAUUCAUAGAAAUAGGUAUUUUAUUGAAACUAUGAAUGAAGGUAAGUAGAAUAUCUUUAUAUUGUCUCUAUUACUUCUAAUUAAAAGCACAUAGUAGAAAAGUUAUUGACUUUCUCCUUUAGACAAAUAUGAGGCUGAUUGAUCAUAUGUUGUUAUAUAUUUUAUUGCAAAUACUCCAAUGUGAAUUGAUGUCCUUGCAUGACAACUAAUAAAUGAAUCUAGCAAAGUCCCGAAGUGUGUUAGACUUACUGACUUAAAGGAUAUAAUUCUCUGAAGAAGGAGAAUACAAGGAAAAAUUAACACUCUUGAAGAAUUAAAAAAAAAAAUGGUUGAUCAAUGACGAACAAUAGCCCUCAAAGAGGCACAAAUAAAACAAAUAACUCCUAAAGAGACAUAUUUAAUAAGUAGCCCACUAAAGAAGUAUAAAUUGAAUGAGUAGCCCUUGAAGAGGCAUAUGCAUCUUACAAUAAUGAGAUCUUAAUAAGUUAUUAACAACUCUUUCGCUUUUCAAGUGGCUUUUGAGCUCAUAAAAAAUGAUUAAGAUCCCGAACCUCAAAAUAUGAAGAAUCCUGACAUAAAAAUGAUUGAUUAAAAUGGAAAGAAGUUGAAAGUAGUAAAGGAAAAAAAAUCUUCUCUUCUUAUUCAUUAUGAGUUUAUACAGAGUAUUUAAAAUACAAAAGAAUUGAGAAAAAGGAAUUAAUAUUCCUAACCUAAUUAGAGAUUUGAUAGCCUAAUUCUAAACCUAAUUUUUAUCAAUUAAAGAAUUAUCUAAUGAAUAUAUAUCUAACAGCUAUAUAGAUAGUUGUAACAUAUACAACUAUACUAGUCAACUAUAUGAGAGUAAUUAUAGAAAAAAUUGAGUGUAAUUAGGUUCAUAUUCAAACUUAAAUCUUCCAACACUUCUCCUCAAGUGGGUGCAAAGAUAUUUUGCAUUCUAAGCUUGUCUAAGAUAUGAUGAAAUGCCAAUCAAUUUCCACAUUUUUUGUACAAUCAUAAUAUAUCGGGUUAUGAGCUAUAUUAAUAGCUAUCUUAUUGUCAUAAUACAAUAUCAUAGGAUCUUUUAUCUUGAUCUUAAGGCCAAUGAGCAUAAUUAUUAGCCACAAUGGCUUGCAAAUGCCUUGAGUCAUAACUCUAAACUCAACUUUUAGACUUGAUAAAGUAACAAUGGGUUAUUUCUUACUUCUCCAAGUGAUGAGAUUACAUCCUACAAACAUAUAAUAUCCAUUUGUUAACUUUCUAUCUACUACAGAUCAUGCAUAAUCUACAUCAGUGUAGGCUUCCAAUCUUAAAUCAUCAUUUCUUUGAAAUAUUACUCCUUUACCCAAGGUAGCCUUUAGAUAUCUAAUAAUUUUGAAUAUAACUUCUAAGUGGGAUUUUAGUAGAACAUGUAUAAAUUGACUGACUAUACUUAUAGCAUAAGCGAUAUUUGCCCAUACAUGUGAUAUAUAAAUCAAUUUUCCCAUCAUUCAUUGAUAGGUGCUUCGAUUUGUUGAACCUUCUUCGAUUUUCUCCCCUAGCAUUUGGUUUGCCUCAACAAGAGUCUUAAUUGGUUUACAUCCUAGCACACAUGUUUCUUGUAUAUAUAUUUGUUGCAAGAUAAAAUCUCUUAUUCAGAUCAAGCAACUUCUAUACAUAGAAAAUAUUGUAGACUUUCCAAAUCUUUAAUUUCAAUUUCAUUUAAUUUGCUAAGUAUGUUUUUAGUUUUAUAAUCUUCUAUUAAUCAUCUCUAGUGACUAUAAUAUCAUUAACAUGGACAAAAAAUAUUAGUUAUCUUCUCUUGGGGAGAAGGCUUUAUGAACAAUGUGUGUUCACCUUGAAUUUGACAAUUCCUUCUUUUUACCAUGGAUUUUGCAAACCCCUCAGACCAUGCAUAUAAGGACUAUUUGAGUCCAUAGGGAGACCUUCUAAGUCUACACACUUUGCUCAUCAAUGCUUUGUGAACAUAUAAAAGUGGGACGCCCAUGUACACUUUUUUUUCUAGAUUGCCAUGAAGGAAGACAUUUUUUAUGUCAAGUUGUCGUAAUAACCAAUCUAGAAUAGCUACUAAAGACAAUAGAAUCCUAAUGGUGUUCAUCUUGGCUGCUGAUGCAAAUGUAUCUUAGUAGUCUACUUCAAAUGUUUGAUUGUACCCUUUAGCGACUAACCUUGCCUUAUACCAUUUAAUGGUCCCAUCAUCUUUGGAUUUAAUGGUGUGGAUCCAUUUACAUCCAAUUAUUUUCUUCUCCUUGGAUAAGUGUACGAUUCCCCAUGUUUUUAUUUAUUUAUUUAUUUUAGAAGGUUCUCAUCUCCUUUUUCACAGCCUCCUUCCACCGUUUCAUGUUCAGUGUUUCAUAAACUAUUGUAGAAAUUUCAUGGAAUGAUAUUUUGAAAGUGAAAGCACGAUCUUGUGGGAAUAGUCUCUCAAAUGACACAAAGUGAGAGAUUGGAUGUUGAGUGCAUGAUCGAGUUUCCUUCCUAAGAGUAAUAAGCAAAUCCAAAUCAUUGUUAGCAUAAACAUCAUGAUUAACAUUUUCAUUACUUGAUAUCAAGUCGAAAUUUGGGACUUAUGGAAUGAUAAAAAGUUUUUUUUUCCUAGAGUACACCUUCAUAGUAGGCAUAUUGGACCUCAAAUUCUCUAUUUCUAUAAGAAUCAGUGAUGUUUUUACAUUUCUAAAUUUUUAGCAAAUGUUAUUUCUAGUGAAGGGUUUAAUAAAAGUAUGGUUUGAGACUCUUUUGUACUGAAAUUGUUUAAGGACACUAGAAGUACUUGGUUUUGAUUAAGAAAACUUGAAAUAGUUUGGUUUUGAGCAACAUUCAAAUUACUACUUCCUUUGUUCCCAUUGUCAUAAAAAAACCUAUCUAGGACACAAGUGAGGUUUGAAAUUUAACUUAUGCUUGUCUAGUUGGUGGAUGAUAACACUUUGCUUCUUUUUUUUUGGGACCUAGAAAUAUACAUUAAAAAAAAACCUUAGAAUCGAAUUUACUUCUCAAAUGGUUGUGAACAAGGAUGAAAAUAUUGAUUUUGACAAAAAUAUAUUGAUAACUUGAUUUUACAAAUAUAUCAAGAUAUAUCGAAAAAUAUUGAUGGAUAUUUUGACACAAAAUAUCAAUAAAACUAAAAUUAAUUAAAACUCAUUAAAAUAUUAAAAAAACCUCUUAAAAAUUAUAUAUAUUAACACAAAUAUCAAUAAAGAAGUGGUUAUAUUUGUCAAAAUCAUCAUGAUAAAGUGUCAUGUGAAAAAAAUAAAUUUGUUAAUUGUUAAUAAAUGAGUGUUGGAUAAUACUACGCUAAAUAACUUUGAACAGUUAUGAGAUUUUCAUUGUAUCGAAAUUUAAUAUAAAUGUAAUUAUAUUCCUCAAAAUUAUCCUAAUGAAUUUUUGUUUUAAAAAAAUUAAUAAAUCUUCAUAAAGUUGCUCUAAAUUCUUAAUUGAAUAAGUCUUUUGUCCAAUCCUAUGAAAAUUACUUAUCUAACCCCUCCUUUCUUUACUUAACUUCAAAAUUUUAUAAGUUAAUUUUCUCCAACAUCUUUAUAAAUCCUUUUAUUAUUUGAAUAUUAUAAUAUAUUUUUUUUAAUUUCAAAAUUUAAACUAAAAAUAUAUUGAAUAUGUCAUUAACUACCAUUACUAGCAUUUGAAACUCCGAAUUUGUAUUAACUUUAGGUGGUGUUUGUUUUUUUACUUAACUCCAAAUAGAACUUUAAUGUUUAAUAGUAUUAAGUAUUAAAUUGUUUGUUUUUGUAAUAUUUUAUUUUUAUUAAGUAUUAAAAAAUAAAGAAAAAUCAACAUAUUGUUUUUUUUCCAUUUAGUAAAAAGUUUAUAAUAAAUUAAGAAAAAGUAGAAAAACAAAUAAUUUAAAAUUUAAAAACAAAUUAUUUUCAGUAAAAAGUUAAAAAAAAUAAACACUCUUUUUAAGUGUUUUGAAUUAUAAAUUUACCUAAUUAAUCCUUUUUUUUCUUUACCUUUAAUAAGGUAUGUUUUCAAUUUAAAUUUCAAAAUAAUAAAUAAAUUUAUCAUAAUAUUUAAAUAAUAAAAAAAUUAUUAGGAUGGUAGAAAAAUUAACUUAUAAAAUUUUGAAAUUAGAAGAAAAAUGACUCACCAAAAUACGAAAGUCAAAAUCUUUCUGAAAAUAAAUUCCUAUUUAAAGAGUGCAUAACCUUAUGAAUAAGCUCAUAUUAAGUCAUCAAAUUUUGAAUUCACCUCAAGAUUCUUCUUGAAAGGUAAGGGGUAUGAAUAAAAACCAUUAUAUAUAUAUAUAGUAAAGGAAAGAAUUCAAUAUAAAAUAGAGAACCAUCAUUAUUAUCUUAAAAUUCUAAUUCGAAUUUUAUUCUUUGUUAAAUUACUUUUAUCAUAUUUUAAAUUUAAAUUAAAUAAAAUUUAUAAGAAUGUUCAAAAUUAAGAAAUCCCUACAACUUUAUAACUUUUGGAAAUUAAUAACCUUUAUUUCUAAUCCAUCAUUAUGCUAUUGAAAUUUGUUAUAAAUAAGAGAGGAAAAAACAAAAAUUAUUUCUAAAAGCAAAGAAAAAAAAACAUGUAAAGUGAAAAAAAAAAAAGGAGCAAUAGGAGUUUGACAGGAGGAGGGGGGAGAAUAUGGAAGAAAGAAGUGAAAAAGGUCAAAGAUAGGGGGCAGAGUCAGAGGAGUAGGGUGUGUUGGAAAGUGAGAAGUAGGGGGAGCCUGGAGGGAGAACACAUACAAUGUACCACAUUAAAGCAGAUGAUGCCCAAUUCUGAUUCGUAUCUCUAUCUACUUCCACAUAUAUUCUCUCUAUACAAAGCACCCAUCAUUCAUCAUCAUCAUCAUCAUCAUCAUCAUCUCUCCCUCUCCCUCUCUCCCUCUCUCCCUCCCUCUGACCACCCACCUUUGAAGAAAAAAAAAAAGACUCCAUUCUCUGAACCAGGACACUCCCUCAUUUCCUCAAUCACCAGCAUUCUUGGAUUUUGAGAGAAUCUUUGAAUCUCUCUCAUUUUCCAAUUCAAUCUCCUCUCCUCUCCUCUCUCUCUCUCUCUCUCUCUCUCUCUCUCUCUCUCUCUCUCCCUUUCUCUCUUCCUCCACUUCAUCAGCUUAUGUGUGUUGCUCUCCUCCGCCCAUUCAGCCCAUUUGCCACCCAUUAAGGGGUUCAUCUUUAUUUUUAUUUAAAAAAAAAAUUCAUUGUCAUUUUUGAGUAAUAUAAUUAAAUUUUGAUUUUUACAUCUAAAAUGGGUAAAAGAAAAAGUGAUGAAUAUAGCCUCUAUGCCUCUAUGCUAUUAAAGUAGAAAAUCUAAUCACAUCUCUUUGAUUAGUUGACUAAAAAAGAGGAAGUUGAUUUAUACCUAAAUUUAAUUUGUUUAGAAAAUAUGUUGGUCAAAAAGACAAAAAUAACUUUAAUAAGAUUUUUUUUUGUCUCUGCCAUAUGUUAAAUUUCAUUUCUUUUUUAGUAUGUGUGGAAGACAAAUUCAAAAUUAUGAUGGUGGACUAGAAUUAGAAGAGUAGUGGAAAUCAUAUCAACUAGGACUUCUUUUAUUGGGAUUUCGCUUCUUUUAUUCUCUUAUUCACAUGCUUUCUUUCUACUUCUAUUAAACUUGUCACGUUUAAUUCCAUACCUAAUUCAUCUAUUGGACCCUUUUUUUUAAUAAUUAUUUAAAAAUAAUAAUUAUACAACAUAUAUAAUUAAUAAAAGUAAAGUAUUAGAUAUAAAAUUAUUUUUAAAACAUUAAAAACAUUUUGGGUUCCAAACAUACCCUUAUUCUGUAAAACAUCAAAAAAUAAUUUUUUAAAACCAUUCUCAAAGAUUAUUUUUUGGAAUAAUUUUUUAAAAUAAUUACUAUAUAAGACUAUAAGAUAAUGAAAAAAAAAAGAAAUAAUUUUAAUAUUUAUAAAAAUGAUUUUUUUUAUUUUUAAUAUGUAUAUUAUUGGUAUGCAAGAGAUAAGAACGACCCUUUUAUUUUAUUUAAGAGCUCAAUAAAAUAACUUAUUUUUAUCUUAAUAAAUUAAUAAUAAUUUAAAGAGCAUAAAAAUGGAUAAAUAAUAGAAGUUUAGCAUAUCUUCCUCCAAAACGUAGCGUUUUGGCCGAAUAUAUGGGGAUCUGUAGGUGUGAUACUGUCUGAUUCGGACCACAGUACGAAACCUGAUUUCCAACAACAUUCAAAGACCCACAGAAAUAAUAAUUAAAAUAAAUUAAAAGGAAAAUAGAAAAAAAACAAAAAACCACGUUUUCACUCGUACUAUUACUUUCCUUCAAAGGCAAGUUCACCGCAUCAUCAUGAGAUUAAGACCAGGAAUGGACGGCGAGGAUCAAAUCACGCUCAUCGACCUCUAUAAAUAGGCAGUCCACCCAGCCAUAUCACACUCCGUCUCUGAAAAACCACCCCAAGCCCAACAACCACACCUCUGAUACUGGACGGUAGCCGGUGGCGAGAGAAAUGGUCAGAGGUCCGACGAGACAGACAGUGAGAGAAAGCAAAGGCAUUACUAUUCUACGAUGGUACGGUUCUUCAGUGUGGGGUCCGUCGUGGUGCUGGCGGUUCUAGCCGCGUCGCUGGUGGUCCUGCCGUUGAUGCUGCCGCCGCUGCCUCCCCCGCCGCUGAUGCUUCUCUUCUUCCCCGUGGGCAUUAUGGCCGCCCUCAUGUUGUUGGCAUUCUCGCCGACGGACGCCGCCGGACACGUGGCAGUUUGGGCGGUGUAGGUGGAGGAAGCUGGUUGGGUGGCUCCGAUUGUGGUUACAAUACUUUGCCUUGUUUUUUUUAACAAAGUUCAGAAUCAGUGGAUAAUGAUUUUGUCUCAGUGCUGACGUCAUUAUUGUUGUUCAUCUUUUGAAAAUAUAUUAGCUGAAAGCAGAUUCAGAUUCAGAGUGUUUUGUUUUUGUUUUUGUGUUUUCAAAAUUAGAAAGUGAUUUAGAAAAACAAAGCUUAAAACAGCUGUGUAUGAUGAUCCAUGAAUGAAUGAAAGAAAGAAAGUAAGAAAGGAUGAUUCAGAAUUUAAAUGGAAUGUGAUUUGUGAAAGGAUGGAAGUUUGGUUGCUGUUUUGAAAACAAAAAACAUUAAAAACAUGUUUGAGAAAUGGGAUGUAUUUUUAUUUUUUUGUAUUUCUUGUGUUCUUAAAAACCAUUUGAGAAAUAUUUUCAUUAUUUUUUUAUUGUUCACGAAACUGUAGGUGAUUUUUUACUAUUUAAGUAACUCUUUUUUUAAAUAAAAAAUUAUAAUUAAUUUAAAAUUUUUAAAAGAAAUCAUUUUAUUGAUUUAAAUGAAUUAUACAUAUAAAAAUUAUUUAUAUAUUUAUAAUAUCAAAUUAACUAAAAAAAAUAUUUCAUUAAUUAAAAAAACAGCUUUUAAGUAUAUUUUUUAUUUUAUUUAUUUAAAAAAAAUUAUUAAUUCUAUCAAAUGCAUUUUUUUUUUGUUUUUGAGAACAAAAGUUGUUUUCUGGAAUUUAGGUUUUAAACAUAAUUUAAAAAAAAAAUCAAAAACUAUCCUUAAAAAAUGUUAUCAAAAACUGUUUUUUAAAGAAUAGCUUUUAAAAACAGUAAACAAAUAGGCCUAUUUAUGAUUUUGAGAUGAUUUGAAAACAUACUAUUUUCUCGUGCAUCAGCUUAGGAAGCAGUGCAGAGAGGCAGUGAAAUAGGAUUUUUGAAGUUAAAAAAUUGGGCGGUGAGAACUUGAGAGCAACAAUAAAGUAGGAAAUAGAAUGGAUUUCUCGUUUGUUCCAAAGAUCCAAACAGAUCUUUAAAGGUUGAUACUCUGCUUCACAUUUAAAAAUGGUCUUUUCUUCUUAAAAACAGAUCUUCUAUUUUUAUGACUCAUUGUAAAAAGGGGAAUCUCUAAUAAAAAUUCGUUCAACUUUCUUUUUACAUUCUAUUUUCUUUUCCUUCUUCUUCUUCUUCUUCUUCUUUUACUUUAUUAUUUUACAACAUUAUUAUUUUACAACAAACAAUAUGUUCUCUUUCUUAUUUAUUUUGAAUUAAUUGGUUAAAAGAUAUUAAAUAAUCCCCUAUUUAUGAAUUUAAUAUUUUUCAUGUUUUUUUCUUAAAGAAUAAUCUAUUUUUGAUAUAAAUGUCCUUAAUUAUUUUAAAUAUUUAUACAUAAGUUUUAAAAGAAAUGGUUAUUUUUAUAAGAAAAAAAUAAGAGCAUUUUUGUCAAAAUGUGGUAAAAAAAUGAUGAAUGAUUAAAUUUUCAAAAUGGAGUUUUCAAUAACUCUUCUAAUCAAAUAAUCUAUUUAUUUUUCCAUUGCUUAGAACUAAAAUCUUGAAAUAUGAUUUUCUUUGAGAAAAAUUUAAGGAAAACAAAUAAAGAGAAAAAAAUAAAUUAGAAGCUCCUCAUUUUUUUUCUAGAAUCAUUUGUUUUUCAUUUAAAAUCUUUAGAACUUAAACAUUGAUUGAAUUAAUACUAGAAAAUCAUAAAACUAAAAAUCAAUCUAAUAAGAGUACAAUUAAAUGUGAUUAUUGGAAAUGUUUUUAGUCUAAACAAUGUUUUUUUUAAAAAAAAAAAAAACUAGUGUUUGGUAAAAUUUAGGAAACACUUAUGAGUUUGAUAGUGAUUUUAGGAAGUAUUUUUAGAUUUUCUAAAACUUGAAAAUUUUUAUCUUGCAAGUAUAAAAAAAGUUAAGAAAUACUUCCUAGAAUCACUACCAAACACACGAACAUGUUUGGUAGUAAUUUAAGAAAAUGUUUUUAACAUUUCUAACACUUGAAUAAUACAAAUUUUAAAGUGUUAAAAAGUUUGGAAACACUUCUUAAAAUCAUUACCAAACUGGUUAUAAAUAGUGUUGAAAAAUCAUUUGUAAUAUUUUAUAGAGAAACAUAAUAUGUGAUUCUUCCAAAAAUACUUUAAAAAAAACAUUUUCAUUAAAAACUCUUCAAAAGAAAAACGCUAUUAAACACACUCUAAAUACCAUAAAGUCGUACUAUAAAAGCGAUUUUGAAUGAUUUUAUUAGCUUCUCUUUACAAUGUAAUUAAAACAAAAAAGUAACUUUACUAUAAAAAUUUAUGAGUUAAAUCUCAUCUAAAAUGACUUCAUUGUUUUUACUUUGUAUAUAAUUGCAUUUUUAUGAUUUUUUUUUCAUUCGAUAAAUGAAUUUCAAAUUAAAGGAAAUUUAAUAUAUUGUUAAUGAGUUUAGUAAUUUUUAAAAAUAUCUUAAAAUAAAAUAAAAAAAAACCAAAUCAAUGUAACAAAAUAAUAUAAGAAAAAACCUGGUAUAAAACAAAUUAUCUUUACUAUUUUUCCUUUGCAUAUAAACAAAUAAAUUCUAAAUCAAAAGAGACCAAUAAAUCAAGGAAGACAUAAAGGUUGUUUGGUAAAAUCUAAUAUUUAUUAUUUAAUUACUUAAUUUUACCUUAAUUUAAAUUAUUAUUAAGUUAUUUACUUAAAACCUAUUAUUUGGUUUUUACUUUAAAUAUUAAAGGUCUUUAUUAACUUAAAAUUUAUUAUAAAUCAUCGAAUUGACAUAAUCACUCUUAUGAAUCUUAACUAUUAUUUACACUGAUUAAUUUUAACUAAUAUCUCAUGCUAUUAAUUUUAAACAAUGAAUUAGUUUGUUAAAUAUUUAUAUUUAAAAUAUUACAAAUACAUAAAAUAAUCAAAAGAUAUUUACUAUAAAAUUCAAUCAUGGAUGUAGAGUUAUACUCAUAAAAUAGACACUCACUACAUAUGGGUAAAUGAGAUAAAAUAAAUUUGACAUUAAAAAUAAGUUAAUUAUUUUGACUUAAUAUUUAAAAGUUAUUAUUAACAAUAUUAAGUUAUUUUACUAGAUAUGUUUAAUCUACUUAAUGAUUUAAAUUAAAUUAUUAAAUCAAUAAAUUAACUUAGCAAACAACCUAUUAGAGUCCAUUUGAGAGUACUUUAAAAAAAAAUGCUUAUAGUUUAAAAAGAACUUUUGAAGAAAAAUUAGGUGUUUUGACAAAAUUUGGAAAACUCUUUUUAAAAAAUUGAAAGAAUCACUUAUAGUUUUUCAUAGAUAAACAUUUGAUAAAUGAUUAUUUUAAAAAUAAUUUUAGAGAAAAUAAUUCAACUAAAAGAACUUCAAAUAUAAAUACUCCUAAAUAUGCUCUUAAUGUUUUGUUUUUAUUUUUAUUUUUAAUUUUUUUUAUUUCUAACGAAUCUAUUAAUUUUUAAUAGUAAUUUGAAAUUUAAGUUACUGAUUCAAUUAAUAGCGUACUAAGUAAAAUUGAUUCAAAAUACUUUUUCUAUAAUUGAGCAGUAUAUAUGUACAUAGAAUAAAAAAGCUUGAGUAUAUAUAUUUUUAAAAGAUUUCACUUAGUUUUAAAUUCAUUUUAAAUAAAAUAUUUUAACCAUUCUUAUUUUAAAAGAUUAUUCAUUAUAUAGAGAAUUCAAGUAUGAAUUUACAAAUGUAAAUAUCCAUAUUUUAUAAUAUCUAAUAAAAUAAUAUAUUUUUUUAAUAAAAAUAUUAUUAAUGAUUUUAUGAUAAUAUUAGUAUUCAUACUUUACUAAAAAAAUAUUUAUUUUUAAUUAUGAAACCAUUUUUUUUUAUUUGUAAUAAGACUUGAAUUGAAUUUAAUGGAUAUUAACAUAAAUUGAAAGUAAAAAUAAAAAUAAAAAUAAAAAUAAAUUAUUAAAAUAUAUUUACUUAAAUGAGUUUUUUUAUUUUUUUAAGAAAUAUUUUUUAAAAUAACUUUUCAAAUACUCUUAUUUUAGAAAAUACAAGAAAACUAUUUUUGUUUGUUAUUUAAUUUGAAAGUAAUUUUUAAAAAUAAAUUUUAGAAAACAUGCCAAACUAACAUGUACUUUCCUUGCCUUUUCACUUUGAACUAAGCAUAACAAAUCAUGGAAAAGAAAUAUGAUAUCAAUGAUAUCAUGUCAAGUUAAAAAUUGACACAAAAACUUGAAUGAUUAGUUAGUGAGUAAAUGAUAUAUCAAAUUUAUUUGAAUUAUACUCUAACCAAAGUAUCUCAGCUGAAUAUUUAUGAUUUUAGGCAAUAUUUGGUUUAAAAAUUAAGUUGGAGAAAAAUAAAUUACUUCAAAAUAGGAGAGCCAUUGCUAGGUUGCAGGGUGGGAAAUCCAUCCAUUACAUACUUGAGCCUACCUUUGAAAGCGUCGUAACAAAACUGCAAGGGAUUUAAGAUGUGAUAGCAUAGAGAUUUCAAAGAAGACUAGUCAUGCGUACAAAGGUAACACCUCACAAAAGAAGAGAAAUUUACUUCGAUCAAAAGUAUGUGAUUAAGCCUUCUAAUUUAUUUAAUGUCUCCAUUUAUCAUUACAAGAAGGUGAUCUUAAUAUUAGAGUAGAUCCAAAGAGAUAUCGUUUGGAGUGAGGGAGCAUUUGUAAAAAAGACCUUAUUGGGUAAAUUGGCUCAUUACAGACUUGGACAAAAAGAAUGAAAGUCUUGACAUUAAAAAUUUAUUUACUCCAAAUAAGGCUUUCAUUGACAAAUAGAGUUAAAAUUCACAAUUAAGAGAGUCACCUUGGGAAUGGGCCAUGAUGGAAAAGUUUGAGGAAGAAGAGGGAAGAUAAUGCUUGAGGGGUGUGAGGGAAGGUUUUGGAGUGGGGGUGUGCAAAGUAAUUAGAAAUGAUGAGGGUUUUUAAAAGUAUAUCUCGUUUCAUAGUUGGUAAUAGAAGAAUAGUUAAAGUUUGAAACGAUAGAAGACAUGGUGACAUCUUUAGAAAAGUUUUUCCCUUUUCUCUAUAGCCAUCAUUAAAGACUCUAAGGUAGUAGAGGUGUGGAAGCAAGUAGGAGAGGGGUUAGUAUGUAGUGUGGUGGCCUAUCUUUGAAAGAGCAUUUCUUGACUUUAUUUAUUAUAGUCAUCGCUAAAAACUCUUGGGUGGUAGAGACAUGGGAACAAGUAAGGGAGGUGGAUUAAUGGAGUUCCCACUUCUCCAAAGAGUUCUAUGAUUGGGAAUUUGAAAGAGUAGAGACCUUUUUUAGAAAAUUGCAAACAAGCUCAAUUACAAGAGACGAGUGUGAUAAAAUAGAUUGGAAGAAAUCCAAUUAUGACAAGUUAUCUAUCAAAUCUUUUUACUUAUCCUUAGCCUGUGGAAUACGACAAUUAACCAUUUUCCCACAAGCACAGUUUGAAACUCUCAAACUUGCUUAAGAUUAAGUUUUUCAUUAGAAUAUUCAUCUCGACUUAAAUAUUAGAUUACAGGGCUCUACAAUCUCAUCUUCAUACAUUUUAGAAGAUUAAAGAAAACUACCAAAAAAAAAAAAAAAAAAAACCAACUAAAAACAACUACAAAAAACCCCAAUAAAAAACAACCGCAAAAAAAUCCUAACCAAAAUUCCACCACAAAAAACUUCAAUGAAAGUUCCGAUAGAAAAUAAUUGCGAAAAACCUCCAAUGAAAGACAAUUACAAAAAACUCCAACUAAAAAAAAUCAUAAAAAACCCUAACAAAAAAAAAAAACAUUGUUGAAGUUUAAAUAAAAUUUUAAAAAAACCAACAAAAAACAACCUCAAAAAAUCUCAACAAAAAACAACUUAAAAAAUCUCAACAGAGAAGCCAUUGCAAAAAACAACCACAAAACCCCUAACAUAAAGAGAAAUUAAGAUGAAUGAUAUUAAAAAAGAAAUAAGGAUGUGAGAGAGUUGUAGUUGAUUUUUAUUCAUUGAUCUUCAUUAUAGGUUUGGAAGUUCACUAGAAGAAAAGAGAGCGUGUAUGUAUGAAAAAUGAGAGGAAAAUGAUUCGAGCAUGAGAGGGAAAUGACAUUUUUGAGGAAACAAAAAAGGGUAAUAAUGUCCAAAAUGGAGACUAUUCUUCCAAUUUUAAAAAUAUUUGAAGUUUUUUAACCGAAUAUCUCUAAUUUUUAAUAUAUUAUAAUAUCAGAAUAUUAAAAUAUAAAACACCCAAAAUUUGGAUAAAGUAAAUUAUAAAAUUUUAUUUUAUUGUUGAAUAUAUCUUUUUAAAUAUGAUUAUGCCAUUUAAUAAAAUUAGAAAUAUUAAUAUAUUCAUAUGUUAUCAAAAUCCUUUAAUAUGUCAAUACCAAUGAUAAAAAAGAUGAAAUAUCUUUCAGUUUUUUAAUAUUAUAAUAUUGAAGUAAAACUUAAACCAAUGAUCUAAUUGAAACAGAGGAUUCAGAUGUAUUUUGCAAGUCCAAAAGUAAAAUACAGAGAAGGAAGAAAGAAACAAGAAGAAAGUAAUAGGCUUGUAGCAGCAAUGACAGUGAAAGAGUGGUACACUUUUAUUAAACUUCAAAUCCAAGUCAAAGGAAUAAGUCCACAAGUACAGCAAACAAUAAGAUAACAAGAAAGAGGAAUGAUAUACACAAGCUGCAUACAUUCUUAUUCCCAAAAGAAAUUUUGGUUACCUCAUCAGCUGUUGAGUCCAGAGUUUGUAGUUGUGGGCUGUGGGCAAAUAUUUACAAGCAUACUGAGAAUUCAAGGGCUGCAUGCAAUGUUCAGCAUGGACAAAUUAUUCAACUGUGUGUAAUAUAAAACAAGAUAUAGGCUUCAACACAACAGAGGCAAUAACAUUUGAGCAGCCCAUUUUUCUGCCUUUUUUGAUUCAGCAGUGCAUGGGUUUUUGAGGAAGUUUGUCUUCAGUCCACUUCUUCAACAGCUCUAGCGCAGCUCAGGGCUGACCAGCAUCAUGGACCUGUUUAUUUUUACAUACAAACCAAACCACCAUGUCAGCACUAGCAAUCAUCUACUUCCUUCAUAAGUCUACUGCUAUGUGAGAAAGAGCUGGUUUGAGAGAGAGACCUUGAGGAACAGGUCUCUUUCAAGUGUAUGCAGCAAUGCCUUGGCCACCUCUAUACUUUCUGACAUUUUUAUUUUCCAGCUGAUUUCAAACACAAAAAGAAGAAAAGGAAGAGUGAAAUCUUAGAUGAGUGAUGCUGAAUGCUAAACUUGUAUAAGGGUCUAUUUGGCAGCAGAGAUGAGAAUGCUCUUAUUUUUUUUUUCUGAGAAUGGAAGAAAUGAAAAUUGAUUAAAAACAUGUUGAAAACAUGAAACAUUUCCAAAAAAAAAAGAAAAAAAAACAUGUUGAUAACUCAAAGUAACAUAUUCAUGCUUGCCAAUCUUCAAUCUUUUUGAUCACUUUUAUAAUUGCAGAAAAGAAAGGCCUAAUAAGCAUUCACCACCUUCAUCAUUCUUUUCUUCUUACCUGAGAGAAGAAAUUCUAAAAAUGAAGCACUAAAUUUAAAAAAUGAGGCAGUAACUUAUCCGGCUUACCCAAAAAGUGUUUAGAAAACAGAUAAUCAUGAAUUGUUGAGGUCAAGAACAUAUCGACAUGCAAAUAUGUUUCUUGAUUUUUGGAAAUUUUGGGUUUCACCUGCAUCUUCUUUUUAUUCUUUCUUUCCUAAAUGUAGAGAAGAAACUUCCACUCUUAAUCUGAAAAUGAACUCAGUAUUGGGGCAAUGAAAACAGGAGCUGCACAUUGUGAAUGGGCAAGGCUUACCUUACUGAAAAAAGGGGAAGAGAUAUCAUUGCCUUCAUUUCAAGCAGCCCAUAUGAUGAAUAUCUAAUGGCAGGCAAUGGAUGUGGGAUGUCUUGAUCUGAAAUAAAGAAGAACAGGUCAGUUAAGCAUGUGAAAAGAGUCUAAACACAGUUUUAGCUUUAUGUUUGUUCUAUUUAUUAAGAACAUAAAAUCAUAAGCAAAUUUCAAUAGAACAGUAGAACUAACCAUGCUUGUGUGGAACUGAGGCCAAUGAGUUAAAGAGAAAAUGCCAAUUAGUAACAGCUGCUAAAGCCAUCUAUUCAUGAGAGGACAAACUGGAACUGGGAUUGAGUUCCAAAUAGCCAUACCACACCUGAUUGAGUUUCCUUUUUUUUUUUUUUCAUGAAGAAAACCUGGAAUUCAUCUGGAACAUUGUUAUCAGUCGCUUAUCUCAAGUCUUGGAAGUGUUUCAGGAAGCCCUUUGGACUGGAGCUUAGGGUACCUAUAGAUGGAUAUACUUUCAAGAGAAGGGAGGUUUUUGAAAGCCAGAGAGGCCAUGGAAUCCAGUUUACUAAUCAAAAGUUUGCUUAAGAGUUGUAGGAAAAAGACAGCCAUCAUCUGAUAGAGAAGCCAGACCUGGACAUAGGCUAGAAAUAUACAAUGAUGAAAGAGAAGUAAGUGAGCCUGUCCUGGUUAGCACACAAUCUCUGAUAGAAAGUGCUGCAGGGUUGGAGGCCAAACUGCAGAGUCCUCUUCUUUUCCUAGUUAGCACAAUUUUCUAAUUUCAAAUAUUUAAGAUUGCAAGGCUGCCCUUGUUCCUCCAAGGGUGCAAGUCCAUGGCACUGCCAGAUCCCUAUACAUUCAAGACCACCGAGGAGGCAUUCUAAUCAAAACCCGCUCUGCUACAAAGAUGUCACCUCCCCACACGCUCUUACCACUGGUUUUUAAAAUAGGAAAUUUCUUGAUUUUAAGCAUUGAGAGUGUUCCGGGCAACAGCCCUUUCCUUUAGCAAACAUGGCCAGAGAAUUUCAAUGGUAUCAAAAGUAGAAACUAGAAUUUCAAUGGUAACAAAGUACAAACUUGUAUUUCAAUACUGUCAAAAGUAGAAAAUUGUAUCAAGUUCAUAACAAUUGUCUUUUAUGAAUGAGAUGGACUUUGCUUCCAUUUUUGUGAUAUAUAUGGAAAUAAGAUUCAAUGAGUUUAUUCAUUUGUGAAAAGCAGUCUCUAUGUAGGGAUGUGAACUAUCUUGGACUGAUUUCUAUAUUUGGAAGCGUGGCCAUCAACAGCCCUUCCUUUGGCAAAAUACACCCAAGUUUAGAUGGCUCCUAGUACUCCAAGAGGGUUAAGGCUGUGGAGCCACAUGGAUGGAAAUCCUAAUUCAGUGGUCUAUUAAUUGAUGAAAUCUAUGAAUAGAUUGUAAUGACACCAGCCAUGUGGAUAUUGUUCUCUUUGGCCCUUUGGACCUUUGGGUGACUCAAUAGAGGGGUACCUCACAAUUUAUAAUGUCCUGCUUACAACCAUGUAGAUAUUGUCUGCUUUGUACCCAAGGGGUCUUCUUGGCUUUAAAACAUGUCUACAUUGUUAAGAGAAACUUAUACAUAGUGCCAACUGUCAAGAAGUUUUUCUCUUAUCUGAUGUGGGAUAUCUUAUAGAUUAUAUUUAGAGGAAGCACACACAUACUCUGUAACAGUGAUGAAAUUUUGAAGAGAGGAGAGUUUAUGCAUGCCCACUUGGACAGGGCUCGAUAUUCCUGCAGUCCAUGAUGCAAGGUGAUACUAGGUUGAAGCAACAACCCCAUUUGAACUAACCAAAUCUAUGACUUGAAUUAAAAUUUGCAAAAACGAAAAAGCCACUUCUUUAGGUUGCUGGCCUUACUAAAAACAUGUUUUGGAUAAAAAGAAAGAUGGCUAAACACUACAACCAACUUCCAAGAACCUUUGGAACCAGAGCAAGCAAAUGAUCUCGACAUAUCGUAUUAUAACCUUAUCAUUAAUAAACAUCAAACACUGCAUAAUGCCAUGCCAGUUUCAAAGAUUCAUAAAUGUAAUGCACAUUUAUAAAGAACCAUAUUUAAGGCAUUAUAUAUGCUUGUGUGCUUAAAAAUGACAAACUCUAUAGGGAAACUUUAAAAAUAAAAGAAGUCUUACCAGAGUCAGCCAUGAAAUAGCAUUUCUGGGCUGAAGUGACCACAGUCCACAAUACUGCAAAAGAUGAUAGAAUUCCCAAGGAUCUUUAAUCUUGAAAAUAAUGUAUCCUUGUAAUGGAGGAUUAUGGACAAGAGCAACAUGGAAAACAAAAAAUUUAAGAAGAAAUACCAAGCCAUGAUUGCAGCAAGAAAUGAAGAACAUACCAGCAAGUGAAUAGGCAGCAGUUAAUGAUUAGGAAGUUUUGCAUCUAAUAAUAUUCACCAUUUCUUUUUUUUUUUCCUUCCUACAAAUUGAGAAGAAAUUUCUAUUAUUAUCUAAAAGAGGAAUCGAUAUUGGAUCAAUGAAAUUGGAAGCCAGGUAUCCUAAAGAGGCAGACAUACCCAUUUGUUUGCAUUCAUUUCUUUACUAGGGAAAGAAGAAUCCUUAGGAAGAACAAUCCAUCAUAUUGCAUAUAAGAAGAAUUGGAAACACAUAAGAAUAGACCAAUUUGGAGGCCAUGAUGCUGAUAAAGGUGGAAUAGAAUGUUAUCGAGGUUUCCUUCAUCUGAAACAUAUAAGUAAUAUACCAAUUAGGCGGGGCAAGAGGCUGCUGGAAGUAUGUGUUAUUUAUAGAAAGACAAAAUUACAUUAGAAUUAAUAGAAAGGUAGAAGUAACUAUGCUCACCCAGAACUGAGGCCGAGAACAAAAAGGGGAAUCAGAAAUUUAAUAGAAAGCCCCCAAUUAAUACCUGCAGCCAAGCCAAAGUCACCUAUACAUCAAGAGAAUGGAUCAUGUCUCAUCUCUCUCUCUUCUUUUUUCUUUGUUCACCCUGUCAAUACUUGCCAUAUCCUUAUUAAGCUGGAUCCCUGUAAAUGUGCAAUGAAAAUUGGCAGUCCAAUUAGCAUGGAAAAAACAGAGAGAACCUCAUACAUAUAUAAACAAGAGCUCUUUUCAGAUAGUUUGUACAUAGUUGCUUUAUAAUUACACUCCAAGUGGUUGAAGGAGUAAGUUCAGAUAGAAAUUGGAGUAAGAAACAAUGUAAAUAUUUAUAAAAUUAGAAAUGUUAUACCAUGAAGCUAUUUGGAUAAGCAAUGCAACAUUCCUCAUUCUUUCAUUCAACACCAGCUUUUUAGCCCUUUGUUGCCAUGGUUAGCUUAAGAUUCACUGACUACCAACAUAUGUUUACUUCUUUCAUCUUCUCCUCGAGAAGUUUAAGAAUGAAUAUGAUUCUUUUCCUUGGUUAAAAGAAAUGUUUCAAGUUUCAAAAUACAUUUUUGUUCCACAACUAAAAAAUCCUAACAUUUGAAUGGAAAUUCACAUCUGGGUAUCCAUGUCUAAGUCCAUUAAAUAUACUUCUAAGACAAUAAUAUUAAAAAUAUGAAAAUAAAAAACUUCAAAAAGAAAAAGGAAAAAGAUAAACAAAGAGAAGUGAAAACCAGGUUGUACCUGAAUGAACAAUGCAAGGAUAGGGUUGAAUGGCUUUCUGUUUCCAUUCUUUUUCCACCACCCGUAGAAUACUUUACUCUGCCAUCAAUUUUGAAUUUGGGGAUGUGGGCAAUGGAGGGAAAUUUCGUUUCUUGAAGAAGAGGACAGCCGAUGAUUUCAAGACUUGCAAGUGUUGUUGUCCAGAGUCUUAAGGAGUGGAGCCUAGGGCAGCACCCAAUAUAUAGAUGUUGAAGGGAGAUGAUGUUUUUGAGUUCCAGGGAGGUCAGGGAUUCCAUAUGGUUGAUAUGGAGGUUUGUGAGAGAUGUAGGAAAAAGGCACUUAUUGUCCCAAAGGGAAGCCUUGCCUGGAAACAUUUCCCAAAUCUUCAAUGUUGAAAGAGAGGUGAGGGUGUGGAGGCCCCACUCAGAUAUGGGCGUCUUCAGAUUCUUGCAAUUUAUAAUUGAAAGAAAUUUUAGGUUGGGGGCCAAACCCUCUUCUGGGAAGGACUUCACUCCCGGAGAAUUCUCCAUGUUGAAAACCUGAAGAGAUGUGAGGCUCUUCAUUUGACGCGGCAAGCACUCGAGAUUCUCACAUCUCCAAAUACGGAGCUCUCUGAGGUUGGGGGCCGAAAACCCUCUUUCUGGAAACCCUCUUUCUGUGAAGGCAUUCUGGUAGGAUUUUCAGAUUGGGAUAACCCCUCAACUCCAAAUACUCAAGAGCUGUAUUAUUGGGCCACAUUUUCUCUGAUACUGGCUCCAAGUUGGAGCAAUGCCGAAUCUCAAGCCGCUCAAGGGUGGGGGGUAACUCCCCUCUUGGGAAGAACUUGAGAGACUUGCAAUCAUGUAUCCUCAGUAUUUGAAGACAACAAUCGUUGUUGCUGUGUAUGGAAUUGCGGUGCAUCAUUCCAUCUGGUAGAUACUUUAGCCGUAUACAAUCUGCAACCAUCAGUUGCUUGAGGGUGGAGGGUAACCUACCAUGUGGAAAGCAGAUGAGAGAUGGACAACACCUAAUCUCCAAGGAUUCAAGGGGACAUGAGCUGUAGUUAUGGGGCAGCGACCUCAGGCUCCUGCAUUUCUGCAGCACAAGACGUCUGAGCAUGGGCGGCAAACCUGUCUCUGGGAAUGACUCCACUGCUAGGCAUCCCAUCAUUUCCAGCUCUUCAAGACAAGUGAGAUUCUGCAAUCCAUUUUGCAGGCUCUUCAGGUUGACGCAUAUCUUCAACAUUUUCAGAUUGCAAGGCAGUCUUUGGUCAUCCAAUGAUACAAGCCAGUCACAGCGGCCAAUCACUGCGCUUUCAAGACCACUGCAAACCCACCUAGAUGUCAGCUGAUCACCAUUAUCUGCAACCACCCCACUUCUCAACACCAUAUCCUUGCAUUCUUCUAUAUUUAGUUCACCUAGAGAUGCAAAUCUUGAGAAAGACACUGCCAGAUUUCGACAUUUAGAGAUGUCAAGUUUCACCAAGGAUGGCAGGCAAUCAGGCAACUGUCUAACUAACUUUGAGCAUUUCCUUAUGGUAAGGUCUCUUAGGCGUGGAAAUAAUUCAACUCCUUCAACUGCAUUAGGAAAAAACCAGUCUUCCCAUUUCGGCAUAUUCUCAAACUUUAGAAACUCCAGGGAUGGAAAAGGCUGGGCAAUCCCUCCAUAGAAUUCCACAUCUAUGGUUCUAAUAUCACUCAUCCCUUCAAUAUGCAAGGUCUUGAGUAAGGAUAAUUUGCCGAGAGAUGGUAACGAGGUGCAUCUCCUGCAAUUCUUUAGAAUUAAUUGUGUCAUUGAUGGGAAUGAGGGGUCCCUUAUCCAACCUGAAAAUGUUGAUCCACCAUAAAAUGCCACUGUGAGCCUUUUCAAGUUUCUAGGUGGUCGUAGCCCCUCUAAAACAAUCAUCUCAUUCAUUCUUUUUCGUGAAUUACCAAAAUCACCGCCCCAUUCCAUUGUCAACUCUUCAAUGUAGUGCUUUUCUUCUAAAUUAGCAUGCAUUGCAUCUCCAGUAUCCACCACAUUAUGCAACCCAGAAAUGGAAAGCUUCCCUCGAAGGUCCUGCAAGUUCUUCAAUUCUCUUAUUCUCAAACUAUCACUUUCUCCCACAAUGUAUUUAGAUAAUGUUUGCAAAUUUGUGAGUUUGCUGAUGGAAGGUAUCUCCUGUAGUUGACUAGUACCAGAAAUAUCAAUAUGUCGAAGGUUGAUUAAGCCUCCAAUCACAAGAGGCAACUUAGUGAGUCUCCAACAAUCGGAUAAUAUUAAUGUCUGUAGAUUGUAAAGAUGACCCACGGAGUCAGGUAACAUUUUUAUUGAAGAGUUGGACAAAUUGAGAUAACGUAGAUGUCUCAAAUCACCAAUUGAAUGUGGUAGCUCUCCACUUAUGUAAUAGCCACUUAAAGAUAAUUCACGUAAACAUUUAAAUUGCUGUAUAAAGUUAUUUAUUACCUUAUUUGAUAUGAAGUGAUAUCUAGAAAAGGCAUUCAGUGGCAAUGCAACCAGUGUUCGCAAACACUUCAUCUUAUGAAAGACUUUGAAUCUUUCAGGCAUCUCAUACUCUUGACUAUUGAAAGAUAAAUGACGAGCCUUUUUAAAAGUGGUGGAUUGUUUGUUAUUCACUAAUAUACCCUCCAAAUUAAAGCAUGUUUCUCCUGCUAUAUAUUUAGCUAGAUCAUUGAUUAGGUCAUGCAUCACAAAUUGAGAUGAAUUGUGAUUAGAUUGUUGAAAAAAUGACCUUGACAAUAAAUCAUAGAAGUAUUUAGAACCCAAGUCUUCCAGCCGGGUAUUUUCCUUUGUUUGUUGAAGAAAACCCUCGGCCAUCCAUAAUUGGAUUAACUCAUCCUUGUCGAAUUCAUAGCCUUUCGGAAAUAUUGAACAAUAGGCAAAACACUGCUUCAAAUGAGAAGGGAGAUGAUGGUAGCUUAACUUGAGAGCAGGAAUAAUGCGGCAUUUGUCUUUGGGUAGAUCCCAUAUCUUACUUGUUAAAAUAUUUUCCCACACAUCAUGACUUACUUGGUUGCGCAACAUGCCACCAAGGGCCUUUGCUGUCAAAGGCAAACCCUUGCACUUUCUCACUAUUUCCUCACCAACUUCUUUCAAGUGCGAAUGAACAUCAAAGUUACUUUUCCCUAAUGCUUGUUGAGUGAAUACAGAUAAACAAUCUUCGUAUGAUAACUCCUGAAGACGAUAAGCUGGGAGAGUUCGAGUGAUUGAUACAACACCUUCAUUGCGAGUUGUGACAAUAAGCUUACUACCCGGUGUCCCUGAUCUCAUUGGCAUGCACAAAAACUCCCAUGAAUCAUGGUUCUCAUUCCAUACAUCGUCUAGGAUAAGAAGAAAUUUCUUCCCGGAAAGGUUCUCCCUUAAUGCCAUCUGAAGCAAAUUAAGAUCAUUAACAUCCUGAGUAUUCGGAGAAACUGAUUGUAGAAUUGUUUUCGUGAUCUUCAAGACAUCAUAAUCAUCAGAAACAUAGACCCAAACUCUCAAAUCAAAAUGAGCUUUUACUUCAUCAUCGUUGAAUGCAAGUUGGGCGAGAGUAGUUUUGCCAAUACCAGCCAUACCGACAACAGGAAUCACGCAGACUUCAUCAGUACAUGAAUCAUCCCUGAGUAACAAGUUGGCUAUGGCUGCUUUAUCCGUUUCCCUACCAUAAACACGGGACUCAUCCACUAAAGAAGUGGUGGGAAGUAUUUCCCUUGUUUUGGUAGACCUCUUCCCAGCAAUAUUCUCUGUUAAAUGGAGAUCAUUUUUUUGUGCAGAAAUUUCUUGUAACCCGGCGGUGAUCUUCUUGAAUUUGGACCACAUCUCCGCAUUAAACUUAAUAGAAUUUGGAGUGAAACUAGUACAACAAGAAGGGAUGAGGCUCCGUAACUUACUUGUGCUAGGUUGAGUGCCAGAAGGAAGGGUUUCCGCCAUCAAAUUGCGUCGCAAAGCUUCAGUGGCGAAGCUGUCCAAGAUGUCCUCCACAUCAUAAGCCAAGUCUCCGAGCUCGUCAAGCCACAUCUUCACCAGGGGGUCCGUCAUAUGCUUCUCCUCUGCGUCAUGGAGGACUACAUAGAUCUUCGUCAAAAUUUUCUUCCACUUGUUAAGCUCAGAAUGGACGUGCUCUUCGCUAGCGAAAUUCCAGAGCUCAGGGGAGGUGACCAUGUCAAUCAGUUUCUGGAUGAGACCAGACAAAACAGCUUCCCCAACAAAACCAGCCAUGAUUCUUUGUUUGUAAGUAGAAAGGAAUUAAUCAAAGAAAGUCUCUGCAGCUCUGAAUAAUGGUUUGUAGGAGGAACCCAAGGGUUUUAAAGGAAGUCUCCGCAACUCAUAUUGUUGAGUCAACACAAAAUAUCUCUAAGGUUCCAUAAAAGGGAAUGGAAUUAAUGCACAGUAGAAAGUGGUUGUGGCGAGGGCCCACAUGGUGUGGAUGAAGUACUAGAGUGUUGCUCCACAUGGGGCUGGUUCCUAGAAAAUAGAGAAAGUUGUGUUUGCAAGUAACAUGACAAUCAAACUCCAAUCAGCUAGAAUAUGAGAUUUGACUAUCAAAGGGGAAAAUAUUAUCUUUUUUGUGCACUCUUUGCUGACUCCAUUUUAUGUUCUUAGAUUGCCCCUCCGUGCCUCCAUGUUAGUUGCAACUUUAUCUCCAUAUCAGCAACAAGCCCUCUAUGUCACAAGAGAGACUGAAAAUUUAAAAAACAGAAAAAUCUGAAUUUGAAACCUAUGAAAAAUCACUUGAUUUGACAACCGGCUGUUAUUUCCCUAAUUUGAAACCUUUCUUCUCUCUGAUUUGGGAACAUUUCUCUCUCUCUCUUUCUCUCCCUCUUGGUUUCAUCACCCACACAAUCUCGAGACCUAUCUAAAAUUUCCCAAAUAUUGUCUCAUUUAAGAGAAAAAAAAAGCAAUAAUCCAAAACUCCAACUUGCAUGUUUUUUUAUUGUCCACAUAAAAGUGCAACGAAAUGGAGCAUUCCAUCCUAAGAAUGUGUGGUUAAAAGACGACUUCAAGAGGCGCAUAUGUGAUUGUGAGUUUACUACAGCAGCGCAUACUCGAACGGAAAGUUGGAAUCCAAAAUAUUGGCUUCGUCAACAAGAUAUCUCUUACUAUCAUUGAGUCACAUUUUGCCCUAACCCUAAAUUGAAAUUGGAAGGUAAAUAAUUUUUAUUUAUUGUUCUUUAGUUCCUUUGUUUGAAAUGGAGCACAUCAACGAUUUUGGAGUCGUUGGUGGACUUGAACUUUUGUGUUGGGUUGUGGAAAUCAUAUUAUUCCCAAAAUAACCAUAUGACAUACAAGUUGCAUUGAAUCCAGAUGGAACUCACAACAUAUCCGGUUGCAAAUCGCAUUAUUAUUUUAGGGAUUGUACUUUAGGUACUACUUUAACGGAGCUUAGGUAGUAUCUUAGUUAAACUUGGGUAGUACUCGUUCGAAGCCUUGGAACUUCAAUUUUGGACAUUACUUACUUCAUUUGUGACUCUUAGAGCAUGCCAUUAUGUGAUUAUUUAGUGUGAUGAAAUGGUUCACCUUUCUUAUUUUGGAGAUUGUACCUUAGGUACUACCUUAAUGGAGAUUAGGUACUACCUUAGUUAAACUUGGGUACUACUUGUCCGAAGCCUCGGAACUUCAAUUGUGGACAUUUCUUACUUUAUUUGUGACCUAUAGAGCAUGCCAUUAUGUGAUUAAUUAGUAUGCUCAAUUGGUUCACCUUUGUUAUUUUGGGGACUGUACCUUAAGUACUACCUUAAUAGCCCUUAGGUACCACCUUAAUCAACCUUAGGUACUACCUUAAUCGACCUUAUGUACUACCUUAGUUAAAGUUGGGUACUACCUAUCUGAAGCCUCGGAACUUCAUUCGUGACCCUUAGAGCAUGCCAUUAUGUGAUUAUUUUGUGUGGUCAAGUGGUUCACCUUUGGUAUUUUGGGGACUGUACCUUAGGUACUACCUUAAUAGCCUUUAAGUACCACCUUAAUCAACCUUAGGUACUACCUUAACCGACCUUAGGUACUAUUUUAGUUAAAGUUGGGUACUACCUAUCCGAAGCUUCAGACCUUCAUUUGUGACCCUUAGAACAUCCCAUUAUGUGAUUAUUUAGGGGUUUUUUUGGUUUCCAUAGGCUGAUAUGGAAAUAUUGGUAAAAUAGAAACCCAUCUUAACAUUUACUUUUUGUUUGAAUGAUUCACUUUUGAAGGGUGAUUCAUCAUAAGGCAAUGCAUGAGAUGAUAAUGACAUGUCAUUUGCUGCUAUGCCCUCGACUGGAGUUGAAGAUGCAUCAUCACAAACUAAUGAAAUAGGUAAUUUGGACUAUAUGCUUAUCUUUUCAAGUAAUUGUGUUAAAUUUUAUUUGCAGUUGAUGUAACCCUUGUAAUCUUUAUUGGUUUGCAUCUUUGACAAGAAUGUUAAGAUCUUUGUUUUCAAUUUUCUUGUACUCAACCAAAUAACAAAAGUUAACAUCUUUAACAAAAAUGCAUUUCCUUGAAACAAAACCGAAAAAAGUGCAUCCAAAGUUCAAACAACCUCAUGACCAUAAUUUUUUAUUGUAGUAUGAGCACUUGUUUUGCAGGAAAUGAAGACUGUAAUCCACCAGCUGAAGAAGAAAGAACCAAUGAGAGAGACAUCGGUUUGGACCAAAACCCGCUUCACUCUCUUCCACACUUGAUCAACUCCUCAACACUAAUAGAUAGUCUUCUAAUGCAAAAACGCAUGAGUUUUUGUAGGUGGAUCAAUGAUAAUGAGCCUAAUGAUAUUUGUACCAAGCAACUCAUACUAGCUACAAUGAUGCAAUUGAAAAAAGUGAUACGUGAGAUGGAUACACACAACAAGAGCAGGUGGGAUGAGAAGCCUGAAUGAAGACCUUUUUGGUUGUUCUGUAUCCUUUUUAUGUUUUCUUUCUUCAGGAGAAGAUGACUCUAUUAUGUUUUUUGUAGUUUUUUUAGAUGAAUGUUAGUAUGGUUCCUAUGGAGAAAGGUUAAAAAAAAUUGAGGAAAGAAAAUAAAUGUUUUUUUAUUUUAUUUUAUUCCCAUUGUCCUAAAAAAAUAUAUUGGAAAAUUUAAUUUUCUCUUAUUUGGACAUUAUCAUGGAUGAUCAAACAAAGAUAACAACUUUCUGAGAACAGGAAUAAUACAGGGUGUACAAGAAGAUUUUUUGGAGAAUGUCUGGAAUGUAGGAGGAGAUGCCUCAGACAAUGCUUGGAAUGUUGAAAUGUGAAAUGGAAAUGACAACCAAACCCACUGUACUUUUCUCACAAACCAAAUGCACCCAAGACAAAUGACACAUUAGAAUCAUAAGGAACAAAACAUAAGCCACUUUCCUUAUUUUAAGAAAGAAAACUUAGGAUUUGUAUGCAAAUUGUUUAAAUAAUAGUUCUUAUUAUUUAAAAUAGAAAAUAGUAUUUUUACUUAGAAAAUAUAUUUAAUAAUUUUUUUAGAAGAUAAAGAAUGAUAGGAGGAUUUGUGUAUUGUAUAAAUGUAUGGUUUCUUUUAGGGAAAAUAAGUCAAUGAAAUUGUUUUUUCAUUAUUUAAGUUCCCAAUAAAGGGUUUUUUUUUUUUUUUUUUUUUUUAAGGUUUUGAAAAAUAAUAAAGAAAAAAGAAUUCCUAUAAUUUUAUCGUCCAUGAUUAAAUUAUAGAUGAGGAAAAUUUCUUUGCCCUUCUUCUUUGUUUUAAUAUUUUUUAAUUACAUUAUUUUUGCAUUAUCCAAAUAUAAUUUAUAUAAAAAAACAAACAUAAUUUAAAUAAUUAGAAAUUUAUUUUUACUUAUAUUGAAAAAAUUUGUACAUAUUAGCUUUAAUUUAAAUUUGAAAUAUGCUAAAAUUUAAUUUCCCUAGAUACAGUUUUUAACUUUACAUCUCAACUAAAAUUUAUUCCUAAGCUUAUGAUGUGUUAAAAAAUCUCAAAUUGUCUUAUGUUGUGAGUUUUAACAAACAAAUUGUCUUAUGUGCCAAAUGUUUGAGUCAUCAUUUUUAGUUUAACAAAGUUGAUAAUAAUAAUCACAUAGUACCUAUGAACACUACGAAAAUAUAUUACUAGACAUUGAUAUUCAUAACACAUUUCCACAACCUAUGUUAAACUAGAUAUUACAAUAAGCAAAACACAUGCUAUAAAGAAGCCAACAAAGAAACUGAUUACAUAUGUAUAUGAAAUAUUUUGCAAGGAAUGCUUAUCAUCAAAUGCAUGUUCAGACUUUGGUUUGCCAGCUGAUGAACAUUCAUUACUUCUAUUCCAUCUUGGUGCAUAAAACAGCUAAACUCGGACAACUUUCUCUCUAGAAGUAUAUGCUUUGUAAACAUUCCCUUUAUAAAGGAGCACAUUCUUUUGACAUUAAACCCAAGAAUCGUACACUCCAUGUCUGCCACCUGCAAACACUACAUACUAUGUUUGCAUGUUCAUCAUCUGAUGACACAAUUGUUGUUGGUUACUUUUUGAUAAUCAAUCAAGUAAUGACUAUUGCAAAAGAUAGUACAAAAGGUAUAUAAUUCACACAUGUAUACCAUAUAUAUUUUAGGAUAAUAAUAGUGAUGAUUAACCACAAAAUUCAAAAUAUAACAAGUAAUGUGUGGGAUUCAAGUUCUAAGGCUUCAUAUAGGUAGUACCCAACUUUAACUAAGGUAGUACUUAAGAUUAGUUAAGGUAGUACCUAAGAUUGAUUAAAGUGGUACUUAUGGGCUAUUAAGGUAAUACCUAAGGUACAAUCCCCAAAAUACCAAAAGUGAACCAAUUGAACACGCUAAAUAAUAACAUAAUGGCAUGCUCUAAGGGUCACAAAUGAAGGUCUGAAGCUUCGGAUAGGUAGUAUUGAUUACUAAUAAAAAACCACACAUUUUAGAUAAUAAUUCUCAUGAGUGUCAUAUCUUUUGGGUAGUAAUUAUGCUUAAAACACUCAAUUAAUAUGUUUUUGCCCUAGCAAGAGUUACUAACAAUUUUUAUGAAGUUUUGGAGUCAUUUCAAGGUAUGAUUUUGAUAAAUUGGUGACAAAAGAGAUGAAUCAAAUUGAAGAGAACAAAUAAAGUUGAUGAUGAUCCAAAUGCACAAUGAAAGAAGUAAUGAAAUUGGUUUGGACCAGGAUUUGGAAUUGAUUUGGAGGUGGUUAAAGUGGAAUCAAGAGAAAGAAAUGGAAGAAAUGACAAAAAAGAGUUGAAAAACUAUGUUUUUCAAUUUCGCAUGAACAUGUGAAAAAUUCGCACAAUUGUGCGAAAUGGAUCAAAGGGGAAUUUGGCUACAACUAAAAGGGAAAAAGUGAAAACUAAUUUCGCAUGACCAUGCGAAAAUUUCACACAGUCAUGCGAAAUGCUCCAGGAAGGUGAAAAUGGUGCUGAUCAAUUUUCCACUUCGCACAAUCGUGCGAAAUUGCAUUUUUUCCAGAUUUCUUGGUGAAGAAGCCUCCGGAAGACCUCUUAGAUGAUGCCAAGUAUCCACUUGACCUUGACCUAUAAAUAGAAACUUGAUUUACUCAUUUGAAGACUUUUUUACAUUUUUCUAAUUGUAGAACUUUCUAGAUUUUCUCUCUAUAAAAUUCUCUAUUUUCCUUCAUUUUCUCUCAUUUUCUCACUAGCCAAACAUGUCUUGUGAGACCAAAUCUCUAAGCAUGAGUGGCUAAAUCUCGUUUUUCUCGGAGGAGGAGAGAUUUAGAGGCAAAAUCUAUGGUGAUCUAUGGUGAAUCGCAAAGGUAAUUUGAUCCAAUUGAUUGAUUAAUUGAAAAUUUUGGGAUUUUUCUCUUCAAAUUGUCUUAGAUGAUUACUACAAUGCAAGCUAGGUAGAUUAAUCAAAUUCUUAAUGCUAGAUUUGAUGAGAUUGAAUAGUUGCAUUGUGUGAAUCAUUGGAAGAUAAUUUAAGAUGAAUUGAAUAUAUGAUUUGAAUUAAUAUCUUGGAUUCGAUGACCUAAUUUGAAGAUAAAUUAUAUCUAGAUCUAAAACUAAAUAAAAAAUCGGUUUCAAUGAAAAUUUAGGUUUUCAAUCUAACUUGAUGAAAAUUAGAUCUUAACAUCUAUUCACCAUAGAGAUUGUUUUCUAAAAAAUCAUAACUCCAAGAAUUUCAUUUUCUAUUAAUUUUCUUCUAUUUUACAUUUCAUUUUCCUCUCAAUUGGGAAUCAUUGUCAUUUUGAAUUGUAAUCAUGAAUUGUCAAAUCAUUUUCACUUAAUCUCAAUCAUUUCUUCUUCUCUCAUUCAAGCCUUGAUUACCAAGAAUAAUCCAUCCUUGUGGACGAUACCUAAAAACCACUAUACUACAAUAGUUUGUACUAAAACCACUUUUUGAUUGGGUACAAAUUGCUAUAGAAUAGUGAAUUAUGUUAUAAAUUUUGUUUUGAUCCAAUAAACGAUAGAAAUCCGAGCGAUCAAGUACCCAAUUUUAACUAAGGUAGUACCUAAGGUCGGUUAAGGUAGUACCUAAGGUUGAUUAAGGUGGCAUCUAAGGGCUAUUAAGGUAAUACCUAAGGUACAGUCCCCAAAAUACCAAAUAUGAACCAAUUGAACAUAGUAAAUAAUCACAUAAUGGGAUGCUCUAAGGAUCAGAAAUAAAGGUCUGAGGAUUCAGAUAGGUAGUACCCAACUUUAACUAAUGUAGUACCUAAGGUCGGUUAAGGUAAUACCUAAGGGCUAUUAAGGUGGUACCUAAGGGCUAUUAAGGUAGUACCUAAGGUACAGUCCUCAAAAUACCAAAGGUGAACCACUUGACUACACAAAAUAAUCACAUAAUGGUAUGCUCUAAGGGUCACGAAUGAAGUUUUGAGGCUUUAGAUAGGUAGUACCUAACUUUAUCUAAGUUAGUACCUAAGGUCGGUUAAGGUAGUACAUAAGGUUGAUUAAGGUGGUACCUAAGGGCUAUUAAGGUAGUGCCUAAGGUAUAGUCCCCAAAAUAAGAAAGGUGAACCAUUUCACCACACUAAAUAAUCACAUAAUGACAUGCUCUAAGGGUCACAAAUGAAGUAAGUAAUGUCCACAAUUGAAGUUCCAAGGCUUCGAAUAGGUAAUACUCAAGUUUAAUUAAGGUAUUACCUAAGCUCCGUUAAGAUGGUACCUAAGGUACAGUCCCCAAAAUAACAAUGCGACUUGCAACUGGAUAUGUUGUAAGUUCCAUCUAGAUUCAAUGCGACUUGUAGGUCUUAUGGUUAUUUGGGAAUAAUAUGAUUUCCACAACCCAAUACAAAAGUUCAAGUCUACCAACGACUCGAAAAUCGUUGCUGUGCUCUAUUUUAAACAAAGGAACUAAAGAACAAUAAAUAAAAAUUAUUUACCUUCAAAUUUCAAUUUGGGGUUAGGGCAAAAUGCGACUCAAUGACAGGAAGAGAUAUCUUGUUGACGAAGCCAAUAUUUUAGAUUCCAACUUUCCGUUCAGGUACGCACUGCUGUAGUAAAUUCACAAUCACAAAUGCACCUCUUGAAGUCGUCUUUUAACUGGACAUUCUUAGGAUGGAAUGCUCCAUUUUGUUGCACUUUUAUGUGGAUAAGAGAGAAACACACAAGUUGGAGUUGUGGAUUAAUGGUUUUUUUUUCUCUCAAAUGAGACAAUUUUUGGGAAAUUUUAGAUGGGUCUCAGGAUUGUAUGGGUGAUGAAGCUAAGAGAGAGAGAGAAAUGUUCCCAAAUUAGAGAGAAAAAAAGUUUCAGAUUAGGGAAAUAACAACCAUUUGUCGGGUCAGGUGAUUUUUCAUAGGUUUCAAAUUCAAAUUUUUCUGUUUUUAAAAUUUUCAGUCUCUCCUAUAACACGGAGGGUGUGCUGCUGAUAUAGGGACAAGGUUACAACUAACAUGGAGGCAUGGAGGGGUAAUUUAGGAACAUAACAUGGAGUUAGUAAAGAGUGCAUGAGAAAGAUAAUAUUUUUCCAUUUGACAGUCAAAUCUCAUAUUCCAGCUUAUUAGAGUUUGAUUGUCAUAUUACUUUCAAAUAGCUGGCUACGAACACAACUUUCCCUAGAAAAUAUGAUAUGAAGUACCACUUUUUCUGUUUAAGUCAUAAGUCAUAACUAACAAGUUAGUCAAAUCCUUGCUUUUUUUUCCCCCCCAAAUGCAGUUCUUAAAUAGUAACCAUAGACGGUUCUUUGGGUAAUGUUGAAAAUCAAUUGAAAAGUUAAGUGAGUGUUUAAUUAAUUAAAUUUACUUUAAGUUUAAUUAUUUUUAAGUUGCUAAUUUAAAAUUUAUGAUUUAUUUUUUACUUUAAGCAUUAAAAUUGUUUGAUAAAAUUAUCUUAAAAUUUAUUUUAAGUUAUCAAAUUGAAAUAUUUGCUCUCAUAGUUGUAAUUAACAUUUAUCAUUAUUAAUUUUAACUAAUAUUUAUUUUCAUUAAUCUUAAUUAAUAAAUUUGUUUAUUAAACUUUCAUACUUAAAUAAAUAUAUCAGACAACUUUAAAAUAUUUACUAUGAAAAAUGAGACAUGGAUGUAAAGUCAUGAUUGUUAAAUAUAUUCUUAAUAGAUUAUGGACAAAUAAGAUAAAAAAGAUUUGGGAUAAAAAAAAAGUUAAUUAUUUUUAUUUAAUACUUUAAAGUCAUUUUUAAAUUUAAGUUAUGAUAUUAAAUUAUUUUACUAAACAUGUUUAAUCUAUUUAAUAACUUAAUUUAAGUUAUUAAAUCAUUUUAAGUCAUUAAAUUAACUUACUAAACACUAUUUAAAAGUGUCAUUAGUCGAGAAAAGGUUGCAUUUGAUGCCUUAAAUAAAGGCCAAUUCAUAGCUGAAUUACUAUAAACUCUAUUACCAUGCUUGAUACAUGUACGAGGACUAUCCUAGCAAGCUUAACAAACCAAAUUAAGUGGUGCUAAAUUUGUUUAAAAGGAUUUGAAUAACUACAUAAGGUAAAUAUUGUAAGUGAAUUUUAAAAUAAAGAUUUUUAUUCUUUUUUAUAAAAUAAAGAUUUGACUAACCAUAUUUAUCCUUUUUAUAAAAUAAAUAUUUUUAUUAUUAAAUGGUUUUAUACUAAAAUUUGUCUUCUUUUAAUUCAUUUUUUUUUAUUAUUAUUAGUUCCUUCAUGUAAAAAAUUAAAAUAAACAACUAUUUCAAUGGAUACAUGAGAAUUAUAUUAAAUCACACUCUAUUUUUAAUUGAAUUAUGUUAAAUUUGUACUUAUUUUAAAAUAAAAUAUUUUUUCAUUUAUUUAAUAUAAAAAAAUUAGAAUUAUAAAUAAAAUCUACUUAAUUCAUUUACAAGAACUAAUUUUUCAAUAAAGGGUUAAUGAAAAAACUAAAAAUCACUAUUAUAUAUUUUUAAAUGAUUUUGACGACAAAAUAAAAUUGAUGAUGAAAUAAGUUAGUAACACAUUUUAUUUAUUUAUUAUUGUGAAGUCUAUGCCAAUCCAAACUAGGUAAACACGUAAGAGGGGGUGAAUUAGUCAAAUUUAAACAAUGUUUACUAAAAUAAAUACAAAUGACAAUAAAUGAAAAUACAAGUAAAUAAAGAGAUAUGAAACAAAAGAAAUGCAAACGAUUUAUAGUGAUUUGACAUUGUUAGGAUAGAGUCUUUAAGAGAAUGACAUGGUACAAUAAUAUACGAAUUUAUUAUUUAAAUUAUGAUCCAAUUUCCUAAAUCUAUUUAUCCUUUUCAUACAUUAUACUUUCUCUGCAUUUAGGUCCAACAUCUCUUACAUUAUAUAUGACUUAAGUGUAUUAGGAGUUGAUCGGAAGAUCCAAGUUAUAUAUUUCUUGUAAGGAGAUGAGUUGUUCACAACUAAUUUAUGAACUUAAACAAUCCAUUUGAGGUUGUCGUGCACAUCUCAUAAUUGAAGGGAUAACUUAUCUUGGUUAUGGAGAUGAGUUUCCCUAGUUAAUGCACUAAUGUGUAUGGUUACAUAUUAGACAAGACUUAUAGUAAGUCAUAAGAUUGGUUAUCAAGUAGCCAUGAUCUCACUAAACUACUAUAUCAUAUGUGCUCUUAACUUUGAGAGGAUACUAAGUGUUAAAGUCUAUAGUGGCUUUGACCUAUGGGUAAGACCCUAAUUAGAUGGUCAUAUAUUCCUUAUGGAUUCAGUCACUAUUGAUUGAGGUAGGUGACAACAAGUAUACUUAAGAUAGACACCAUGAUAUUUCAUAAGUUUGAGACAAAGUGUCCUCUUGGAUGAUCCUAAGGACAUGUGAUCAGGAAAUCUAUGGUCGUAGUAAUUCCUUAAUUGAAAUUUAACAUAUGCUCUUGGAGAGCUAGAAUAUGUCAAUUGGUUACAUAAUAGGAAAAUAUGAGACUCAAUGAUUGUAAAGAUAAUCUUGAGAGGUUGAUAGUAUUCACCUUGUUAAAUUAUAGACAUGAGUUCAUAGAGAGUAUGCAUAGAGUGAAUAGUAGGUCAUGAGCUCAAGUUCUUAUAUCUUGUUGUAAUAUCAUAGGAUACAAGAGUGCAAUUGACUCUUUAUAGUGGAAUGUUAAGUCAACUUCAAAAUUGAAUUAUGAAGGAGCUAUUUUUAUUUUCCUAUGGAUCCUGACAUUCUUCGUUCCCUUCAUAUGUUUUUACAAUUUUUGGUUUCCACCAUUAUGACCCAUACACAUAAACUCAACCCCUGGUCAAUGUCAUAACUUAGCAGUUUCUGAAUUGUUGUACGAAUCAACCAAGUUUUUGAGGAGGUUCAAAAUUUUCUCAUCUGCUAUCUACUGGUUGCAUUAGAAAUAAUGACAUGUUUAUCUUUAGGCCUAGGGACUAAGUAUCACACAUCAUUUCUAGUGAAUUGAUUUAACUCUUCUUGGAGUUCAAUAGUCCAAGAGUCGUCACCUAAGCUUCUUCCAUAUUCUUUGGCUCCAAUUGGAGGAUAUAACAUACAAGACCCAUCUAGUUUAAUCUUAGUUGUCUCCUAGUAACUACACAUUCAUUUAUAAUACCUAUUACAUUUGCUAGUUAAACGAAAUUUAAUAUGUAGUUAAUGAGUCUAAUAUUUUUUUUAAAAAAAAUAACUUAAAAUUCAUAAAACACUUAAAUCAAUGUAAGAAAAUAAUAUACCAAAAAAACUAAUACAAAACAAAUUAUCUCUACUAUUUUUUAUUUGCAUAUAACAAUAGACAUAUUUUUAAUUUUUUCAUUAUACAAAUAAAUUCUAAAUCAAACGAGACAAAGAGUAUGUUUGAUAUUGAUUUUUAAAAAUGUUUUUAGUCUUUUUAACACUUAAAUAAUAAAAAAUUUCAAAUGUUAGAAAUGCUAGAAGUAAUUUCUAAAAUCACUGCUAAACGAGCUCUAAUAAAUUAAGACUUAGAGGGUGUUUGGUAAAAUCUAAUAUUAAUUACUUAAUCAUUUGAGUUGAUUUUGAGUUAAAUCAUAAUUAAAUUAUUUACUUAAAACUUAUUAUUUGAUUUUUAUUUUAAGUACUAAAUCAUCGAUUUGACAUACUUACAAUUAUGAAUUUUAACUAUUAUUUACACUUAUUAGUUUUAAUAACUAUUUUUUAUUAUUAAUCUUAAAAAAUAAAUUUGUUUGUUAAAUAUUUAUAUUUAAAGUAUUGUAAAUAUAUAAGAUAAUCAUAAUAUAUUUACCAUAAAAAUCAAUCAUCGAUGUAGAGUUAUAGUUGUAAAAUAUACACUCACUAUAUGAGGGUUAAUGAGAUAAAAUAGAUUUGACAUUAAGAAUAAAUUAACUAUUUUAACUUAAUAUUUAAAAGUUAUUAUUAACUUUAAGCUGUAAUAUUAAAUUAUUUUACUAAACAUGUUUAAUCGACUUAAUGAUUUAAAUUAAGUUAUUAGAUCAAUAAGUCAAUUUCUCAAACAACCUCUUAGAGUUCAUUUGAGAGUAUUUUUAGAAAAUGCUUCAAAAUUGAUCCAAAAUACUUUGUUUAGAAUUGAGUAAUAAAUAAGUACCUACAAUAAAAAAGCUUGGCUUAUUUAUAUGUAUAUUUUUUUUUAAAAAAACUUUGUUUAGUUUUAAAUUCAUUUUAAAUAAAAUAUUUUAACCAUUCUUAUUUUAAAAGUAUUAUUAUUCAUUAUAUAAAGAAUUCAAGUAUGCAUUUACAAGUAUUAUUCUAAUUUUUAAUAUAUUGGAAUAUUAGAACAUUAAAAUCUAUAACACCUAAAAUUGGGAAUAAAGUAAAUAAUAAAAUUUUAUUUUAACUUUGAAUAUAUCUUUUUAAAUAUGCUUAUGUCAUUUAAUAAAAUUAGAAAUAUUAAUAUAUUUAUAUAUUAUCAUGAUGCUUUAACAUGUCAAUAUUAAAGAUAAAAAGAUGAAAUAUCUUUACUUAUUUAAUAUUAUAAUAUUAAAUAAAAAAUUUAAGUUUAAAUUAUGUAUAUAUAUAACAUUUAUUUUUAAUUUUAAUAAUAUAUAAAUUAUAUUUAUGACAUUACUGUUUCAUCAGUAAUUUAUAUGCGAAAACAGAGGAUUGACCUGUAUUUUGCAAGUUAAAAAGUAAAAUAUAGAGAAGGAAGAAAGAAACAAGAAGAAAAUAAUAGUAGUACACCUUUAUUAAACUUCAAAUCCAAGUCAAAGGAGUAAGCCCACAAGUACAGCAAACAUUAAGAUAACAAGAAAGAGGAAUGAUAUACACAGGCAGCAUACAUUCUUAUUUCCCAAAGGAAAUUUUUGUUGCAUCAUCACUUGUAAAGUCCAGAGUUUGUAGUUGUUGGCUGUGGGCGAAUAUUUACAAGCAUACUGAGAAUUCAAGGGCAGCAUGCAAUGUUCAACAUGGACAAAUUAUUCAACUGUGAGCAAGAUAAAUUAAACAAGAUAUAGGCUUCAACACAACAGAGAUAAUCACAUUUGAGCAGGCCAUUUUUCUGGCUCGUUUGAUUCAGCCAUGCAUGGGUUUUUGAGGAAGUUUGUCUUCAAUCCACCUCUUCAAUAGCUCUAGUGCAGCUCAGGGCUGACCAGCAUCAUGGACCUUUUUAUUGUUACAUAUAAACCAAACCACCAUGUUAGUACUAGCAAUCAUCUGCUUCCUUCCUAAGUGUACUGCUAUGUGAGAAAGAGAUGGUUUGAGAGAGAGACCUUGAGGAAGGUAAGACUGGUCUCUUCAAGUGUAUACAGCAAUGCCUUGGACACCUCUAUACUUUCUGACAUUUUUAUUUUCCAGCUGAUAUCAAACACAAAAAGAAGAGUGAAAUCUUGGAUGAGUGAUGCAGAAUGCUAAACUUGUAUAAGGGUCUAUUUGGCAGCAGAAAUGAGGAUUCUUUUAUUUAUUUAUUUAUUUUUUCUGAGAAAAGAAGAAAUGAAAAUGGAUUAAAAACAUGAUGAAAACAUCAAACAUUUCAAAAUAAAAAAAAUAAAAAAACAUGUUGAUAACUCAAAGUAACAUAUUCAUGCUUGCCAAUCUUCAAUCUUAUUGAUCAUUUUUACAAUAGCAGAAAAGAAAGUCCUAAUAAGCAUUGACCACCUUCAUCGUUCUUUUCUUCUUACCUGAGAGAAGAAAUUCUGAAAAUGAAGCACUAAAUUUAAAAAAUGAGGCAUUAACUUUGAAAAACAGAUAAUCAUGAAUUGUUGAGGUCAAGAACAUACUGACAUGCAAAUAUGUAGCUUGAAUUUUGGAAAUUUUGGAUUUCACCUGCAUCUUCUUUUUAUUCUUUCUUUCCUAAAUGUAGAGAAGAAACUUCCAUUCUUUAUCUGAAAAUGAACUCACUAUUAGGGCAAUGAAAACAGAAGCUGCACAUUGUGAGUGGGCAGGCUUACCUUAUUGAAAAGAGGAGAAGACAUAUUGUUGCUUUCAUUUUAAGCAGCCCAUAUGAUGAGUAUCUAAUGGCAGGAAAUGGAUGUGGGAUGUCUUGAUCUGAAAUAAAGAAGAACAGCCCAGUUAAGCAUGUCAAAAGAGUCUAGACACAGUUUUAGGUUUAGGUUUAUUCUAUUUAUUAAGAACAUAAAAUCAUAAGCAAAUUCAAUAGAACAGUAGAACUAACCAUGCUUGUGUGGAACUGAGGCCAACAAGUUAAGAGAAAAUGCCAAUUAGUAAGAGCUGCUAAAGCCAUAUAUUCAUGAGAGGACAAUCUGGAACUGGAGUUGAGUUGCAAAUAGCCAUACCUGAAUGAUUUUUUUUUUGCAUGUAGAAAACAUGGAAUUCAUCUUAGAACAUUGUUAUCAGUCCCUUAUCUCAAGUCUUGGAAAUGUUUCUGGAAGCCCUUUGGACUGGAGCUCAUGGCACCCAUAGACGGAUAUACUGUCAAGAGAAGGGAGGUUUUUGAAAGCCAGGGAGGCCAUGGAAUCCAGUUUACUAAUCAAAAGUUUGCUCAGAGUUGUAGGAAAAAGACAGCCAUCAUCUGUAGAGAAGCCAGACCUGGACAUAGGCUAGAAAUAUACAAUGAUGAAAGAGAAGCAAGUGGGCCUGUCCUGGUUAGCACACAAUCUCUGAUAGAAAGUGGUGCAGGGUUGCAGGCCAAACUGCAGAGUCCUCUGCUUCUCCUGGUUAGCACAAAUUUCUAAUUACAAAUAUUUAAGAUUGUGAGGCAGCCCUUGUUCCUCCAAGGUUACAAGUCCAUGGCACUGCCAGAUCCCUAUACAUUCAACACCACCGAGGAGGCAUUCCAAUCAAAACCUGCUCUGCUACAAAGACGUCACUUCCCCACACCCUCUUAACACCGUUUUUUAAAAUCGGAAAUUUCUUGAUUUUAAGCAUUGAGAGUGUUGCAGGGAGCCCUUUCCUUCAGCAAACAUGACCAGAGAAUUUCAAUGGCAUCAAAUGUAGAAACUAGCAUUUCAAUAGUAUCAAAGUACAAACUUCGAUUUCAAUAAUGUCAAAAGUAGAAAAUUGUAUCAAGUUCAUAACAAUUGUCUUUUAUGAAUGAGAUGGACUCUGCUUCCAUUUUUGUGAUAUAUAUGGAAAUAAAAUUCAACAUGAGUUUAUUCAUAUGUGAAAAGCUAUCAUUAUGUAGGGAUGUGCACUAUCUUGGACUAAUUUCUAUAUUUGGAAGUGUGGCCAUCAACAGCCCUUCCUUGGCAAAAGGCACCCAAGCUUAGGUGACUCCUAGUACUCCAAGAGGAGUAAGGCUGUGGAGCUGCAUGGAUGGAUUGAAAUGACCCCAACCAUGUAGAUAUUAUUCACUCUAGGUCCUUUGGCCCCUUAACUUACUCUCAAUAGAGGGACACCUCACUGGGGUUAAGGUUGGGGAUCAACUUUGAUAUCAUUUGUAACGUCCUACUUCCAGUCAUAUUGUUCGCUUUGGACCCAAGGAGCCUUUUUCAAUUUAAAACAUGUUACAUUGUUAAGAGAAACUCAUACAUAUAUAGUGCAAACUGCCAAGAAGUUUUUCUCCUAUCCAAUGUGGGAUAUCUUAUAGAUUAUAUUUAGAGGAAGCAUACACAUACUCUGUAACAGUGGUGAAAUUUUGAAGAGAGGAGAGUUUAUGCAUGCCCCACUUGGUCAGGGCUCGAUAUUCCUGCAGUCCAUGAUGCAAGGUGAUACUAGGUUGAAGCAACAGCCCAUUUGAACUAACCGAAUCUAUGACUUGAAUUAAAAUUUGCAAAAACCAAAAAACCACCUCUUUAGGUUCCUGGCCUUGCUAAAAUCAUAUUUUGGAUAAGAAGCAAGAUGCCAUUUCUGAACACUACAACCAACUUCCAAGAACCUUUGGAACCGGAGCAAGCAAAUGAUCUCAACAUAUUGUAUUAUAACCUUAUCAUUAAUACACAUCAAACACUGAAUAAGACUAUUUAACUAUUGCCAUUUUCUUAAUCUAAGAAAUACCAUGCCAGUUUCAAAUAUUCAUAAAUGUAAUGCACAUUUAUAAAGAACCAUAUUUAAGGCAUUAUAUGUGCUUGUGUGCUUAAAAAUGACAAACUCUAUUGAUAAACUUUAAAAAGAAAAGAUGUCUUACCAGAGUCAGCCAUGAAAUAGCAUUUCUGGGCCGAAGUUACCACAGUCAACAAUACUGCAAAAGAUGACAGAAUUCCCAAGGCUCUUAAUCUUGAAAAUAAUGUAUCUUUGUAAUGGAGGAUUAUGGACAAGAGCAACAUGAAAAACAAAAAAAUUAAGAAGAAAUACCAAGCCAUGAUUGCAGCAAGAAAUGAAGAAUAUACCAGCAAGUGAAUAGGUAGCAGUUAGUGAUUAGGAAGUUUUGCAUCUAAUAAUAUUCACCUUUUUCUUUUUCCUUCCUACAUGUUGAGAAGAAAUUUCAAUCAUUAUCUAAAAGUGGAAUUGAUAUUGGAUCAAUGAAAUUGGAAGCCAGGCAUCCUAAAGAAGCAGACAUAAUACCUAUUUGUUUGCUUUCAUUUCUUGACUAGGGAAAGAAGAAUUAUUAGGAAGAACGAUCCAUCAUAUUGCAUGUAAUAAGAAUUGGAAACACAUAAGAAUAGACCAGUUUGGGGGCCAUGAUGCUAUUAAAGGUGGAAUAGAAUGUCAUUGAGGUUUCCUUCAUAUGAAACAUAUGAGUGAUAUACCAAUUAGGCAGGGCCAGAGGCUGCUGUAAGCAUGUGUUAUUUAUAGAAAGACAAAAUUACAUUAGAAUUAAUAGAAAAGUAGAAGUAACCAUGCUCACCCAGAAUUGAGGUAAAGAACAAAAAAGGGAAUCACGAAUUUAAUAGAAAACCCCCAAUCAAUAACUGCAGCCAAGCCAAAAUCACCUAUCCAUCAAGAGAAUGGAUCAUGUCUCAUCUCUCUCUCUCUCUUCUUGUUCACCCUGUGCACUACUUGCCAUAUCCUUAUUAAGCCAGAUCCCUGUGAAUUUGCAAUGAAAAUUGGCAGUCCAAUUAGCAUAUGGACAAAACAGGGAGAACUUCAUACAUUUAUAGACAUGAGCUCUUUUCAGAUAGUUAGUACAUAGUUGUCGCUUUAUAAUUACACUUCAAGCGGUUGAAGGAAUAAUGUUCAGAAAGAAAUUGGAGUAAGAAACAAUGUAAAUAUUUAUAAAAUUAGAAAUGUUAUACCAUGAAGCUAUUUGGAAAAGCAAACAACAAUCCUCAUUCUUUCAUUCAACACCAGCUUUAGCCCCUUGCUGCCAUGGUUAGCUUAAGAUUCACUGACUACCAAUGUAUGUUUACUUUUUUCAUCUUGUCCUAGAGAAGUUUAAGAAUGAAUAUGAUUCUUUUCCUUGGUUAAAAGAAAUGUUUCAAGUUUCAAAAUACAUUUUUGCUUCCACAACUAAAAACUCCUAACAUUUGAAUGGAAAUUCACAUCUGGGUAUCCAUGGCUAAGUCCAUUAAAUAUACUUCUAAGACAAUAAUAUUAAAAAUAUGAAAAUAAAAAACUUAAAAAAAAAGGGGGUGGGGGUGGGAAAGAAAAACAAAAAGAAGUGAAAACAAGGUUGUACCUGAUUGAACAAUGAAAGGAUAGCGUUGAAUGGCUUUCUGUUUCCAUUCUGUUUCCACCACAUGUAGAAUACUUUACUCUGCCAUCAAUUUUGAAUUUGGGGAUGUCGGCAAUGGAGGGAAAUUUUGUUUCUUGAAGAAGAGGACAGCCAAUGAUUUCAAGACUUGCAAGUGCUAUUGGCCUUAGCCUUAAGGAGUGGAGCUUAGGGCAGCACCCAAUAUAUAGAUGUUGAAGGGAGAUGAUGUUUUUGAGAUCCAGGGAGGUCAGGGAUUCCAUAUAGUUGAUAUGGAGGUUAGUGAGAGGUGUAGGAAAAAGGCACUUAUCGUCCCAAAGGGAAGCCUUGCCUGGGAACAUUUUCCAAAUCUUCAAUGUCGAAAGAGCGGUGAGGGUGUGGAGGCCCCACUCAGAUACGGGAGUCUUCAGAUUCUUGCAAUUUAUAAUUGAAAGAAAUUUUAGAUUGGGGGCCAAACCCCCUUCUGGGAAGGACUCCAGUCCCGGAGAAUCCUCCAUGCUGAGAACCCGAAGAGAUGUGAGGUUUUUCAUUUGAUGGGGCAAGCACUUGAGAUUCUCACAUCUCCAAAUACGGAGCUCUCUGAGGUUGGGGGCGGAAAACCCUCUUUCUGGAAACCCCUCCAGACCUCCACAGUCUUCUAUUUUGAGCUGCUUGACGCUGUGAAGGCAUUCUGGUAGGAUUUUCAGAUUGGGAUAACCCCUCAACUCUAAAUACUCAAGAGCUGUAUUAUUGGGCCACAUUUUCUCUGAUACUGGCUCCAAGUUGGAGCAAUGCCGAAUCUCAAGCCGCUCAAGGGUGGGGGGUAACUCCCCUCUUGGGAAGAACUUGAGAGACUUGCAAUCAUGUAUCCUCAGUAUUUGAAGACAACAAUCGUUGUUGCUGUGUAUGGAAUUGCGGUGCAUCAUUCCAUCUGGUAGAUACUUUAGCCGUAUACAAUCUGCAACCAUCAGUUGCUUGAGGGUGGAGGGUAACCCACCAUGUGGAAAGCAGAUGAGAGAUGGACAACACCUAAUCUCCAAGGAUUCAAGGGGACAUGAGCUGUAGUUAUGGGGCAGCGACCUCAGGCUCCUGCAUUUCUGCAGCACAAGACGUCUCAGCAUGGGCGGCAAACCCGUCUCUGGGAAUGACUCCACUGCUAGGCAUCCCAUCAUUUCCAGCUCUUCAAGACAAGUGAGAUUCUGUAAUCCAUUUUGCAGGCUCUUCAGGUUGACGCAGUCGGCUAUCUUCAACAUUUUCAGAUGGCUAGGCAGUCUUUGGUCAUCCAAUGAUACAAGCCAGUCACAGCGGCCAAUCACUGCGCUUUCAAGACCACUGCAAACCCACCUAGAUGUCAGCUGAUCACGACUAUCUGCAACCACCCCACUUCUCAACACCAUAUCCUUGCAUUCUUCUAUAUUUAGUUCACCCAGAGAUGCAAAUCUUGAGAAUGGAACUGCCAGAUUUCGACAUUUAGAGAUGUCAAGUUUCACCAAGGAUGGCAGGCAAUCAGGCAACUGUUUAACUAACUUUGAGCAGUUCCUUAUGGUAAGCUCUCUAAGGCGUGGAAAUAAUUCUACUCCUUCAACCGCAUCAGGAAAAAACCAGUCUUCCCAUUUCGGCAUAUUCUCAAACUUUAGAAACUCCAGGGAUGGAAAAGGCUGGACAACCCCUCCAUAGAACUCCACAUCUAUGGUUCUAAUUUCACUCAUCCCCUUGAUAUGCAAGGUCUUGAGGAAGGAUAAUUUGCCAAGAGAUGGUAAUGAGGUGCAUCUUUGGCAAUUCUUUAGAAUUAAUUGUGUCAUUGAUGGGAAUGAGGGGUCCCUUAUCCAACCUAAAAAUGUUGAUCCACCAUAAUAUGCCACUGUGAGCUUUUUCAAGUUUGUGGGUGGUCGUAGCCCUGCCAAAACAUUCAUCUCAUUCAUUUCAUUUCGUGGUUUAUCAUAAUCGCUGUCCCAUUCCAUCGUCAACUCUUCAAUGUUGUGCUUUUCUUCUAACUUAGCAUGCAUCGCAUCUUGACUAUUCACCACAUUAUGCAACCCUGAAAUGGAAAGCUUUCCUCGAAGAUCCUGCAAGUUCUCCAAUUCUCUUAUUCUGGAAUUAUCAUUUUUGCCCACAAUAUAUUUAGAUAAUGUUUGCAAAUUUGUUAGGUUGCUGAUCUUGAAAGGCAUCUCUUGUAGUUGACUUGUACCAGAAAUAUCAAUAUGUCGAAGGUUGAUUAGGCCUCCAAUCACAACAGGCAACUUAGUGAGUCUCCAACAAUCAGAUAAUAUCAAUGUCUGUAGGUUAUAAAGAUGUCCUACUGAAUUAGGUAACAUUUUUAUUGAAGAGUUAGACAAAUUGAGAUAGCGCAAAUGUCUCAAAUCACCAAUCGAAUGUGGUAGCUCUCCACUUAUGUAAUAGCCACUUAAAGAUAAUACUCGUAAACAUUCAAAUUGCUUUACAAGAUUAUUUAUUACCUUACUUGGUAUGAAGUGAUAUCUAGAAAAUGCAUUGAGUGGCAAUGAGAUUAGUGUUCUCAAACACUUCAUCUUAUGAAAGGCUUUGAAUCUUUCAAGCAUCUCAUACUCUUGACGAUUGAAAGAUGAGUGACGAGCCUUCUUAAAAGUGGUGGAUUGGUUAUUAUUCACUAAUAUACCCUCCAAAUUAAAGCAGAAUUCUCCCGCUACAUAUUGAGCUAGAUCAUUGAUUAGGUCAUGCAUCACAAAUCGUGAUGAAUCGUGAUUAGAUUGUUGAAAAAAUGACCUUGACAAUAAAUCAUAGAAGUAUUUAGAACCCAAAUCUUCUGGUCGGGUAUUUUCCUUUGUUUGUUGAAAAAAACCCUCAGCCAUCCAUAAUUGGAUUAAUUCAUCUUUGUCGAAUUCAUAGCCUUUUGGAAAUAUCGAACAAUAGGCAAAACACUUCUUCAAAUGAGAAGGGAGAUGAUGAUAGCUCAACUUGAGUGCAGGAAGAACUUGACUUUUGUCCUCAGGUAGAUCCCAUAUCUUACUUGUUAAAAUAUUUUCCCAUGCAUCAUGACUUACUUGGUUGCGCAACAUGCCACCAAGGGCCUUUGCUGCCAAAGGCAAGCCCUUGCACCUUCUCACUAUUUCCUCGCCAACUUCUUUCAAGUGUGAAUGAGCAUCGAAAUUACUUUUCCCUAAUGCUUGUUGAGUGAAUACAGAUAAACAAUCUUUGUAUGCUAACUCAUGAAGACGAUAAGCUCGGUAAGUUCGAGUGAUUGAUGCAACACCUUCAUUACGGGUUGUGACAAUAAGCUUACUACCCGGUUCCCCUGAUCUCAUUGGCAUGCACAAAAAAUCCCAUGAAUCAAAAUUCUCAUUCCAUACAUCGUCUAGGAUAAGAAGAAAUUUCUUCCCAGAAAGGCCCUCCCUUAAUGUCAUCUGAAGCAAAUUAAGAUCAUUAACAUCCUGAGUAUUCGGAGAAACUGAUUGUAGAAUUGUUUUCGUGAUCUUCAAGACAUCAAAAUCAUCAGAAACAUAGACCCAAACUCUCAAAUCAAAAUGAGCUUUUAUUUCAUCAUCGUUGAAUGCAAGUUGGGCGAGAGUAGUUUUGCCAAUACCAGCCAUACCGACAACAGGAAUCACGCAGACUUCAUCAGUACAUGGAUCAUCCCUGAGUAACAAGUUGGCUAUGGCUGCUUUAUCUGUUUCCCUACCAUAAACACGGGACUCAUCCACUAAAGAAGUAGUGGGUAGUAUUUCCCUUGUUUUGGUAGAACUCUCCCCAGCAAUGUUCUCACGUAAAUGGAGAUCAUUUUUUUGUGCAGAAAUUUCUUGUAACCUGGCGGUGAUCUUCUUGAUUUUGGACCACAUCUCCGCAUUAAACUUAAUAGCAUUUGGAGUGAAACUAGUACAACAAGAAGGGAUGAGGCUCCGUAACUUACUUGUGCUAGGUUGAGUGCCAGAAGGAUGAGUUUCGGCCAUCAAAUUGCGUCGCAAAGCUUGAGUGACGAAGCCGUCCAAGAUGUCCUCCACAUCAUAAGCCAAGUCUCCGAGCUCGUCAAGCCACAUCUUCACCAGGGGGUCCGUCAUCUGCUUCUCCUCUGCGUCAUGGAGGACUGCAUAGAUCUUCAUCAAAAUUUUCUUCCACUUGUUAAGCUCAGAAUGGACAUGCCCUUCGCUAGCAAAAUUCCAGAGUUCAGGGGGGUUGACCAUGUCAAUCAGUUUCUGGAUGAAACCAGACAAAAUAGCUUCCCCAACAAAAUCAGCCAUGAUUCUUUGUUUGCAAGUAAAAAGGAAUUAUUAAAGAAACUCUCUGCAGCUCUGAAUAAUGGUUUGUAGGAAGCCAAGGGCUUUAAAUGAAGUCUCUGCAACUCAUAUCGUUGAGUCAACAAAAAAAUUCUGUAAGGUUCCAUGAAUGUGAAUCCGAAUUGGGAAAGUUAGGUUUUGGGUCGGUGAUGUGGAAAAUAUAUGAUUUUGAUAACCCAAAGCAUAACUUUCCCAAUCGAAUUAACGCGCAGUAUAAAGUUGCGGCGGUGAGGAUCCACAUGGUGUGGACAAAGUACUAGAACACAUGGGGUUGUGUCCUGGAAAAUAUGAAACUUUACUUACAUUGGUCGUGAAUUUGGGCCCAUGUAUGUAACAAAUUGGAAGACAUAAAAAUAAACUAUAAUAAAAUAGAAAAUGAAAUCUAACUUUGAAUAAAUCAACCUAUUAAUAAAGUAAUAAGAUAAUCUAUAAGGCACUAUAUACAAAGUGUUUUAUGUAUAAAAAAUGUAUUCCUAAUUCAAAUAUAAAAAAUACCCUUCAUGAAUAUAUCGAAGUAUUUUGUACUUCUUUCCUACAAAAAAUAUCUUCCAACAAUAUAUUAAAUAAUUUAUUUAUAUUUUUUAUUAGGGGAUAUUCUUUAUAAGGGGUUUUGUAUUAUUUUGUAUCUUUAAUAUUUAAUAAAUUAAUUUUUCAUAUAUAUUUUUUUAUAUUUUGCUCUUUAUAUUAUCUUUUUAUUUUCAUGGUAGGAUAGAUUUUUUUAUAAGGACAUUCAUAUUAAUAACUAAAUAAUUAGUUUUUUAUAUGAAAUAUUUUAAUGUAAUGAAAAAAAUAUUUAUUUUUUCUCAUAUAUAUUUGGAACAUUGGGAAUAUAAUUGGUAAUUACAUUUUUUUGUUAGUUUUAUUUAUUUAUUUAUUUUUUGUCUUCUUUUUGUUUUAAUUUUCAUAAAUAUAUAUUUACUUUGUGAUUUAUGUGAUUUUAAGGCUGUAUUUUUAUGAGUACUAGUAUAAAAACAUGUACAUAGCCCGUGAUAAUAAAAUAUAAUUUUUUUAACAUUUUAUAAAAUAUAACAAAAACAUUUAAAUAAAAAACUUAUAAAGAAAUUAAUAAUAAAUUUAUAUUUACAUAUCCUUGCAUGAUUUCCAUAGAUAUUGAAGGGUUAAAAAAUAUAUAUUAUAUUUUAAAUUUAAGAUGCUAAUUUUUUAGAUAAUAUUAAUAUUUUUUUUUAUAAGUAAAGCAAGAUAUAUUAAUGAAGAGGCGAAAAGUUACAAGUAUGCCGGAGGUAUACAAAGCAACUACCCCAUCUCAAAGCAAAAAAUAAGAACAAUAAGGCUCACCACUCCUUAGUUGGACGCUAACCAUUCCAAGAACCCUAUAAGGGACAUACGCUCCUUACCAAUAUACAAUCUAGCCCAAUACCACAAACUACAAAUAAAAGAAUUCUUUAGCUUUUGAAUAUCUAACACUUCCCCCUAAAAGUUAGCCUAUUUUUUUCCUUCCAAACCGUCCAAAAAAUAUACAACGGUAUGGAUUUUCAUAUCUUUUUCAUUUUCUUUCCUACAAAAGGGCCCCUCAAGCUAGUUAAGACCUCCUUUACAGUUUCUUGGGAAUAUAAUUGGUAAUUACAUUUUUUUGUUAGUUUUAUUUAUUUAUUUAUUUUUUGUCUUCUUUUUGUUUUAAUUCUCAUAAAUAUAUAUUUACUUUGUGAUUUAUGUGAUUUUAAGGUUGUAUUUUUAUGAGUACUAGUCUAAAAACAUGUACAUAGCCCGUGGUAAUAAAAUAUAAUUUUUUAACAUUUUAUAAAAUAUAACAAAAACAUUUAAAUAAAAAACUUAUAAAGAAAUUAAUAAUAAAUUUAUAUUUAUAUAUAUUUGCAUGAUUUCCAUAGAUAUUGAAGGGUCAAAAAAUAUAUAUUAUAUUUUAAAUUUAAGACGCUAAUUUUUUAGAUAAUAUUAAUUUUUUUUUUAUAAGUAAAGCAAGAUAUAUUAAUGAAGAGGCGGAAAGUUACAAGUAUAUAAGGGGUAUACAAAGCAACUACCCCAUCUCAAAGCAAAAAAUAAGAACAACAAGGCUCACCACCCCUUAGUUGGACGCUAACCAUUCCAAGAACCUUAUAAGGGACAUACGCUCCUCACCAAUAUACAAUCUAGCCCAGCUCCACAAACUACAAACAAAAGAAUUUUUUAACUUUUGAAUAUCGAACACUCCCCCCUAAAAGUUAGCCUAUUUCUUUCCUUCCAAACCGUCCAAAAAAUACACAACGGUAUGGAUUUCCAUAUCUUUUUUAUUUUCUUUCCCACAAAAGGGCCCCUCCAGCUAGUUAAGACCUCCUUUACAGUUUCUAGAAAGACCCACUGCAUACCUGAUAACCCAAGAAUAAUAUCCCACAGAACUUUGACUACUAUACAGUGAAUAAAAAUAUGAUUUACAAUUUCUUCUUCAUAACCACAUAGAAAACAACAAUUAGGAAGCUGCCGUCCUCUUUUUUGAAGUCUAUCAAGAGUGAGCACCCUCCCCCAUGUAGCCUCCCAAGCAUAGAAUGCAACCUUGGUUGGGACUGAAUCCACCCAAAUGCAUCUUGAUGGAAAAACAAUAUCAUUGGGUCUGGCCACCAAUCUAUAAGCUUCUUUGACCCUAAAUUUGCCAUUCCUUCCUCCCUUCCAGUAGAUUGAAUCUUCCUCCAUAGAGGGCUUGUAAUCCCUCAGAGCAUGUAGCAAGUUCCCUAUCAUAUCCAUCUCAAUCGUUAAAGCCCCUCAAAAGUCUUAGAUUCCACCCCUCUUGAGAUAGCCUUGUACCAUUACACCAAACAUCAGUCCAAUAAUUGAUUUUGCUUCCAUUCCCAACCAUGAACCCCAUGUUAUCCCAGCACCAAUCAAUUUCCUUCUAAAUUUCCUUCCACACCCCUACUCCGAACGCUCCAUAAGCCCUCUUUGCUCUCCAACCAUGACCUUCUUGCCCAUAUUUCACCGUUAUCACUUGCUUCCAAAGAUUAUCUUUAUCAUAAGCAAAUCUUCAGAUCCAUUUACCAAGCAAAGCUUUGUUCAAGAGCACUAGCUUCCUUAAGCCUAGCCUUCCCUUGCUCUUAUCCUCACAAAUCGCCUCCCACUUGAUUAGAUGAGCUUUCCUUUCCACACUUCCCCCUCCCCAAAGGAAAUCUCUUUGAGCUUUAUCUAAUCUCCUAGCCAUUGACUUAGGCAUCCGGAACAAAGACAUAUGAUAGAUUGGCAUGCUAACCAAAGUGCUUCUUAUGAGAGUGAUUCUCCCCCAUUUGGAGAUAUAUUGUUGUUUCCAUCGUGCUAGUCUCCUCCUCACUUUCUCUUCCACCCCAUCCCAAACUGAAGGGGCUUUUUUAGGAGCCCCUAAUGGCAAGCCCAAGUAUUGAGAAGGCAGCGAGCCCACCCUACAUCCUAAUUCCACUACCAUUUCCUCAAUCUCCUCCACCACACCAAUUGGGAUAAUUUUACUUUUGUCCAAAUUAAUCCUUAGGCCUGAAGCUGCUUCAAACCAUAAAAGAAUCCAACUCAAAUGUGUUAGGUGUUCUUUGUUAGUCUCACAGAACACGAUUGUAUCAUCAGCAAAGAAAAGAUGGGAGAUUUUUAGAUUGUGUCUCCUAUCACCUUGAAUACUGCAACCUGAGAGGUAGCCCCCGCAACCGCCCUUCUAAUUAGGGCAUCUAGAACAUCCAUUCCCAGAAUGAAGAAGUAAGGAGAUAAUGGAUCCCCUUGACGAAGCCCUUUAGAACUCGGGAAGAAUCCAGUUGGAACCCCAUUAACUAGAACUAAAAACUUGGCUGAAGAUAUACAACUUCACAUCCAACCCAACCACUUUGAGCCAAAUCCCAUUUUGUGUAGUGUCUUCAACAAGAACUUCCAGUUGAUGCUAUCAUACCCUUUCUCAAUAUCCAACUUACAAAUGAACCCUUUCUCUUUUCUUUUCUGCCACGAGUCUAUCACCUCAUUCGCAAUUAAAGAAGCAUUAAGGAUUUGUCUUCCUAUCACAAAUGCAUUCUGAGUUGGGGCUACCACUUUGUUUAACACUCUCUUGAGUCUAUUAGCUAACACUUUAGCCAUCAAUUUGUAUAGCCCCCCAGGAGGCUAAUGGGUCUAAAAUCUCCUGAAUUAGCCGUUCCCCCUUUCUUAGGAAUCAGAACCAGAAAAGUAUUAUUGAGACUUUUGAGAAAGGAGCUUUGCUCAUGAAACUCCUUAAACAUCUCCAAGAUCUUCACUUUCACAAAAUCCCAACAACUUUGCCAAAACGCCAUAGUAAAGCCAUCCGGCCCAAAGGCUUUAUCCCCAUUCAUCUCCAUCAAAGCUGAAUGAAUCUCAUUUUCAAAGAACGGAAUCUCAAGAUUCUCUGCUUCUUGCUGGCUAAUUUGAUCUAAUUGGAUCCUCCCAAUAUCCGCCUUCCACCCCAAGUCUUCUGAGAGCAUCUGUUGAUAAGCAUUUGCAAUCCCUUCCCUUACUUCCUGUUCCUCUAACAGCCAAACCCCAUCAGUUUUAAUUUUGUCCAAGGAGUUAUUGUUAUGGUGGGCUUUCGCCAUUCGAUGAAAAAAUCUCGUAUUUUUAUCCCCUUCCUUAUGCCAUAUCUCCCUUGAGAAUUGUUUCCAAUGACUUUCUUCCAAGAGAACCCAUUUUUUAUAGCUUUCCUUUGCUUCCUUUUUUAAUUCUGUCUCCUCCAAAGACGAUCUUCUUUCACUUUCCACACUGUCUGAAUAAUCCACUUGUUGUAGGGCUACAUUUUUGUUACCUUCCAGAUUUCCAUAGACCUCUCUAUUCCAAACUUUUAGUUUCUGUUUGAGUUCCUUUAUCUUUGCUGCUAAUCUAUAACUAGCCCGCCUCCUUCUAGAAGAAUGGGGAAGUGGUCAGACAUAGGACGGGCCAACCUUCUUUGAAUCACCCCAUUGAAUUGAUCUAGCCAACUAAGAGACACCAAGAACCUGUCCAAUCUUGCCCAGGUCUGGUUAUUAAGGCCCCCGCUCCAUGUGAACACUCCCCCUUGCAACGGGAAAUCUACCAGCCCUAAAUCAUCAAUAAUAUGUGCAAACAUCCUCAUGGUCGAGGUUAUUCUCCCUUGUCGGCUUCUUUCUCUUUGAAAGAGGGUACUAUUAAAGUCACCCCCUAAGCACCAAGGCUCGUCCCAAAUUCCUCUUACAGCCCCAAUCUUUUCCCACAAACAUUCUCUUUCCUCUUUAGUGAAUGGGCCAUAGACUCCCGUAAACACCCAAACAACCUCAUCUUCCAUAUUCUUGAAUCUACACGAAAUAGAGUACUGGCCCUCCUCCCAAUCCACAAUUUCCAGCGACCUUUUAUCCCAGCAAAUCAACAGUCAUCCCGCUGCCCCAUCCGCAUCCAAAACCCUCCAAUCUAAGAAUCUUCCCGAGCCUAAACUUCUCACCACGCCUUCCGACAUUGGCUGAAUUUUUGUCUCCUGAAUACACAGUAGGUCAACUUUUUGAUUUCUUAUGAAUGUCUUGAUAAUUUUCCUCUUGGACCUAUCAUUUGCCCCCCUCACAUUCCAACUUAUCAGCUUUAGCUUCAUUAAUCUAUUGCAAGUUGAUCCCCUUUGCCCUGUGAAGGGUCUUUUUGCUUAUACCCCUUCUCAUAAUUAACUGAACACUCCAGCUUCUUCAAUUCCCUUUCAAAUUUUGACUUUUCCAAUUCUUUGCUAUGAAUUCUCUCCNNNNNNNNNNNNNNNNNNNNNNNNNNNNNNNNNNNNNNNNNNNNNNNNNNNNNNNNNNNNNNNNNNNNNNNNNNNNNNNNNNNNNNNNNNNNNNNNNNNNNNNNNNNNNNNNNNNNNNNNNNNNNNNNNNNNNNNNNNNNNNNNNNNNNNNNNNNNNNNNNNNNNNNNNNNNNNNNNNNNNNNNNNNNNNNNNNNNNNNNNNNNNNNNNNNNNNNNNNNNNNNNNNNNNNNNNNNNNNNNNNNNNNNNNNNNNNNNNNNNNNNNNNNNNNNNNNNNNNNNNNNNNNNNNNNNNNNNNNNNNNNNNNNNNNNNNNNNNNNNNNNNNNCCCAUACCCUCUCGUCUCCCCGUCCCUCAUCUGACAAUAGUAGCUCCUCGGGCUUUUCAAUGGCCGAUUCCACCUCCACGCGCAAGACGGAGCAUGAAAGGUUGUCAUUCUGACCUCCCCCCAUUUUCGACUGUCAACCCUAACCUUUUUUACUGACGACUUGAGCUCCCACCAGAGGGCGAGGGUGUAAGCUUCCUCCUCAAUCCCAAUCACCAACGUACUCGGUUUAGCUCCGUCGUCCGUCUUAACUAGAAUCCUAGCCCAUUGGAGCUCUUUCAGCUUCACCGUCUGUGGAUCGAUGGCAACAGAGCCAUUGCAUUCAUCGCCCACCCUUCUCAGCAUAGUCGGGUUCCACAACGAUACUAGUAGUCCAAAGAUUCUAACCCAAACUUCAUUACUUUGUUCCUCCUCCUCCCUACAUCCACUGCAUUUCUCAAAACUCAGCCUUAACCCUCCCAUCAUUUUUUCUCUUGAAAGCGAAACUCGUUGAGCUUCAUCCAAAGAUUCAAAUUCCAACAAGAUUCUGCUUCUCUCCAAUUUUGCCAACCCUAACCUUCCUUUCAAUCCCUAAGAGCUCGCCAGAAAUUUCCUCAAUUUCUCCAAAUCUCCUUCAUCGCUUGACCUAGGGUUCCAACUCCCAACAACACAAUACUCCAAUUUUUCCAGAUUUCUGUGGAUUUCCUCCCUCCAUUCCUUCACCUGAAUUGAAUUUAUAUCUCUGCAAAUCGGUCUCUUCACCACUUCCGCGAACGUUAUUUUCACAUCCAUGUUUCCACCGAUCAUUUCUUCUUGCAUAUUGUCCUUUCUGUUGAUUGACCUUCGUAGUAUCUGUAGAUUUUCCGCCAUUGCAGCCCAUCCCUUUUUUCCUCCUUUACCUUUUGGGAUGUGGAUACAAUAUUGUUUUCGUUCCAAGUCAGUUACCCUUAGCCGGAGGAAGCAUCCCGCUUUAUUUACUCUUCGCAACAGAGAGUAGGAUCUCCCCUAUUCCUUGCAUUCCCUCACCCAUCGUCUUCCUUCUCGUCCCUUAUACAGUGGUUUAGGCCCUCCAUUAGGAACCCUAAACUCUCCACUCCCACUCUGACCCAAGACGAAACUACCCCCUUACUUUCCUCUAUAAAUAUUUGGGGUUUUCUUCUUCUCUCUAUAAGCUCCAACUCGAACACCUUGGACUCUACUGUGAACCUGCUUCCUCUUCGCCUUUUUCGAGACCCCUCCUUAUCUUCAUCUCCCUCGCCGGCGUAAACUCGCCUUUUUCCUUCCUCACGUUCUCGCUCACCGCCGCGCUCACACUCUCUCUCUCGUUCUCUCUCUCCCAUUUUAUCUUGGAGGUAGAAGUCUUGCAAUAAAUACUUACUCAGAUAAUAUUAAUAUUUACUAUCAUAUUAUAUUUAUUUACUUAAUAUUAAUACAUGUUUGAUAUAAAGAAGAUUAAUAAAUUAAUAUUUAUAUAUUCUUUUAUAAUAAAUAAAUUAAUAAUAAAUUUAUUUAUAAAAUAUAAUUUUCUAAUAUCUUAUAAAGAAAAAUUUUAAAUAAAAAAGUUAUAGUUAAAUGAAUAGCUCUCAAUAUUAAUAAAUUAUGAAUAUAAAUAAAUUCAUAUUCAUGUAUUUUAUAUAAUAAUAAAUUAAUAAAAUAUAUUUUAUAAUACAUUCAUAUUCAAUUUUAUGAUUCUUAUAAUAUUAAUAUUUAUUAUAUUAUUAUAUUCAUUUAUCAUUAAUAUUUAAUAUUUAACUACCUUGUAUGAUCCACCAAUUCAGUUGACAGUUACUCAAUUGUCACUUAUUUAAGGUUGAUGGAUAUCUUUAGAGGAAGGUAAAUAUAUUAAUCCUAGUCUAUCUCUUUGUUAGUGUCAACAUCAACAUCAUUACAACCCCUUUACCUCUUUAUCUUCAAUCAGUACAAUCACUCAUAUCUGCAAAUCCAAUAUUAGUACAACCUCCUACCUUUUUAAACUCACAAUCAGUACAAUAACACAUUUCUUUAGACCUAACAUUAGUACAACCCUUACUUCUUUAAACCCAUUAUUAGUACCUACUAUAUCUUCAAACCCACCUUCAAUACCUGCCACCCAAUAUGUUGAUCACCUUUCAUUGCACCUUAAUGCUUCCUUAGCUACUCCAUUAAGACCUGAGUUUAAGACAUUAGUCAUACCCCUAGCAUAGAUAUUUGCACCAUUUUCUCUAUUACUACCAAAGUUAUCUAUAUUUGUCCUUGUACUUGUAGAAACUGUCACAUCUACUCUACUAGAUUUACCCCCAACCAUUCUAAGGGAUAGGUAUGGCCCACGUUAAUCUAGAUUGCUACCUCCACCACCUUUAUUUCUAGCUCCAUCAUGAAGAAAUGUUUAUCACAUGUGACAUGUAAUACCUACUACAAUUAGAGAGGGGCGACCAAAAAGGAAGAGAGUACCAACUAUACAUAAGUCCUCUUUCUACAAAGGCAUAUGAAAUUAUAUAUAUAUUUCCAUUAUAUAAAUGUUUAAUAGGUAAUUUUUUAUAACUUUGAUUAAACUAAUAAAAAUUAUAUUUUGUAGUAGACUUUUUAAAAUUAAUUUUAUUAACUAAUUUUGAAAUGUACUUUCAAGGUAUAUAUGUUGUGUGUAAAAAUAAGUCUUUUUUUUUUACAUGAAAAUUAUAAACAUAUGUGUGGACCCCGCAUUUUGGUUUAUGCGUUUCCACUCGAUGGCAAACUCGAUUUUUAUUUUGAAAAUGAUUUUAUUUGUUCAAAAAUGACUUGGAGUCGCCACUUAUUUUUGUUUUAUUUUUAAAGGGUAAACAAAAUAAGAAACAAAACCCUAAGUGUGACUUCUUAUUUUGGAAAAGGUGGUCUGUGAAAAACCAGAUCGGGUUCGAGGGUCAGUUUACUUAUCGGGAAGGUAUGGUACAGACCGUAGCACCCCUCUAAGUCCCUAAAGUCGGGUUUCUACUAAUGAGAUGAAGCAAUCAUGACAAUGAAUGAGUGAAUAAAUGAAUACCCAGAAUAAAUCAUGCAUACGUGAGAGUUAGAACAUGCAUAGACACUGAUCAAAGUGAAAAUGGGUACGUACCUGGGCAGUGAGCCACUAUGCGCUAUCAAGAGGGAGGGUUAGUGCACAAUUAAGGAAUAAUAGCAUGCACGUCAGAGAACAGGAUAAAUCAAUCAUGCAUGACAAUUAAAUUGGUCAAUCAAUCAAUUAAUUAUAAAGUCACUCAUGUUGGGCUCCCACCAAAGCCCGUUUAUUUUUGCAUGAAUUAAUUCCAUAAAUUCCAUUAUUCGAAAUUACGGAAUUUAAUUCAUGCUUAUUUCAAAACAUUUUUAAAACAAAA
This 118380-nucleotide long non-coding RNA is filed under the name Vitis vinifera (wine grape). RNAcentral's name for it is "long non-coding RNA (VVIN_LNC004288)". The record is from RNAcentral. Lineage: Eukaryota; Viridiplantae; Streptophyta; Magnoliopsida; Vitales; Vitaceae.